UAUUGUCUCUCACAUGUACUAUGAUUUGCCGAAUUGGUUUUGGAAAAAGGUAUGACGAGGAAGGCCAAGAAAGAAAAAGAUUCCACUUUCUCAUGCGCGAAGCUCAGGCAGUGUUGGUUGCCUUCUAUUUCUCUGAUUAUUUUCCUACAAUUGGUUGGCUGGAUAAAUACACUGGGAUGCUAUCUCGACUGGAGAAAGUUUUCAACAAGCUUGAUUUGUUCUACCAAGAACUCAUUGAUGAGCACCUGGAUCCAAAUAGGCCAACGUCAAUGGAUGGAGACAUUAUUGAUCUCUUGCUUCAAUUACAGAAUGACAGAUCAACUCCGUUUGAUCUGACUGUGGAUCACAUCAAGGCCAUGCUAAUGGUAAUAAACUAACUCUUUAACGUACAUUCCAAUACAGAGUGUGAUAUACAGGUUCUGUUUAGUUUUUUCUACUUGAAAUUGCAAUCAUUUCUUGUGAAAAAUAAUGCUACUUAACAAUAGGAUACAAUUUAAUUUAAUUUUGACAAAAAGCCAAACACAGCGCUAUUUAUUUGUUUUUCUAUUUACAUCCUAAGUUAAUUGGCACUAUCCUUAAGUAAAUUUGCUUCCUAGCCUCCGUGAUACGCGAAUCAUCAGCAUCUAUCUCUUCCUUAACUACUACUUUCCCCCAAAAUCAUCAUCACCAUAUUAUCAGCAUCCCUUUAUUACUUCCUCUCUCUUUCCUCCCCAAAAGUUGUAACCAGUUUAUUCCUCCUUUUUGCCUUCAUCGGUACCUACUUCUGAGAUCCAUCUCCACCGAAACCAUCACCACUCUUCUUUGUGGUUUCUUUCCCUCUUUCAUUUCCUUAGAUGCUUUAGGGGUUUUUUUUUGGGUGAAGCUCAUAAUUAUUUAAGGAAAACCAAAAAUAAAGCCAAAAUAACAAAGCUAAUCCAAUCAGAAAUUUACCGAAAAAGAAAACUGAAGGCAUGGGGCGGGGGUUUUUGGAAAUUUUACAUGGCUGAGAUAGAAUUUGGUAGGAAAGCAAAAAGAAACCUGACCUGAAAAAUUGUUGCUAUUAGAUUUUGAUGUGUACUUGUAUAUAGUUCAAAAGAGGAAUUUUAAAAAAUUGAGAGAGAGAGAGACGGUAGUGCAGAGCGGUGAAGUCAAACAAGGUGAUAGACGGAAGGUGAUCCCCAGCCUAUCAUGGUAAAACUCAAGUGAGGAAUGGAGUACAUGAACUUGCAGCUAGUUAAUGCUGAGGAUUAUAUUGAGGCCCAGUUUACUGGAAAUCUUGGAGAGAUUCUUGAUCAGAUGUAACAAUAUUCUCUACAUGCUUUGAAUAGCAUGUAGAGAUUCUUGAUCAGAUGUAUAUUGAAGGAUGUUUCUAGUGAGUUGUGAUGAUGUGGCAAUUUCACCAUCACUCAAUCUACAAGUCGGCCCGUAGACCGGUUCUACACAAGUUUUUGCCACUAUUACAUAACAACUCUCAAAUUCUGAUAGAGAGGUUGUGUUUUGGGUCUCCACUAGAAUUGGAUCGGAUAGGAAUCUUAAUUUUGGCUUACACAAAUGUUGAUUCAUUUCAAUUGGAUACAAUUGGUCUUGAUGAACAACAAGCAUUUGAAUCAGCCUUUUUUAAGGAAAAAAAAAAGAAAUUAUAAUAUUUCCUAAACAUAAUGUUUACCCAUUUCUCUUUAUCGCAUAUACAUCACAUUCCAAAAAUUUUACAGCUUUACUGUUCGAAAAAAUUUCUGAAUGAUCUUCAACCGAAGCACAUGAAAAUAUUUAGGCUUAGGAAAUUCAUUGAUGAUUAUCUUUUUUUUUUUUCAAAAAACAACUGCAGAACGUAUUUUUGGCCGGGUCAGAAACUUCAGCAGGUGCAGUAAUCUGGGCAAUGACAGCCCUUAUCAAGAACCCUACGGCACUGGAAAAAGCUCAAAACGAAAUCCAAGAGGUGCUUGGAGAGAAAAAAAUGAUAGAUGAAGAUGAUAUCCAAAAGCUUCCCUAUCUCAAAGCAAUCGUCAAGGAGACUAUGAGACUGUACCCAGUUGCUCCUCUUUUACUCCCAAGAUACACAACGGAAAGUUGCAUCCUAGACGGGUAUGAGAUCCAGCCCAAGACUACCGUUUACGUGAAUGCUUGGGCAAUUGGAAGAGAUCCUGAGUACUGGGAAAAUCCACAUGAAUUCUUGCCUGAGAGAUUCUUGAAUAGUACUAUAGAUGCAACAGGGAAACACUUUAAAUUCAUACCGUUUGGGGCAGGCAGAAGAAGCUGCCCAGGAUACUACCUGGGACUAGCAACUGUGGAGCUUGCACUUGCUAAUCUCUUGAACUCAUUCAAUUGGGGAUUGCCUUCUGGAGUGAAGAAAGAGGACAUCGAUACUGAUGUUUUACCUGGUCUUGCUAUGCUUAAGAAAAAUGCCCUGCGACUUGUGGCAAAGAAACGUGUGCCUUCGUAGUAAAAAAAAAAAGUCAAAUGGGAUCAGAAUGUGUGGUUCAUAUACAAUGUACGACCAUUUGAGGAAUUCUUGCUGUUUUGGUCUUCAAUUUGGUAUCAUCAGAUUUGAAAUGAAAGAGUUUAAUAUGUUGAAACAAAUUUUUAAGCAAACUGUGCUAUGAAAUCUUUGACCCUUUUUGUAAAUGAAUUCAUGGAAGAUGCUUGAAUGCAAUUAGGUCCUCAAUUAUUGAGACUUGGGGAACAGUGUAGAAAACCAAACAAUGUGAUCCAGAAUCAUCUCUGAUAAGCAUUACGUAAAGAAUGCACAAAUUAUUUGCAAGGAAAGUGUAUUCUAUAAACUCAAGGACCAUGAGCGCAGUUGGGAUUCUUGAUGAUAAAUAGCUCAGGACAUGUAUGGUUCAUGUUAUCACUAAUUAGUCAAUAUCAGUGAUGAUUACUGAUAUGGUUUUAGUGAUGACAUUGCUCCAAACAUUUGUGACAAAAAACAAAGGCGUCACUAACUCUCUGUCUGUCAUUGACAAAAUAUUUCAUCAAUAAAUAUUGAUAUUCAUUGACGACUCUCAAAGUUGUCCCUGUACACUUCUAUCGAUGGACAUUCAGUGAUGACCUUGAAGUUGUCAGCAAAUUUCAUCACUGGCCAUUUUUCCCGUUCUGUCUGACAAGAAUUGAGUGACAGCUCAUUAGUGGCAACUUUUCUUUUUUGUGACAAAAAUUGAUUGUUAAAUGAUCAAUGUUUCGAAAUGCGUAUUUGGGGUGCGUCCCAAGGUGAGCCCAAGGGCGAGGCGUUUCCAAAUUGCCCUGGGCAGUCAAAUGGGGCAUUAGUGUCAUAGGGCGUUCGCUCCAAGGAUCAGGGCAAACGCCCAAGCGUUCUGGUGAUUUUUUUUUUAGGCGUAAAAAAUGUAUGUCUUUAAAAUUCAUUUUUGCCCUUUUUUAAACUCCAAAAGAACAUCUAAACUGGAUUUUCUCUUCACAUGCUUAAGGAAGUUGAGACCCUCAAGCUGAAUUUGCAAGUUCUGAAAACUUUUCUUAUGUUAGCUUACAAAUUUAAGUUGGCAAACAUGGAUGUUAAUUUGGAAUUUAAUGAUGCAAAAGAGGUGAAACUUCAAAACUUUGUGCUUCACAAUAAGGAUACUCUAAAGGAAUAGGAGAAGGACACUUGCUUUGAUAGUCAAACCUCACAAAUAUCAUUUGCUAGUGCCCUCAAAAAGAGUUUUCGCAACUGUAAUACACACACACACACAACAUACAUACAUAUAUAUAAUAAUAUUUUUGUUUUUUAUAUUUUUAAAAUAUUUAAAAAUAAAAAUUGUGGGCCUAUGUCCCACGCCAUGGGGCUUUUGCCCUAUUUGAACGAACAUAGAACAUCCUGCCUAAUGCUUUCACCUUUUAAAAUACCGCUAAUGACCAAUUUUGUUGUUGUGACAAGCUUGAUUUGUUCUAUCAAGAAUUCAUUGAUGAGUACCUGCAUCCAAAUAGGCCGAUGUCAAUGAUGCAGACAUUAUUGAUCACUUGCUUCAAUUACAGAAGAACAGAUCAACUCCAUUUGAUUUUACUAGCACUGCAAACGAAUCAAGUCUCGAGUCCGAGCUCGGUCAACUUCGAGUUCGAGUCGAACUCGAGUUUGAACUUGAACUCACAAAUAAUAAGCUCAUUAGUUCGCGAGCCGGCUCGGGUUCGAUUAUAUAUAUAUAUAUUUUUUUUUUUUUAUUGUAAUAGUAAAAUUACAUAUAUAUCCCUAAUAUUUAAUUAUUUGCUAAGAAAAAUUAUUAUUUUAUUCAUUUGUAAAAAUAAAAUAAUUAUUUUUUUAAUUUUUUUAAGGUUGAACUUGACAUUUUAGCUUGUCGAACUCGAGUUAAUUUGAGUUCGAAUUUCAUAAAAUUAAGUUGAGGCUCGAGUUGAUUAGACUGAAACUCGACUUGACUCGACUCAUUCGCACUCCUAGAUUUGACUGUGGAUCACACUAAGGCCAUGCUCACGGUAAUUAACUAGCUCUUUAACAUACUAUUCCAAUACAGGGUGUGAUUUACAGGCUGUAUUUAGUUUUUUUCUCUACUUGAAAUUGGAAUUGUGUCUUAUGAAAAAUAAUGCUACUUAACAUGAAUAAGAUAAAAUUUAAUUCUAAUAAAAAGCCAGCACAGCCUUAUUUAUUUGUUUUUCUAUUCACAUCCUUAAGUUAACUAGUAAUAGGUCACGUGCUUUGCACGUGAUUAUAAUAUCAUAAAAUAUAAUAUUUCGUAUAUAUUAAAAUUUAUUUGUGAAAAUUUUUAAAAAAAUUUUAAUAUUUGCAUAUUUUCCUAUUUUCUAUUUUAUUUUUGUUUUUAUUUUUUUUAAUAAGUAGGAGGUCUUGGGUCUAGGACCCUCUACUUAUAAUCCCUUCCAUCUUACCAUCCAACCCAACUCUCUCCCUAUUUUCUUUUUUAAUAAAAUUUUCAUCUUCUUUAUUUAAUUGUCCUUAAAACCAUUAUUUUAAAAGGAAAAAAGGUUCACUAAAUGUUGUAUCAAUUCAUAUAAAAUGUCUAGAGAAUUUUUAACAAAUGAGGGUACAUUCGAUCUCUUUCAAUUUAUAAUAACGGUUUUAAGGAAAAUUAAUUAAAGAAGAUGAAAAAUUAACAUUUAAGAAAAUAAAGAUUUGACCAAAUAUGAAAUGAUUUGACAAAGGUAUCAAUAUUUUGAAUGGUAUAUGUACACUAUUGAUAAUAAUAAUUAUUUCUUUUGGUUUUUCUCUUUUCCAAGACAAAUAAAUUAUGAUAAGACAACUAAUUUUUUUUUAUUUUUAACCAGAUAUAUGAACAAUUUUUUAUUUUUUGUUUGGAGUUAGGAUGACCUGAAUUUGCAUGCUAACCAAACGUUAAUUGUUUGCCAACCAUUGGGGUUGACCCAAAGAUUAGAAAAGACUUCUUAGAGUUCUCUCUAAUGUUAGGUUCAAGAUUCAAAUCUUAUACCUAACAAUUAGGGAUGAAAAGAGCGUAAGGAGGGAUGGAAAGGUAAAAAUGAAAUAAAAUAAAAUAAAAAUAAUUGUUCACAAAAAUAUUAGUUGCAUGCAUUAUGAUUAUUAUUUUUCAUGUUACAUAAGUUGAAUUUGUCAAUUGCUUGAUGAAAUUCGUCAAUAUGAAAUCAUAUGCACUAUUUUUUUGAAAAUUGAAGAGAUAUAUAUUCUUUGAAGUUGAACUCUUUGUAUUAUUUUGUGUACUAUUUUUGUUAAUAAUGGAGUGUAAAUGAUCCACCACAUAUCAAUUUUUUCUGUCUAAUUGUUCAUUUCUUGAGAAUUAAAAUAUUAUUGGUCGAGAUAAUUGAGUUUUUCUUUUUUUUCUUUUCUUUUCUUUUAUUUUUGAAUUUUUUUGGACAGAAUCCAACAUAAAGUACAAAUGACAAAGAUUAUAUUAUUGUAAGAACACCUUGUUUUGGUAUCAAUAGUAAUAUUUUUGAAGAUUUGAAAAUUUAAUUAGGUUGUGGCUGAUCAAGAAUUUUUAAUGGAAAUGAAAAGGUGAAAACAGAAUGCAAAGAGACACAUUAUUUUUUUUUUUUAAUUUGUAGUCUUUUAUUGAUGAGAAUAAAUGUUACGCACAGAGAAACAUCAUUUUUAAGUACAGGAUUGAACUAUAAAGACAAGAAAUGAACCAGAAAUGUUUAGUGCUGAGUUGAAAAGCAAAAUAGCUCAAAUUCUCCUUUAUCCUCAGCCCUUCAUACGCUUAAUUUUUCGAAUUGAAGGCAUCCCUAAUCUGUUAAGGCGAAUUGCUCCACGAGCCAUAGUUGGGAACAAGUGGAAGGAGUCGUAUAACUUGAGUUGAUGCUCUGGAUGAGAGACGCCCACAUUGGACAAUGCAUCAGCGACCGUGUUAGCUUCUCUAUAACAAUGUGAAAAACGAUCAGGAUCUUCCACGAACUGCCAAAUCUGCCUAAUCUCUCGUCGAAUCUUCCAAGGGCAGUGAAUACAUUUCUGGAGAAUUCCAAUUAAUACCAAAGAAUCUGAUUGAAUAUAGAGAUUCUCAAAACCCCUAUGUAUGCAUGUUUGAAUGCCAAUAAGAAGAGCCCGGGCCUUUGCACUUAGACAUGUAGUUUCUCCAAGAUAUGCAGAAAAACCAAUCAAAGGAAUGCCAUGUGAAUCCCGAAGAACCCCACCUCCUCCACCCAAUCCUGGAUUACCCUUAGAAUAGCCAUCGGUAUUUAGUGUAAACCGACCAGUUUCCUUUGGUUCCCAACGAACAAGUUUGUACGUGACAUAAGUGUGAGAUGAAUACGGCCAAUCAUACAAAUGAUAGAAUGAAUGAGCCAUGAAAACUUGUUUGAAAUAAAUUUCCACAAUGGUCUGGAUUUCCAAGGAAAUGGCAAGACAAAUGGCGGGUGAUCUCAUAUGGACAUCCUCAAAUAAUGCUUUAUUUCUUGCUUUCCAAAUUUGCCAACAUACUAUACUGGGAAGAAUGCGUCCAAUGAAAUGCUGUAUCUCUGAAUCAUAUGAGUGCAACCACCAACCCACUAUACAGGAGCGUAAAGAAGAGCCUGGAAAAGUCAAUCCACAUGAAGCUCCAAAAUAAUUCCAAACUGUUGAAGCUAUAUGGCCUUUGGAAAAUAAAUGUUCAAUUGACUCCUCAGAUGCGGAAUCGCAGCAGAAACACUUUGAUGGUAAAUGUAAACCAAGUUUACAUAACCUAUCCGAUAAAGGCAGCCUCUCCAGCAACAAUCUUAACAUGAAGAAUGAAAUUUUGAGGGGGAUCUGAGGAUGCCAAAUGCUAUCAAAAACCAUAGACUUGUUUCGUACUUGCCUAAUCUCCCGAAAUGCCGAAGCUAGAGAGAAGUUUCCAGAUGUUGUGGACAUCCAAAUGAUUUCAGCUUCACCCCAGUCUUCCGGGACUGGAUGCUCUAAAAUAGAGGGGACCAGAUCCGUCGGCAAUGUCUGAUAUAAUCUAAUCACAUCCCAGUGUCCAUUGAUGAUAAAAUCACCAAACUACAAAUUAGAGACAACCGUCGUACGGAGAAACAAGGCACCCCCUCCAACCAAUUGUCAUACCAAAAAUGACAAGCUCCAUUUUUUAUAUCCGAUAGCAUAGAUAGCUCCACUUGUCGACUUACAUUGACCAUCCUUCUCCAGAUUGCGAAGUCCAUUGACCUGAUUUCCACCUGACAAGGAUGUAGUAGUCUACAAUACUUAGCUUUCAUGAACGAAGCCCACAACGAGCAUCCCUUUCUGAAAUUCCACCAAAGCUUGAAUGAGAAUGCUGUGUAGAUGUCCUGUAACCUCCGGAAACCAACUCCUCCCUCAUCUACCGGAUAGCACAUCUGAGACCACCGUAUCCAGUGAAAUUUUGACUCCUCGGAGGAUGACCCCCAUAGGAAGGUCGAGAAAGCUUUUUCUAUAGUUCUAAAUACCUUACCCGGGAUAGCCGCUGCUGACAACAGAUGUACUGGCAUCGUUGCCAACACAUGUUUGAUUAGAACUAUUUUACCUCCAAGAGAAAGCAUCCUUGAUUUCCAUGACCUUAUUCUCCGCAAAGAGACACAUUAGUUUGGAGUGUUAUAUUUUGUUUAUUAUCUUCAAAAUUCAACUUUAAUUAAGGUUACAAUCUUUUUUCAUAACUACAAUAGUUAUUGCUAUUGAUAAGUGCAUAUUUUACAUGUUUUUAAGUGUGUUUUAUUAGUUAGUUUUAGUGUGUUUUAACUACUUUUAUUUAGUUUUAGUGUGUUUUAACUACUUUUAUAGCUAAUUAAUUAGGAUUCUAGUGAAAAUAUGCAUUUUGUAGUUUAAGUAGUAAAAAUUGCAUUUCUAUGGAUUUCUAUGGUGAAAAUUUCAUGUUUUUUUAUAGGUUUAAUGAUUCAAUCAUCAAUUGGAGUGAUUUGAGAAGAUAAUUGGAUGAUUGAUGAUGGUUUGAAAUGAUAAAAAGAGAAUAUGAAGUGCAAAAGGGAAAUGCAAUCAAGAAUAAAAGGAAUCAAGUUUCACAGUUUUGACCACCUUGUGGUAUUUCGACAAUAUCUUGAGCUACAAGCAUCGGAUUGAGGUGAUUCGUGAACCAUGUGAAGCUUAGAGAUAUAUCUACAUUUGGUAUGGAGAUAUCGAAAUCCAGUUCAGUCAUUUUCCUUGUUAGAAGAAUCGAAAUACAGAAGUGCAUUUUCAUGGCCGAAAGCUGAAACAGAGUUCUGACCAAUCGAGGGUAUUUUGGUCAUUUAUUAGUCCACAAAACUCCAAAUUAGAUGAUUCUUUACGCAUUGGAAAGCUAAUUCAAAGGGCUACAACUUUCAUAUUUUGCACAAGAGUUCAACCUCCAUCAUCAAGAAAAAAUUAGUGAAAGUUGGGAAAAAUAGAGCACAUAAAUCCGAGUUUCGAUAUGUACUAAACCUAACCUCAGAUAAACUUCUGUAAAUCAGAGGCUACAUCUGAGAGGAGGAUCCGAGCUCGGACCCCAUGUUAUAGGCCUUAGAUCCUAAUGUGCAGUAAAGAUAAAAAUGAAAAAAAAUGAGAUCAGAGGGCUAUUUUAAGUGAUUCAACCUCGGAUCUUGCCCUUGGCUCUGCAACUUGUACUCUGUUCAUACAUGCUUUUUGGCCAAUUUAUCUGCAAGAAAUUCGACUGGAACUGACCAAGCAAGUAUAUAGAAUUCAAGAAGUAUCUUUUGGUGAUUCCAAGGAGCAAUUUACAUCAACUUUAACAACUCAUCUUGAAUUUGAAUUCCUCUAUAAAUAGAGGCCUCGAAGGACAUUUUCACAACUUUGGAAUGCUAGAGAAACUCACCAAAAAUGUAGUCUUCACUAGAGUUUCCUUAGUUCAUUAGUUAGGUUAGUAUAGUAUAGAAUAGUUUAGGAAGUUAUGUGUGUUAUCCACUCUUGUAUAUUGGCUAGAUUAGGAUGAAGAUGGAGGUGAAGAAGAAGGAGAUAAAGCUCAUGUGACAAGGGUUAUCUCUUCUCCAACUCUUUAUCUUUUGUAUUGGAUUCUUAAGUAUGGUUAAUAUGCAAGUUUUGGAUUUGUGUUUCAAUAUGAUUUUCUAAAGUUUAUGCCUAGAGUUAUGGAUGAACUUGCUAUAUCUUAUUAGUGAUGUUUACUUGGUUAUUUGAUGAUAGCAAGUUAUUUAUCACUUUUGUUUAUCUAAUCAUGAUUAACUGCCCAUUAAUUAUGAUAAUCUUAAGGUGUUAUGUUUGUAAUGAAAAUUGAAAUUUAGCACUAGUUCAAGGAAGUGAUAAACCUAGGGACUACACUCACGAAAGUAGAGAUGCACCUUUGUGGCUUUGGUGACUUGUUUCAUGUAAUUUCUUAGAAGGAAUGAGCUUGUAGUUAGUUUCAUAACCACGAAAGUAGGUAUGAAUUAACUAUAGGUACAGUUGGUACACCGGCGAAAGCGGUAUCAUGUACAUUAGGAAAUUAUGCCAUAACUAGUCAAGAUAAUAGCAUUCGAGUAACCGGUAAUGUCAUUUGCAAGAGUAGUUAGGAAUUUCAUAUAUCUAAGAGCUUUUUAUUGCUAUUUUUAUUACUUUUAUUUGAUUUUUAUAGUGUAGAUUUAAUUUCUUGCACUUAUGAUAGUCUAAAUAAUAAAAGAGUUCGAAAAUCAUAGGUAAUUGACAAUCUUCCCUAUGGGAUCGAUGCCUAAUAACCCUAUGUUCAAUAAACAAUUUGUAUACUUGCGAAAAAUCACGUGUGGGGUAUUUAGGAAUUAUAAAUAUAAAACUUCAUUGUGAAAUAAGUUAAUUGAUAUAUGUAUACCCCGCGCUCAUCAAGUUUUUGGUGCUGUUGCCGGAGAAGAUUUGCUCAAUAUCUGUACUAAGAAUAAUUUUAUUAAUUUAGACAUUUUUUCUUGCUUUUCUUGUUUUUGUUUUAUUAAGUGUCUUAAUUGUUAUGUUUAGUGUCUUAUUGAGUCUUUAUUUGUAUGUCUUUAUAUGUGUCGAGUUAUCUAUUUUUCUUGAUUAAACUUGUUUUUGAGUUACCUUGAAAGCAUGUUUAGGGGUUCAAGGAAAGUAGAAUACAUGGGCGCACAAUGCUUGAGAAAAUGGAAGAUCGGUUAUGGAUGAUCAUCAAGUGCAAAGUUCGUUGAAUAGAGGUAAUCAAGAAAUUAUCAAAGGUAUGUCAUUCGAAGAUGGUUUGAGGUGCUUAAAAACUAAAUGUGAUGUUAUAACGUUAAAAGUUCAAUUGAACACUAUUACGAAUAUGCUUGAACAAAAGAGGAAUGCUAAUGCUGUCAAUUCUUAUCAUGUAAUUUGUGACUUGUGUGGAGGUUAUCAUGAUACUCAUACAUGUAUCCAAGCAUAAACUGUGGAUUAUUAUGAUGAAUUUGGGCAUUAUAAUUCUUGUUUUGAUCAAUGUAACCCUAAUUGAGAUAGUUCUUAUGCUUACGGUUGGGAUAAUCAAUGUGUAUAUAGUGAUUUUUCAUGUCUUCAUGAUUACCAAUCUGAAUGUGUCCAAUAUGAAUCAAAACCAUCUUGAGAAUUGGCAAUAGAAAGAUUAGCUAAUGCAUAUUUACCUUGGGAAUUAGAAGUGAACCAUUAGCUAAUAAUCCUAAUGCAUCUUGAGAGUUAGUUAUAGAAAAAUUUUCUAAUCAAUUUGAUUUAAUUAUAGAAAAGCUAGCUAAUGCGACCUCCGAUCGUUUUGCUAGAAUUGAGGAAAGAUUAGAUGAAUUAUCUUCUCACUUUGGUAGAAUACAAGAGCAAUUGCAUAAGUUGUGUGAAGUUAUUUUUUCUAACGAUAUGCACUAUGACCCUAUCAUGAAUGGUGAUUAUGUUACAAGUGAAAGUGGAUUACAUUUUGAUGAAAAUGAUGAAUCUCAAUUGUGUUUCAAUGAGAAAAUGUCCAUUUCAGAUGAUAAUACCUUCAGAGCUAAUCUUGAACCUCAAGAAGUGAGCCUUAACAACUCAUUUUUAACCUCUCUUGAGGAAUGUAUUGUGAAUAUAGGUUUUAAAGGUAUUAUUGCCCAAGACAGACAUACAAACAUUCCUUUGGUGAGUGUUCAAGUGAUAUACGUUCAAGGUAAUAUCUAUGAAAUACUUGAGAUAAGUAAGUCACUUCCACAUCUCAUAUCACUAGAACACAUGCCUUUUGUUGUUAAGCCACCUUUUAAUGAUCCACCAUGACCUAUAAUGGUAGAUUAUUCGUUAACAAAACCUCCUUGAAAAGUGAGGUAAAAUAGUCAAGCUAAUGACUAUAAAGAAUCGCUUGUUGGGAGGCAACCCAACGAUUCUAGUUUUUUUAGUAGGUUUUAGUUAUUUGAUUAGUAUUUUUGUAUGUUUUGUAGGUAACAAUGACAAGAAGUCAUGCAAAUUAUUUCAAGUACAAAAGAGCUUAUAAGAAGUGGAGACUGCCGUGAAAAAGGGAAGCUUAACCUUUAUUUUUGAGUUAACAAUGUUUAAUUUCAUGAUAUGAGAUUAAGUUAGUCAUUUGUAUGAAGUUGAAGUGCAUUUAAGUGAUUAAGUAUGUUCAUGAUCUAUUUGCACUAUUUUGAACCAUUUGAACACCAUCAUAUGCAUUGGAAGUGUCGAGGGGACUAUUUGAUCCAAGAACAUGAACCCUAAAUUUGCAUUCUACAUGUUUCUUAUUUGUUUUGAGGUGUUGAGAUUCAUGUUUAAGUCACUUUUCAUGUGCGUAAAGUGCUGAAUUGUUGAACAUUUCGUUGUAGAGCACAAAUUGAAGAUUGUGUUUUGAAUUGGGGUCAAAUUGAAAAUUGUAGAAAAUUCUGCAAUAAGUGCAGAUUCAAUGGAUCCGAGACCUGGGAUCUACUUCUGCAAUCAGAGAACAAAUUUGAUUUUUUUUAUCUGAGUUCAAUCAUCAUGAUCCGACCUCGGAUCCUUUCAAAAAUAAUUCAAAAACGAAAGCUCGGUUCACUUUUCCUUAUUCUUCCCUCUCUUCCUCCUUCAACUCCACACACACACGCAUACCUCAAACACACACUACUCACUAAAUUCCUCUUUUCACCAUCAAAUCUUCAAACUAACUUCACCAAAACACUCCUCUUACCUUCUAGAGUGGUUUUCAUGGUUUAAUUCUUUCAAAAACAUCUCCAAAUUUGAAUUUAAGAUUCAAGUAGGUAGGGUUUCAUCUUCUCAUAUUUUGCAAUUGUGCCCAAAUUGGAGUGAGUUUCUUGAGGGUUUUCACAUCAUUUUCAUCUCUAAUCGUCAACAAACCAUUUUGAGGUAACAAAUCUUCACCUAACUGUAGACACCAAAUUUUUGUCAAUUUUCAAUGUUUUCUUGAAUUUUUUUUCUAUUUAAUGAAUUAUUUAUUUUCUUGCAUUUUAAUGUGCAUUUUUCUCAUUUUUUGCGGGUUUGUUUAAAAAAAAAGGGGAAGAAAGAAAAAACAAAACACAAAAAAAAACAACAAAAACUAAAAAAAAAGGAGGAAAAUUAAGAAAAUAAAAAAAAUCAUUCUAAUCAUUUUUUUUCCACCAAAAUACAUUUAACCCAUUUCACACUCAAUGGCCAUGGACUUGUCUUUUCAUUAGUUGAGAAAUCAUCAUUUUGGAAAAUUCAACACACAAGCUCCAUUUUUGGCUACAAGUCCCUCUCGGCUCUCUCUUGAAAAAAAAGGAGAAAAAAAAACACACAACUAUAAAGGGGAGGCUCUCGGCUCUCUCUCUCUGGUCUCGACCAAAAAGAAGGAGAGAAGCCACAAAAGUAAAUUUUUCCCUCCCUCUCUCGGCGGACUCAAAACGGACAGAAAAAAAAAAGAAGGGGGGACACUCUCUCGGCCUUUUCUUUUGCUCUGAACAAAACCAAGACUCCAAUUUUUUUUCCCUCUCAAUACAUCUCUCGGACUUCCUCUCUCCCAAUAUUUCCACAACACCCUUGCAGACAACAAAAGGGAGGCAGCGACUGGUUGGGCUAUUGGAGCUUGGCAAUCUCAUCAAAAACUUUGGCCAAGGACCAAGGUCUUCAUUGAGGUAUUUCUUGUCCUUUUUUCCAGCCUUUCUUUUUUUUUUAUUUAACUAGAUUAAAUGUAUGUGUGAUUGUUUGUGUGUUGUUUUAUUUUGCUGGUUUUGUUGUUAUUGUAUCGGUGAAAUUUUGGGAAGAUCAUAAACCAGAUUUAGGAAAAGGAAAUGUUUCUUGUGAAUGCAUGUUAAUUGUUUGAAAAAAGGGAAAAUCGUCCAAAACAUCCCUCACAUUUUGUAAAAUGACUUUUUUCGUCCCUCACUUUUAAAAAUGUAAUUUUAUGUCCCUUACAUAUUCACAUCGGUCAAAUUUAAUCCCUAACUAGGUUCCGAUCAUUUUUUGGCCGGAAUCCAUCACGUGCCUUGCACGUGAUCAUUUUUUAAAGGUAAAUUUGUCAAAUUAUAUUUUACAUAAUCUAAUCUAUAGUCCUCCACAUUUUAUAAAAUAAAUUUUUUCGUCCCUCACAUUUUAUAAAAUGAUUUUUUCAUCCUUCACAUUUCACAAAAAGAAUUUCUCCAUCCCUCACAUUUCAAAAAAUGAAUAUUUCCAUCCCUCACUAAUUAUGUAUGUGAGGGAAACCCUAAAAAAAAUGUGUGUGAAUACAUUUUGUUUAACACACAAGUAUAUGUCUAUUUGAUUUUGCUUAAUAAUCCGAAUAGCAUAAAUAUAUGUAUGUGUCUAUUUAAUUUCAAUUAACAAUACGAAUACCUUAUAUUAUACGUGAUCAUUUGAUUUCAUCUGGUAUUAGCUAGUAAAUAAUCUUGCAUUCAUUGUCAAGUUGGCCAAUAAAGCUAUUUUCAGUCAAAAUACAAUAAAAAUAUGCAAAUUAAGGUUCUAUUGAUAAAUAUUAGUCAUAAUCAUACAAAAAAGAAGAUAGCCCACAAGUUGGACCCAAUUACAUACAUGUGUUUAUACUACUAUUAUUAAACAAAAUCAAAUAAACAUGUUUAUGUGUUUAAACAAAAGUAUUCACACACAUAAUAAGUGAGAAAUGAGAAAUUCAUUUUGUGAAAUGUGAGGGAUGGAGAAAUUCAUUUUGUGAAAUGUGAGGGAUGAAAAAAAUCAUUUGAUAAAAUGUGAGGAACGAAAAAUUUUAUUUUAUAAAAUGUGGAGGAUUAUAGAUGAGAUUAUGUAAAAUAUAAUUUGACAAAUUUACCCUUAAAAAAUGAUCAUGUGCCUUGCACAUGAUGGAUUCUGGCCAAAAAUGAUCGGAAACCUAGUUAGGGACUAAAUUUGUCCGAUGUAAAUAUGUAAGGGAUAUAAAAUUACACUUUUAAAAGUGAGGGACGAAAAAGUUAUUUUACAAAAUGUAAGGGACGUUUUGGACAAUUUUCCCUUGAAAAAAUGCCAAAUGAAAAAAAAACUGAAUUUUGGGACUGUUUUGCCUUAAUGUAAUCUUUUGUUGUUGUUUUCUUGUUAGCUAAGAUUAUAGUUGUAAAUGUGGAGAUUAUAAGUGUAGACACACAAAUUUUUGAUUUUUUAACUUUAUUGUUUAAUAGAUUUAUUUGUUUCAAUUCUAGGGUUUUUAUUUUUAUUUUAUUUUGUUCUAGUUAUAUUUAUAUUUAUAUUAUUUAUUUUUUUUUAAAUACUAAAUUUCAAAAAAAAGAAAAAAAGAGAGAAAAAAAAGUAAAUGACAAGUAGAGGGGGCAUGCAUGGGACAAGUGUCCCUCUUGUAUUUUGACAACAAGGCAUUUAAGGGGGUUAGGUGUUAAGAUUUUUGGUGACGGGAGAAAAAAAAGAAAACUGGAGGGAGCCGAUAGUAAGAGGGGCUUGGGGAGCAAAAACAGGAAAAGGGCGAAAAAGCGAGAGGGUUUUAGGGCUGGAAGAAAGGAGGAGAUUAACGGCUGGGGGACUGGAAAAGGGGACGGCUGAGAGAAAUUAAAAAGGAGGGGAGAUUGGUGAAGAAAAGACAGAGGGUAAGGAAAAGAAACAGAAGAGGGGCGGCAGACAGAUAGAGCUAAAAAAACUGACUAAGGGAAGGCUAAAGGAAGAGACAGAGGGGCUUGGUGGAAGAAAAAGAAGAACAGGGGCGGAGCAGAGAGCUAACGCGAGAGAGAAAAACAACAACGGAGGAAAAAGGCAGAGGAAAAAGGAAAAAGCAGGGGUGGUGGGCAAGGAAAAACUAUCGAACAAAAAGAGAAAAAGAAGGAAAGGAGGGCUUCGGAGACUAUGGAAAGAGAGAAAGCUAAAGGAAGGAAGAAAGAGGGCUUCGGCUACGGGAAGGGUUGAACGGAUAUGGAAAAAACCUAAAAAUGGGGAGGAAAUUUCAGUUUGAACGAUCGAAAAGGAGAGAAAUUUCCAAUCACCACCGCCGCAAUCCAAGCUCUGCCACGGCAUCUCCACCUCGUGCGCCACUUAGCUGACUGACGCACCUCCCAUUCCCGCGCGGCCCUUCUCCGCCCCAGAUCUCCUCUCUUCCUCACGCCGCCCGCCCAAGCCACCAUCAGUCCGCAUUCGCUGCUGUUGCUGUCUGCCAUCGUCACCACCAUACACAACCUCCUUGGCCGCUGCCGCUCUCUGCAAAUCUAGAUGAAAGCUCUCAAACGAAGUCAGACUUCGUCAUCUUCCAAUUCCAGAAUGAAAGAGUCAAGAAGAAAGGGACGCCAUUCUGGAUACGGUAAGCCACCAUCAUCCUUCAAAUUUCAGUUUUAUACAAGCUUUCGAAGCCUAUUUUAUUUUUCACGUUGUGGCUUGUAGCCAUUUCUCUGUUUGAGUUAUUCACUAAUUGGAAGUAUGUAUGCUUUGAAUGUCGAUAGGACUGGAGUUUCUUGUGUUUUGACAUAAUUUUGGGGCUGAAUAUAGCUUUAAUUGAGUAGAAAAUUAGUAAAAACUCUAAUGCCCUCAACCUGUUCGACGAAAUGCUUGGCUGAAAAUUUCUCAUUGAAAGAACAUUUGGUUGCAUUUUUUUUCGUGUGAAAGAGCCAGCUAGUUCAGCAGGUUCAUUUCUUUGCGCCUGAAAAUUUUUGAUGUGUUGAUAUCUUGCACCUUUUUCUGUUUUUCCGUUCCCUUAUGCUUCCCAUCGUAUGAAUUCGAAUUAAUGAUAGGAAAGGGAGUUUUGGUUUCUCGUUGUCUAUUACCAAAUUCUGGUAUGGCUUUGAUUGCAAAGAAAGUUGCGAUGGCAACUGAUGUUGAAUCAAUUCGGUGGAGAAGAUGAUCACUUGUCCAAAAUUGCAAUUUCAGUCCCUUUAUUCUCUUUGGCUUUGUGGUUUAAUCCAGAGUUGAGAACUUCCUAAUUUGAUUCCCAGAUUUCUAUAAUUUUUUUCGAUUGGGUCCUUAUUUGCAUUGCAUUGGAACCCCUCAAAUCCCCUCUUGUUCUGAUAUGACCCGGAAGAUUGGGAGGAGUGAACUUGUUUCUCCCUUUUAGAUUUUAAUCAUCUUUUAAUCUGCUUAAGUAGUCUUUCAGCUAGAUUAAUUCUUGUUUUUAGAUCAUAAUUGUGGCUUGAUUAUUUUAGUUGAUUUGCUAAUCUGGUUGGGUUUAGUUUUGAUUUAGGUUGUGGGCAAUAAUAUUUGUUUGGAUUCGUAAAAGUGGAUUUAAUUUGUUUUGUUUGGGUUUCUGGUUUGGGCUUAGGAGGUAAAGCCCACUCUUUUGGUUGGGUUUGUUUUAUGGGUUAAUUCCACUUUGUCCUCCCAAACUUUAGGCGAUUAUCCACUUAAGUCCCUAAACUUCAAAAUGGGAUACUUAAAUUCCAAAACUUAUAAAUACCUCCCACUUAAGUUCCUGAACUUAUAAAAUGGAACACUUAAAUCCCUAAAUCCUUAUAAAAUGGGACACUUCGACCACCAACAGCAUUCAGGAUUUGUUAACAAUUUUCCUUAAGUGGGAGGUAUUUAUAAGUUUAGGGAUUUAAGUGUCCCAUUUUGAAGUUUAGAGACUUAAGUGGGUAAUCGUCCAAAGUUUGGGGGACAAAGUGGAAUUAACCCUUGUUUUAUUGACUAGGAGAUUCGCGCGGUGUGAAAUUAAUAGGUAGUAUGCCCAGUGUAAAGCCCAUUAUAAUAGUUUUUUUAAAAACAAAAUAGAUAAUCCAUAAUUAGGAGUAAUGACUAAAAUAAGUUAUAAAACUAUAUUGGCCAAAUAUGUUGAAUCAAGGCCAACUAUAUUAAUCAAGAAUACAGUUAAAAAAAAACUUCUAUAAAUUAUUACAAGUUGUAUGCAUGAUUGGAUACUAAGUGUUUACUAACUAUGGCUCAAGCUUGCAUUUCUCAAUCUCUUUACAAUGCCGAAUAUCGUUUAAGAGUUUAUUUGUCCUCCUCUUCCCAGAGCUUAUUCGAAUAAUCUCCUACUGCCAUGUUUUUAUCCUGCACAAGAGGUAAUGCAAUUUUAUGUUUAAGCCAUAUGAAUUUUAUGUAUCAUUAAAGAUAUAAUCUAGACAGAGUCAUAAAUGAACUACUCUGAUGGAACUAAAAGGAAUAUAAUAUUACAGUAUAAAUUGAGUUAGAAUUGGCCCAGCAAGAAGCAAAUAAAAACUACUUUCUCCGCUAUAAAAUAUGCAAUUUGCUGGUAGCUAUGCUUGAUAUGCACAUGCAAUGGUGAUGACGUUCUUUAUUGCCAUGGCGUUGUAUGUGUCAAAAUCAACUGUAAAUUAAGCUCUUGUAUGCUGAAACCAAAACUUUACACAUUAGACAAAAUUAAGAAUGACACCAUGUAAAAAUAGGAACGAAAUAUGUGAUAAGUUUUGAAGCCAAAAAUAUUGAAAUUUGAGAAAUAAAAAUGAAAGAACUAACAUUUCCAUGGGAAACAAAUAUGAAAAAGAAAUUAUUGAUUAAGUAAAGAGGCCAAUCGAUCUCACAAUUAUUGAUCACUAUACCAGGGAAAGAUAAAUGAUAGCAAAUAGUAAAAUAGUUCAUAUCCACACUGUUUGUGGUUGCAAAACCAUACCUUGCUUCUUGAUAAGAAUUCAUGAGAAAAGUCUUGUAGUAGCCAGCCAACUCAAGCAGUUCAUCAACUUUCUCACUUUUCUUCCCAAAAUUUCAAAAGCAAAUUCAGUAAGCACUAUAUGAUUGAUAGCAACAAGUGAUUAUUCAAAAAACAACGAGUGAAGGAAAUGCAAAGGGAUUUAGAAAUUUGAGGGAUGAAAGCAAAUGAUCCUAAGAGGGUUCAGCACAUGCAGUCCUCAACCAAGAGACGUUGAAUUUAGGCGAAAACUUGCUAUUCAUCAAGAAUGACAGUAAUACCUAUACAUUAUUUGGAAACAAGCGCAAUCAAGUCAUCCAUGUGGUUUCCAUCAUUUGAUAGAAAGGCAAUGAGCGGACAGAAUGACUUGGAAUUCAAGAAAAAAUCAAGCUAACAAGAAUACUUAAAACCAAGAAAAAAUGUAAGCCACCGACCAACUUGAUAUGAACUAUUUAAACUAUCAAUGAAAUAGCAAGUUGAAGUUCCCAUGGAUUACAUCAUCUUCAUUAAGAAAAGGCAUAAGAUCAUUACAUGCAAUCUUGGACCAAUCAGUAAAGUCAAGAUCAACUGAAAGCUUUUAAUGCAGAAAUUAUUAAUACAAUUCCAUAAGGCUUCCACAAAUAUGCCUUUUUGAAAUAGAAACAGGGUUGCAAUGUAACAAUUCUUAGAUCUCGAUUAAAUUCGGAAUUUGUAUUAUAGGUCCAAUUAAAAACAAAAGCAAAAAUUUUUUUGGUCGAAUAAAUUGAGGAAUUUGUAUCAGUUAAGUUUCUUUAGAAAAAGUAACAAGUAACCGAGGAUAGCAUAAGGUAAAUAAGUACCUAUUUAACUCAAAUUCUGAACUACAUCAAUUCAAAAGAAAACCAUGACUUGCAUUCCGAAUCCAAAGCUAGUCCGAGGGUCUUGUAAAGGGUUUGACUUGGCAUCUGGACUGUUAUAUCCUUCAAUUUUAGUUUGUAAAGAACCACAUUGAUCAUCUUCCAGUAGCUCAAAGACAAUAGUGCCAGGCUAAUUGUGAUAUUUCCAUCACCACAUACCUCGACUAAUUUUUUCACCAUAAGGUGUCAGUUUAGAUUCUUUAUCCACUUCUUCACCUUGAAAUCCAUAAACAGCCUCCAAUGACUUACCCAAAAUCCAUCAAUAGUUGUGCAAAGAAUAAACUGCUAAAUAAAUUUGAAAAAAAAAAAAGAAAGCAAAGAGAGAACAAAAACACUGAAACAAUAACUCCUGCACAUACCUUGAAGGCUGAAAUAAGAAAAGUAGCCUCCUUAUUUCGUUCUUCCUUCAUCUAACAAAAAUUUAGUGUAAACAAGCGUCCGUCAAAUGAAGAAUAUAAUUAAAACAACCUCAUGGUAAUAACAUGAGAAUGAUUCAGAGAAAAUUAUUGAACUUAUUCUCCAUAUUCUUCAACAUUAUUAACAGUUGUAAAUGAAAUAUACAACCCACCAUUUUUUCCUUGCUUUUUUUUACAUUAAAAUAAAAGUCUAUAGUUACAUGAAGCAAGAUGAUAUGUAGAUUAAUAUCACAAGUUUUCCUAUCCUUUCUGAGUAAGACCCUUUUGAUUUCACAGCCCUUUCAAGAAUUCAAUAUUUUCAUUUAAUGGUUCACAAACCUUACAUGGUUUGAAAUUUAACUACUUCAACCAUUAACAGCCUAGAAUUUAACCCUAAGCAUUGAAUAAAUUAUAUAGAUAGCAUGCUUAGCAAAGCAAACAUGACAUUCUAGUCGUUAAUCAAACAAUUUUGAUCCAAAUCCAAGAAAAAAACCCCAAGAUGGAAUUCCACUCACCUAGACUAUAUGUCCAAAAAGCGCAUUAGCUGGCUGCAAAAAGAAAAAAAAUGACAAAAUCAUUACCAACUAACUAAGAGAGUUUAACAGAAACAGUCAAUCCACACCCUCUUACUUUGAAUUUUUUACUUAUAAAGAGUUAUUGGCAAUAUCAACUGGAAAACAAAAAUUUCUAUGAACAUGAAAAAAAGAAAGAAAUUAAACCAUUUCAUCUAAGGAAAUAAUCACAAGUUUCAAUGCAAAAAAGUGAAAGCAUAAAAUAUUGGAUCUUAAGUAAGGAUAAUUACUGAAUGUAGUUGCUUAAAAAGACUGACAACCUCUUAAUCAUGACUUACACUGGAAUUUUAGGAAAUACUUCAAUAAGAGGUAGAUGUCCUCUCCAUAGUCCAUUUCUUGAACAUCUAUCAAAGAGGAGUAAAGAUAGGAGAAGAUUACAGUUGACUUCGGGUAAAACGAAAGAAAAAAAAAUAGAAAAACAGAGAUCCUAAAAGUAUUUACUUGAGCAAAGAAUUCCAAUCAUUCAUACUUGGUAUCAAAUCCCUAUUCCUCAACCCGUAGCAAACAUAUAAAACUUAUUAGAGAAUAAAAUAAAAUUUAAUCAAGAGAAAAAAGUAUACAUAGAACAAGAGUGGAGAAGCCAGCAGUUUUCAGAGAGAAAGAAAGGAAGAUAAGAACAGAAGGACUUUUCAAAUAGAAACUUUGAGUUGGAGAGGAUUGAGAUAUGGAAAAUUAUUUGAUGGGAAUUGAUUAGUCUUGUAGCAUUGAGCCAAACUCCUCUAUUGCAGAUACAGGAAUUUGAGGGAAGGCCUCUGGUUUUGUAACUCCCAGUACUUUAACUCGCCAGCAAAGAGGAAAACAAUAACUUUUUGCACAGAAAGGAGAUGGGAGAAUUUUUUUUUACACAAAAGAUAGGAGAGAGAUGGCUCUGAGGUCUUUCUGUCAAUUUUUCUCAUAAAAAAUCUGAGGUAAGAUGACUCCAAAACACCUCUCCAAAAAUAGUUGGAUGUGUCAAAGAAGUGAUUGUAUUCUCAAAUUCUAGGAAGAAUUGUAUGCCAUUUAUCUCAAAGUAGAGGCAUCUUGUCCUCAUAUUUGAACAUAAAUGUGUUAUAUUUAGUACAAAUUAUCCAUCCAGUUAAAACAAAUUAGGAGUUCUACCAAAUUUUCUUCAAAAGUAACAUGCCCUUCCUUUAAGUUCUUUCCUGCAUAAAAAACUUCAACAUAAAUUGAAGGUCUGCAUCACAUUCACCUUUUUGAACCUAUCAAUUGGAAUACCGUCUUCAUGUUUGUCACAAAAUUUUCUGUUUAGGCUUAUCUCAAUUAAGUUCAUUUUUACAAGUAAAAAAACUAUCAUAUCAGGUUCAGUUUUCCAGACUUAAUCUUACUGAAAUGUUACAAAUCUAAGAGAAAAUAAUGUUUUGUAAAUAUAGACUUAAGUCAACCAAAACUGAUUUUCCUAAUAAGAAUUUCCAAGCUAUUAAACAUCGUAGUCCAUGAUUCAAGAGGCAAAACUACAAUUAUGUAGCAAUUUAAUUCUUUUUUUGAUCAAGGAAUAGAAAAUUUAAGGUGUUUUAUUAAAACAGUAACUUAUUAUUUCAAGCAGGUGCUUAGAAUAUAAUAUUUGAGAAUCCUCGUCUUGGACAAACCUUUAACCACCUACAAAUAGGAAAACCAUUUAGAUUGCCAUUGUAACAAAAAAAUAUAUUGCUCAAGAUACUCAGUUUAAUAUCCACUUAAGGUUCAUAAAACGAAUAUUCAAGAGGUUUUACCAAGAGACAAUUUAUGUACUAAAACAAAAAAUUUCAACACAAAGCAAUCAAAAGAAUAGCAUCACACGAUCUUUUGUAACUCAAAGUUUUGGCCAAUGACCAAUGUGACCUGGAAGUUCCUGAUUCUCAGAGAAGAAAUUUAUUCAUUCUUCAAAUGUUGAAAACCCAAUGAAGAAAAAGGAAUCGGAAGAACUGGAGCAAAUAGAAAGACAUUUUGAAGAUGAAGAAAUCUAUUUUAAACAAGUGAAUCUUUUUGUUACCAUAUGGAUUUCUUUUCUGAGCAAGAGAUCAACAAAACACCUGCACGAAAGACACCAAAAAAAUGACUAAAAAGAAAACUCAAACGAGGUUUGAAAAGACCAAAGGCCAAAGAAAAGUAUACCAUCAUUUGAGCUCUGAAAAGAGCAAUUUAAAGUAAAAAUUAAAUUAGAAUGAUAGACAAAGCUUACGUUUUUCCCCUCAGCAGUUGUCUUUCACGGGUGGCCAAUUUUCCUCCCUGUUGCAGAAGAAAUCCAAGAAAGGCAAAAACGGAAAGAAAAAUGGAACAAUAAAACACCAAGUAGGUACAAAAAAUAAAGUAAAUAAAUAUCUACAAGCCAGCUAAUCAUCAAUUAUUCACCAUCUCCGACCAUAUUAAAAGGUUUUUGUUGAAACUAAAAAUAAAAAUUUAAUGAUAAAACUGAAACGAAACAAAGACGUUAAUCAUGGAAAGAAAGGGAAGAAAAAUACCAUAUCUGUAUUCUACAAAUUCAUAUAGACAGUGGAGAUGAAAUAUUAACCUUUCACUUCCUCGUUGUUUCAGAAAAGGAUAAAAAAAAAAGAAGGGGGAAGAAUUGAUUGUUUUUAGCCAAGGAAAUAUCAGGCAAAAUGGCAGAGAAAUAGAAAAAAUCAGCUAUAAUUACUUGAGGUAUGGAGAGAGGGAGAUGAAGGAGAACAGGAGGGAGAAAUCGACAAAGGGAGGAGAGGAAGAUUACCAGUCGCUUUGCAUUCUUGAGCCCAUCGUCCAUCAACUCUGUCAGAAGAAAAAAAAUUUGGACCCCAAUUGAGAUUACAACCUGUUUCAAGUACAAUCAAAUGCCAGAAAUUCAGGGGAGAACUAUGGGUCUCACGAAGAUGGAAUUUUGUCUGGAGGAUAACAGCAAUACGGAUCGGUCUUCAAGAGUUCUUGACCUGACUGAUAGUUGUGCGUUUGACUGAGAGAGAGAGAAAAGCGGAAGAAAAAGGAUUGAAGAUCCAUCAGCAUACGAUGCCGUUUGAUUGAUCAAAAGUAAAAAGGGCAAAAACCCAUAAAUCCUCAAACCAUAUGCAAAAAAAAGUUCCAAAGGUAAAAAGUUCUUCAAUAUAAAAGACUUCCAAAGGUAAUAAGUAGAUCAACAAUUAAUCGCAAAAAAGUUGACAAAUAAUUGGGAUUUAUUUGGCAACCAAAAAAAGUGGUAAUAAUUGCAAAAAGCUAGUAAUUAAAUGUUAUUUGCUAGGCAAUAAAAAGUGACAAUUCACUUCCAAAAAAAAUUAUCAAUUGAUUGCAAAAGUUGGUAAUUAGAUGUGGUUCAUUUAGCAACAGAAAAAAAGUGUUAAUAAUUGCAAAAGCUAGCAAUUAAAUGUUAUUUAUUAGGCAAUAGAAAGUGAAAUUUAAUUAAUUAAUUAAUUAACAAUUAAUUGCAAAAAAUUGAUAAUUAAAUAUAAUUUGUUGUACAACCCAAAAUAAAAGAGGACAUUUUUUAUGACAUUUGAAAAAAAAUUUAUAAUUAAAUGCAUUUUUUGUGCAACCACAAAAAAAGAAGCCAAUUUUUUAAUAAUUCCAAACAACUGUUAUUAAACAUGAUUUGUUGGGUGACCAAAAACUUGACAUUAUUAAUUAGUUAUUAACAAUUAAUUGCAAAAAUUUGGUAAUUAGAUGUGAUUUGUUGGACAGCCAGAAAAAAAUUUGAUAAUUAAAGGUGGUUUUUGGGCAACCACAAAAAAGAAGUCAAUUUUUUGCUACUAAUUGCAAAAAAAUUGUUAAUUAAACGUGAUUGUUGUAUGACAAAAAACAGACAUUAAAUUUAUUAACAAUUAAUGCAAAAAUGGUAAUUAGAUGUGAUUUGAUGGACAACAAAAAAAAGGAAUCCAAAAUUUUUGUUAAUGUGAUUUGUUGGAUAAAAAAGAAAGAAGCAAAAUUUUAGCACAAUCCUACAUGCAAUUAGAGGACUACCACUUUUCAUCCAAUCAAAACUCGCCACAUCACCAUCUUCAUAUGCAAUUGGGAGGACUACCACCAAUCGCGAAUCAGAGGAUGACAACUCAUCAAAUUGGAAUCAAUUGGAGGACUACCACCAAUCAACCAAUGGGAGAGCGCCACGUCAGCAAUUAGGUUCAAUUUGGGCAAUUGCAUUCACACAUUUACUAUAUAUGUUAAUAAGUAGAGGCCCAUAUGUAGUCUCUGGGCUUUGCGGCAGGCUGAAGGGAUCUUUGGCCCAAAAAUAGACAAAAGUUGGCCCAGUGGCCUUGUCACUUAAGAGACCAGAAACGAAAUUGCAAAUCAGCCCCUGCAUUUUUCCUUAACUAUACUGUGGCCCUGGAAGCUUUCCAUUUCUUUCAAUUGGGUCCCUAACUUAAUUGCAAAUAGGCCUUUAAACUUUAUUUUCUUUAACUUUGACCCCAAAGCUUUGUUAUUUUUUGCAAUCAAGUCCUUUCUUCUUUUGGCUUCUUAGAUGUUGGGUUGCCUAUAUGAUUUAAUUGAUUUAAUUUCAUGUUUAUUUUUAUCUUUUGUGAUUACUUAUUAAUUAAAGUGGUGCCUUGACCCUUUCUUUGUUUUUGGAGGGUAAAUAAGUAGUUUUUGGAGGGCUCCAAUUCAAGGGAGGUACACCCUAUCCCUUAUUUCUUACUUUAUUUGACUCUAUGUGCCCUACGUGACUUUACGUGUUUAAUUGCAUGCUCUUGAAUGUUGUUAUUUAUUUAUUCAUUUCGCUUAUUGGCUUUAGUUUUUAUAUAUUUGAAAGGCAAUUUCAUGCCAAGAUUGUAAUAGUUAGGUUAGUAUAUCAUUUUACUUAAUUCAUUCCCCUUUAGAUUGUAGUAGGGCUCCCCAAAUGUAAUAGUUAGGGCUUUAUUUGCUUCAUUGAGUAUUGUGUGAUUUACAUGCUUACGUGCUAUGUGUUACCGCCUUCUUAGGGUCUUGCAUCUAGAUAUUAUGCUCACGUGCUAUGUGCUAUAUGUGGUUUAGGUGUUUACUUGCUUUAUCAUGUUUUAUGUGAUUAUGAAUAAAUGAAUGACGUCACCACACUAGUCCAACGCUAGUUGUGGUACCUUUUCUCAAAUUUCUCACUAGUCCAACGCUAGUUGAGACCCUUUUUUUUCCGAUUUCUCGCUAGUCCAAUGCUAGUGAGUACUCAUAAAUAAAGGGUUAGUCCAACGCUAGACCUAAUAGGGCCGCCCCUCGUUAGUACAUAUUCGCAUGCCCUCAAUACAUCCUCAUUCAUUUUUUUCUUUUUAGUUUUACACUUUUGCAUGACCCUUCACUCCCUUUCCCUUGCACAUUUAGGAUUGCAUUUUCAUUUAGAUUAGCUCAUUUGCUGUAUAGGUUAGGGAGUUACCCUUUUGGUAAGGGGGAUGACGAGUUUGGCUACACAUAGCCUUAGCACGCUCAUUCUUUUCUAACCAAAAGGAAAAUUAAAAGUCACGACUUAGGGUCUCCCCGUACCCAUUUUGCAUUCCUCUAGGGCUCAUACAUUUUAUUUUGUACAUGAUCACUUUCCACAUUUUCACUUCACACAACUCUUAUUUUGCACAUUUUCACUUUACCACUUAUACUAUUACUAUCACUUGCACACAUGCACUUCAUACUAUCACUUUACAUACCUCACCUUGCACACCCAUUUGUACAACUUCCACUCACACACUAUUGUCUUUUAUUACUUUUUUUUUUUACUUCACAAACUCAUGUUUUUCACAUUGCAUACAUUCAUUUCACUCAUUCUUACAUCAUUAGCAUUAUUCGUGACCUCUUGGAGGGCUUAUCCUUGACUAUCACGACUCAUGUGAUUAGUUCAAUCGAGCCUCUAAGAGAUAUUUGUCCCAUUCGAUUCAUCACUAGAUUUAGGAUUGCAUCCAUGUUAGUUACAUCCACAUGCGAUACAUCUUUGGAUUAAAAAUAAAGAAAAUUUUUGACUAAAUCGCGCAACUAGCCUUGGCUAGGUUGAAAGGGUGUCUCGGAUUCUUAUCCUUGCCUUCCCUUUCUUCAAAUGUGACUCCCGAAUCUUUUUCUCUGAUUUUUGUAGACUUGGAAUCGUUUAAAAAGGUUUUCUACUUAAUUUUCUUUAAAAAUUCAUUUUUAGGUGACUUGAUACACCUUAACUCUAUACCAAGUGGCGACUUCAUUUUUUCAUUCAAAACUCUUUUUAAACUAUAUUUUGGGUCGAAUCGUUGCAUUCGCAAGUCCCAUUUAGACCCACAUGUUUUUUUCAUUUUUUCUUUUUAAAUCAAAAAAUCAUUUUGCUAAACUAAUUUAUUUUUCUUUCAAAAAAUGGGCGCCGACAAUAAGGAGUGUUUUGGCAUAAAUUUUAUGAUUUUUGGGUGAAGAUUUGAGUGUUUUAAAAAAUAAAAACUGGACUGACUUUUUGCUUUUCGGCCACCUUCGAGUCAUCUUUUGUAAAAAUUAACUUCGGAAAUGGAACCUACGGGAAAAAUGGAGUGGGGAGGUGCAUUUUGAGAAAUUUUGGUAACCGGAGAGGACGCCGGCGGUGGCGGUCUGGUGGCAGCGGCGCCACCGGUGGCCAACUGAAGUGAGCUUCGGAUGGCCAGAGGAGAAGAAGAAACGAAUGGGGAAGAAAGAAAGAAAGGAAAGAAAGAAAAGAAGAAGAAAAAAGGAAAAGAAUUGGGUUAAUUUUUUAGUAGGCUUGAGUUUAUUUUUUUGGUUGGAUUUUGGGAAUGGAUCCUUGUUUAUUUCUUUUGGGUUUCGGUGGGUUAGGAGGUUGGAACCCAUGUUUUUUUGGUCGGUCUUGAGUGAUAACAAGACGGGCUGGCAUGUGUGUUUUGGUUUGGACUUUCGGUUGGGUUUAGGCAGUUUUCGGCCCGAAGAAAUAAAUAAUGGCCCAAUAGCCUAUUUUCUUAAGAAGAUCUGAUUACGAUUUGCACUUUGGCCCUUGAUCUUUGGAGCAGUUUUAUUGUGGCCCAAAACAUUUUAAAUUCCUUUCACCUAGGUCCUUAAAUUAAUUGCACUUUAGUCCCUGAAUUUUAUCUUUCAUUUAAUUUCGACCUCUGAACUUUGGAAAAUAUAAUUUUUUUCCCCAAAAGUUUUUCAAAUUUUACAAUUCAGUCCCUGAUGAAUUUUGACUCUCUUUAUUAUGAUUGCUUCUUUUCUUUAAUAGCUGAUUAUGUUACUUUUGAGUAUGUUUAACUUGUAAUUUUUAGAUAUUCUUAAAUUUAUUUACGUUUGACAUAUUAAGGUGAAUUUUCAUUAUAAUUAUUACUUUUUCAAUUAAAUUGGUGCCAUGAUUCUUUUGUUCAUUUUGAAUAUAAAUAGGGCAAUUUGACUCCGUUUAGUCACCACUUCAAAAGGGAGGUACCCCAUUAUUAUUAUUUCAAUGUCAAUUAUGUGUUCUUAUGUGCUCCUACGUGUUCCUAUGUGUUUAUAUAUUUUCAUAUGUUUUGUUUAUUUGAUUUACAUGUUCAUUCGAAUUUUCUUAUAUUUGUUUAGUUAAUUCUUAUAAUUAUUCGAGAGGCAUUUAAUUACCUCAUAAAUGUAAUAGAUAGGAUAAUUAGAUUUGUUUUUAUUAUAUUUUUCCUUUUUAGAUUGUAGUUAAGUCCCCUGUUGUAAUAGAUAGGGUAGAUAGGAUUUUCUUUAUUUUUCCAUUUUAGAUUGUAGUUAGGCUCCCCGAUGUAAUAGAUAGGUUGUGUGUUUAUGUGGCUUACGUGUUAUAUGUUUUACCCGCUUUCCUUAGGAUUUUUGCCUCUAGAUAUUGUGUUUACGUGUUAUGUGCUACGUGUUCUUAUGUGUUUAUUCGUUUUAAUUUAUGCUUUAUUUGUUUUACUAUGUAUUAUUAAUACAUGACGUCACCACACUAGUCCAACGCUAGUUGUGGCUUCUCCUCUAUUUACUUGCUAGUCCAACGCUAGUAAGAAUUUUUAGAAAUGGGCUAGUCCAAUGCUAGACCCUUUAGGCCGUCCUGCGCUAGAUUCAUCUUUGUGUGAUAAUUCACUACAUUUUCAUGCAUAUUUUCAUUUUUAAGAUCUUUUCUCAUUUGCAUGAUAUUCCCUAUUAUAUUAUCCCCUAUCCUCUAUAUGUGUUAAUCAUAUCACUUAGAAUUGCAUUUCAUUUAAGAAAUUGUAUGAUAAGUAGGUUCAUUUGCUUGUUCAUAUUAGGAGAAUUAUUUUUCAAACAUGAAAAAUGGGUGAUUAUAACUUUUUAGUUUAAAUACCCCAUUAAUCCCUGUAUAAGAAAAUUAUGUCACGAGUUUUUGCCUCCCAUAUCCUUUAUGUUGCAUUCCUUUUUCUUUGAUCACUUAUAUCUAUGUAUAUAAUUUAAUUUCUUUUCUUUACUUUCUUUUUUUCAUCAUUUGCAUACUCGUGACCCUUUCAAGAAAGUAUUUUGGCCUUCGCAAUUAAUGCGAUUGUUUUAAUUAAACCUUUGAAUGGAUAUUUUGUCUCUUUCGAUAUUUUAUUUGCAUCCAUGUAGAAAACAUCCAAAUGUGAUAAAUUUAAGGGUUAGAUUAAGAAAAUUUUGACUAAAUCACGCAACUAGUUUAGAUUAGGUUGAAAUGGUGCCUUAGGUUUGAGAUAAUUGAACCUUUUCCUUCCCUUUCUUCAACCGUAACUCCCAAAUUCAUUUUCUCUAUUUUCAAAGAUCUGGAGUUGUCGAAAAGGAUUUUAUUUUAUUUUACUUUAUUUUUUGAGUGACUUGGUACACAAAAACUCUAUACCAAGUGGCGACUCCUAUUUUUUUCUUGAAAACCCUUUUAGACAAAUUUUUGGACCUAAAUUAUCACAUUCUUUUUAAGUCCCAUUCUAGGUCCUUUUCAUUUAUUAUUAAUAAAUCACAUCUUUUUAUAAACACUUUAUUUUUCAUCGUGAAAAAUAGGGUGCGACAACUUAGCGACUCCUCUGGGGACGCUAGAGAGUCCAAGCACUUGAUUUAGUUGUCUUUUCUCUUUUUAACACUUUUUUUUUUAUAAAAUUUGGAUGUUUUAGGUUGCAUUUUUCUUUUUUAGAAUGUUUUGCAUUUCACACUCGUAUUCGUUCCUCAUAUUUCGUGUAUGUGAUGAAUGGUUUAUUUAUUUACUUAUUCGUAUCGCGCUUUGCAUUUGGGAUAGGGAAUAUUACCUUAGAGCCUUCACGUGCAUUUAAUGUUAAUCCCUUCCCUCAAAAGGAAGCACCUCAUACGUGCAUGCAUUGUUUUUUACCCUAUUUUUAUUUUCUCGUGGGCGCCAUCCCACAUUUCCUUGUAGGAUUAGAAUCGAUUUCUUUAGGUAUGCGGAUGGUGUGCGCUGUGCCCAUAGUGGUACCUAAGGGAUCACUCAAGCCACCGAUCGAAGGCCUUAGGAUUGUUGACCCUCCGCCCUUUUGUCUGAAGGCUUGGGAGCCUGAACUUUUUCGAGUCUAAAUGCAUUAGUAAGUCAAACCUCAUGCAUCCAUGAUAGAAAUUGCCCAGGUUAGAGUCAACCUACCCAAUUAGGAACACUAGGCACGGGGGAGGGAUUACACUCCUCUUUCUUUAAUUGCCUUUUAUUUUUCAUAUAUUCUUGUUUGCUCCAAUGUGUUAUAUGUCAUAUAUCAUUUGAUCUAACCUCUCCUUGUUUUCUCCUCCACUGCAUUCAUAAGUCUUAGAAAAUAAGAGUCCUGGCAUGGUACUUUCUAGGGUUUUACCCUAUUUGAUGUUACACGUUUAAAUUCAGUGUUUCGCAUUUGCAGCAUGAAUACAUUUCAUUUUAGCCUCACCCCGGCAUACAAAAAAGAGAGUUCCUUUAGGACACGUUUCAUUGGUGUACUGCAUAUUUAGUUGCUUUGAUAAACUGGCAUCAUGCAUCUACCUUAGAAGGGAAUGCCAUCUAGGGAAUCCCGUGUUAGGGACAAGCCGCCCAAUGUUUCGGAUAUAUAAUCCAAUGAGACUUGCACGUUUAUAUUUCAUGUACCAUCCAAAGGGGUAGUGCACGAGAUAAGGUAGGAUCCGAUCUUUUCAACAAACGGCAAAACAAUUUUUGCACAUUAGAAUAUGGGCAUCUAACAAUCAUCUUUUGGCCAUUUUAAACAAAAUUGGUAAAAAAAUUCCCUUGCGUAAAGGACAUUAAUUUGAAGAAAUUCACAAAUAAUUUCUCAUUAUUGAGACAAUAAAUGUAGAGGCCAAAUCUUGAUUUUAGGAGGCUCAUAGACUAAUGCAUUGCAAUAAUUUUUUGAAACUACCAAUGGUAAUUAAUUCAAUCGAUUUUUGAAUAAACCAUCAAUUUCAUCCAAUCCAUCUUGUCAAUUCAUUCAAUUUUAGGACAAUCUAAUCAUUUUUGAAUAAAUUAUUAACUCCAUUUCAUUCAUUUGGCCAAUUUACCCAUUUUUAGGGCAAUCGAGUCAUCAUCAAUUUCAUUCAAUUCAGUUGAUCAAUCUACCUAUUUUUAGUGCAAUUCGGUCGAUUUUGAAUAAAUCAUCAAUUUCAUCAUAUCCAUUUGACCUGUUUAUUCCCUUUAGGGUUUAAGUCUAAGGUUUACUGAAUAAAUUAGUCAAAACAUUGCAAUCCUGUCAAGAGUAGGUUCUUUCUCACAUCAUUUUAUGUGUCGAUCAAAACAAGCAAUCCAUUCGGACUUCGUCCUCAUUUUUUUUAGGACAAACGUCUCUUCUCACUCUAAUUUUACCUAAUCAGUUGAUCGGAUUCAUCAGGUAUUGUAUGGUGCCUACCCUAGAGGAUUGCAUUUUCAUACUAGGCCUACCUUUGGCAUAAAAGGGUUCCCCCAUAGGACAUGCAUACCGAUUUUAUAGUCUUACUUACUAAUUCAGGAUAUUUUUCUUUUUGUUUUUCCCCCUCUCCUGCAUUCAACAAAAAUGCUUUAAUAAUGCUUUAAUAAAGUGAAAAUAUUUUUCUAUGUUUGAUAAAAUUUGAAAAUUACAAGUAUUACUUGAUUCUUAGGCAGACCUUGCAAAAAAAACAUGAAAAAUCUAUUUGGAAGCGUUAGGCUAAAGCCUCUAAGAGAUUUCAUAAUUGUUUUCAAAGAAAAAUUCUGUAUAUUUGACGUGUUAAUAUUUUUGUUCCAAAAGAAAAUGAGACAAAAGUGUAUAUAUGUAGAGCUCUUUAGAAGUUUUCUCUUCUCAUUUGUAUUAUAAUUGAACGAGAAAUUUUGUUUUAAACUUUUUCAGCAAUAAAGUUUUGGACACUUAUUGUUUUGUGUAUAUUCAUGUAUAUUUUAUUCUUUAUAUUUGCUCAUUGGAGAUUUCAUGAUGAAUUUUAAGAAAUAAGACCAAAUUGAGAUUUUUUCAACCUUUAGCCUGAAAAUUUACAAGUGUAUGCUUUCUAAAAUCUUUGCGUACACUAGAUUGGUGAUCCGAACUGUACAAUAAGUAAGAGUGCUCAAAAUUAAAAGAGGUCACUCGAAAGGCCCAAUGAGAUACUUUUUUUUCCUUCACUGUACAAUUCAUAUUUUUACCCACCUCUAUUAGCCCCAAGAUAAAAUCAGUCACAUUGAUUGAUAAAUUGUAAAUUGGGCAAUCUUUGCUUGAAAAUGUCCACUGUGUCUAAUUAUAUGCAAUUCACAUCUAAGUGAAAGCAAAAAUGUGCAUUAUUCUUGUUUGUUUUGAAAAUUUGAAUGAUACUUCAAGCGUUCGUUUCUCUACCUAUACAGAUUUUAUCAUUUGCUCUCUCAUUUGAACCUUUGAAAGAAUAAUUUCGUUUCAAAUAAGAGCCUUAAUGAUCACUACCCUACAUUGAAAAAUGCUUAGAUAUCAAGAAAAGAGUAGAUUUUCAAUGACCAUUUUGUUACUUUGGUUAUCAUGAAGUGUAAGAAUGAUACUUUGGCCAUCAUUUCUAUAACCUAAACACCAUUUAUCCCUUGCAUCCUUAUUUGAUCUAAAAUGGGUGUUCUUUUCAAAACACCUAUGAUCGCACCCACAUUGGGAAAGGAGAUUGGAAAAUUUUCCAAAAAGCAAAAUGCUAAAAUUUAAAAAAAAGAGAUAGAGAACCCCAAGUGGGGAAAAUUUGAUUCUACUAUCGAUAUCUGGGAUUCAAUUUUGAAAAAGAAAAAAAAAGAAAAGGGAAGGUUUUUUCCGGCGGAUCACUUAUGUUUCACAGAUAUGGAUGAACAAGGGUCUUCCUCAGUCAGUUAAUUCAGAUACAUGCAAGAAAUUUCGCAUUAAUGAAAGUUUCCUUUCAGACUUAUUGUAGGGAACGAAAUAAAAAGUUAGGCCUUCUUCUUUUCCAAUCAAACAUUCUAUCGCUAGUUAUCCCUUUUGACCCUUCAGAAAAAAUACUUCGUUUGACGACCCCUGAGGAUCGCAAACCCUACAAUGGGGCAAGUUUGAGUUGAAAGGAAAAAAAAGUCUCAAGAGGUGAAAAGUGCUAAAACAACAAAGGCAAAAGGAAAAAAAGAAGAAAAGAGAACCUCGGUUAAAUAUAAACUGGGUAAAUUUUGAAAUUUUUAAAGGAAUGGCAGAAGGCCGAAGAAGAAAAAUCAAUCGAAGAAAAAAAGAACAAAAUGAAAGAGAAAAGAGCCUCAAUUGACAAUAAACUGGGGCAAGUUCUGAUUUAACCCUAAAAGAGGGUUGAUACAAUAAUGCGAUCUCAGAUAAUUUAAACCACUUUUGAAAAUCCGCUUUCAAGCCUUAACUUUUCUAAGCACCCCACCAGACCCCAUUAUAAAAGCCGAAAGUCCUGACUUCUGUUCUUUGCAAUAUCUCUGUCAAGAAACUUUCUAAUUAAUUGGCAAGUGAUGCGCGUAUACUGAUGCCAGGAAAUUGUUUAGAUGUAUUUCUGAAUUGAUUAGCUGUGAAGUUGACAGUACUCAUCAUCUGAAAAUCCGCCAGUGCACCUUUUAAAAGAAAAGAAAAAAGCAAAAAUAAAUGCAAAGAAAAUGCAAAAAGAUUCGAUGCUGAAAGUCCCUAUUGAGUGAUUAAAAAAGUCAAACAAAGGUCAAGAUCUUUGAGUCCAAAUUGGGGUAAUUUUUUGAAAAAUGCGAUCUUCAGUGCAAUGUUCUUAAAAUCUUAUCUCUUUAACUAUCGUUUUCAAGCCACAUUACAAACUCAUAAAAUCCAUCGUUGACUUAUCUUUCAUGACAACUCGAAGUAAGAAUUAUGCUUCUGAGGAAUCCCUCAAUCAUUCGGGAUCAUAAGGUUAUAGCCUGUUGUCACAUGUUUAGCUAUCGUUUCUACCCAUAUGUUACAAGUUUAUAAAGCUUAUAUGUUGACUAAGUUUUCUUAAGGAAGAAGGGUGACAAACUCUUUGCUUUCACUAAGAUGUGAUGUUGAAUGGAUUACAUACAAUUUUGGGCACAAGAACAAGACAAAUCUUGACUUCUCAUUUUUCUUAGCCACCUCAAAAUCAGAAAUAAGAUCACUUGAUUGGUCCUGAAAGACGAGCUAACAAGAAGUGGUGACACAUUACUCUCAGCAUCGAUGCUAAGGUGAGGAAGAAAUCUUCUAUAAUUUGGAAUUAUUUCGAGAGAUUCAUCAUGAAAUUUUUCGUUAGGAAACAUAGUUUAUUACUUUUUGUUCAAACAAAUGGAGAGUCAUCCAAACAAAUUUUUGCAAUUAAAUGGGCCCACAUUGGGGCAAAUUUUUAUUGUGAGAUUUCAUAAAAUAAGCCCACACUGGGGCAAAAUUUUUAAUACACCUGGGAAUUUCGUCCGAGAGUCAAAUAAUAUACUUUCGAAUCAAUCACGCUGCUCUUUUCAUGAGUAGUAAGUGCAUCAAUUUAAGUGCAUAGUGUACUUGGAUAAGCCCCCUACAAGUAUUAAUGGUUGAAAUCGAUGAUAUAGCAUUUGGUGAUGUGGAAGGCCGAUACCGAAAAGAGAAGAAAGAGGAAACAGGAAAAGGGCCCGACACUGGGGCAAAUUUUUUUUGCCAAGAUUCUCUCAAUCAGGGAAAAUCAGGAAAAAUCCGAAAAAGAACAAACAAUUGAAAAAAAAAAAGAUCCCAAAAAAUCAAUCAAAAAUUAGAAAAAUCAGAAAAAGCAAAAAUUGAAAGAUUAUCAUGGCAGGCUCGGGUUUAAUCCCACUGACCAAUUCUCACGACAGGCUCGGGUUUAAUUCCACUAACCAAUGCAUCACACUGGGCAAAUUUUUGGAUAAUUUUCCAGAUAAGUCUUAUACAGUUUCUUCAUACAUACCAGCAUUUCAUUUUUGCAACGCCACUAGCAGUUGGAUCAGUCCCACUAGUGAGCACUUCAUUUUUUGUUCGGGUCAGUCCCAUGAUUUAAAGCUUGUUCGGGUCAGUCCCAUGAUUUAAAUUUUGUUCGGAUCAGUCCCAUGAUUUAAAGCUUGUUUGGGUCAGCCCCAUGAUUAAAAGUUUGUUCGGGUCAGCCCCAUGAUUAAAUGUUUGUUCGGGUCAGUCCUAUGAUUUAAAUUUUGUUCGGGUCAGUCCCAUAAUUUAAAAUGUUAUUCGGGUCAGUCCCAUGAUUUAAAAGUUUGUUCGGGUCAGUCCCAUAAUUUAAAUUUUGUUCAGAUCAGUCCUAUGAUUUAAAAUUUUGUUCCGAUCAGUCCCAUGAUUUAAAUUUUGUUCAGGUCAGUCCUAUGAUUUAAAUUUUGUUCGGGUCAGUCCCAUGUUUAAUUUCUAGUUCCGGUCAAUCCCAAGUUUAAAUUCUGAUUCGGGUCAGUCCCAUGUUUAAUUUCUAGUUCGGGUCAGUCCCAAGUUUAAAUUCUGGUUCGGAUCAGUCCCAUCUUUAAUUUCUAGUUCGGGUCAGUCCCAUGAUUUAAUUUCCUGUUCGGGUCAAUCCCAUAUUUAAAUUCUAGUUCGGGUCGGUCCCAUGUUUAAUUUUUGGUUCGGGUCAGUUCCACGUUUAAUUUCUCGUUCGGUUCAGUCCAAUGUUUAAUUUCCUUUUCGGGUCAGUCCCAUGUUUAAUUUCUCGUUCGGGUCAGUCCCAUGUUUAAUUUCCUGUUCGGUCAGUCCCAUGUUUAAUUUCUUGUUCGAAUCAGUCCCAUAAUAAAUUCUCGUUCGGGUUAGUCCCAUAUUUAAAAUUUCUCGUUUGGAUCAGUCCCAUGUUUAAAUUCUUGUUCGAGCCAGUCUCAUUUUAAAUUUCUUAUUUGGGUCAGUCCCAUGUUAAAUUUCUGAUUCGGGUCAGUCCCGUUUUAAAUUUUUUGUUUGAGUCAGUCCAUUUUAAAAUUUUGGGGUCAGUCCUCAUUUCAAAAGCGUCAGUCGUUCGAAUAGCUUGCAUUGUUUGAACUACGUUUGAUCUGAUUUCCAUGGCGGGAUACGUAGGCAACUCUACAUGAGGUCGGUCACGUUUUUGUAAUUUCAUUGCAUCAUUUUGUCCAAUAAUUUCAACCAAGUGUUGGCUUGUUUGUUUUAACUCAUGUGCAGCUAGAAGAGACAGGUAAGUAAUUUGGUGUCUACGUCUAUGUCUUCAAUUUCUUUGAAACUCUAGACAAAGAGGGGCAAGCUGUAGACACCAAAUUUUUGUCAAUUUUCAGUGUUUUCUUGAAUUUUUUUUCUAUUUAAUGAAUUAUUUAUUUUCUUGCAUUUUAAUGUGCAUUUUUCUCAUUUUUUGCAGGUUUGUUUAAAAAAAAAAGAGAAGAAAGAAAAAAACAAAACACAAAAAAAAAAACAGAACAACAAAAACUAAAAAAAAGAGGAAAAUUAAGAAAAUAAAAAAAAUCAUUCUAAUCAUUUUUUUUAUACCAAAAUACAUUUAACCCAUUUCACAUUCAAUGGCCAUGGACUUGUCUUUUCAUUAGUUGAGAAAUCAUCAUUUUGGAAAAUUCAACACACAAGCUCCAUUUUGGCUACAAGUCCCUCUCGGCUUUCUCUUGAAAAAAAAGGAGAAAAAAAAACACACAAAAAUAAAGGGGAGGCUCUUGGCUCUCUCUCUGGUCUCGACCAAAAAGAAGGAGAGAAGCCACAAAAGAAAAAUUUUCCCUCCCUCUCUCGGCGGACUCAAAACGGACAGAAAAAAAAAAGAAGAAAGGGGGACACUCUCUCGGCCUUUUCUUUUGCUCUGAACAAAACCAAGACUUCAAAUUUUUUUUCCCUCUCAAUACAUCUCUCGGACCUCCUCUCUCCCAAUAUUUCCACAACACCCUUGCAGACAACAAAAAGGGAGGCAGCGACUGGUUGGGCUAUUGGAGUUUGGCAAUCUCAUCAAAAACUUUGGCCAAGGGACCAAGGUCUUCAUUGAGGUAUUUCUUGCUUUCCUUUUUUCCAGCCUUUUUUUUUAUUUAACUAGAUUAAAUGUAUGUGUGAUUGUUUGUGUGUUGUUUUAUUUUGCUGGUUUUGUUGUUAUUGUAUCGGUGAAAUUUUGGGAAGAUCAUAAACCAGAUUUAGGAAAAGGAAAUGUUUCUUGUGAAUGCAUGUUAAUUGUUUGAAAAAAUGCCAAAAUGAAAAAAAUGAAUUUUAGGGAUUGUUUUGCCUUAAUGUAGUCUUUUGUUUGUUGUUUUCUUGUUAGCUAAGAUUAUAGUUGUAAAUGUGGAGAUUAUAAGGAGUGUUUUGGCAUAAAUUUUAUGAUUUUUGGGUGAAGAUUUGAGUGUUUUAAAAAAUAAAAAAUUGGACUGACUUUUUGCUUUUCGACCACCUUCGGGUCAUUUUUGUAAAAAUUAACUCCGAAAAUGGAACUUACGUGAAAAAUGGAGUGGGGAAGUGCAUUUUGAGAAAUUUUGGUAAUGGAGAGGUCGCCGGCGGUGGCGGUCCGGUGGCAGCGGCGCCACCAUGGCCGCCACUGAAGUGAGCUUUGGAUGGCCAGAGGAGAAGAAGAAAGGAAUGGGGAAGAAAGAAAAGAAAGGAAAGAAAAGAAAGGAAAGAAAAGAAAAGGAAAAGAAUUGGGUUAAUUUUUUAGUAGGCUUGAGUUUAUUUUUUUGGUUGGGUUUUGGGAAUGGAACCUUGUUUAUUUCUUUUGGGUUUCGGUUGGGCUAAGAGGUUGGAACCCAUGUAUUUUUUGGUCGGUCUUGAGUGAUAACAAGACGGGCUGGCCUGUGUUUUUGGUUUGGACUUUCGGUUGGGCUAAGGCAGUUUUCGGCCCGAAGAAAUAAAUAAUGGCCCAGUGGCCUGUUUUCUUAAGAAAAUCUGAUUACGAUUUGCACUUUGGCCCUUGAUCUUUGGAGCAGUUUUAUUGUGGCCCAAAAUAUUUUAAAUUCCUUUCACCUAGGUCCUUAAAUUAAUUGCUCUUUGGUCCCUAAAUUUUAUCUUUCAUUUAAUUUCGGCCUCUGAACUUUGGAAAAUAUAAUUUUUGUCCCCAAAGGUUUUUUCAAAUUUUGCAAUUCAGUCCCUGAUGAAUUUUGACUCUCUUUAUUAUGAUUGCUUCUUUUCUUUAAUAGUUAAUUAUGUUACUUUUGAGUAUUUUAACGUGUAAUUUUUAGAUAUUCUUAAAUUUAUUUACGUUUGACAUAUUAAGGUGAAUUUUCAUUAUUAUUAUUACUUUUUCAAUUAAAUUGGUGCCAUGAUUCUUUUGUUCAUUUUGAGUAUAAAUAGGGCAAUUUGACUCCGUUUAGUCACCACUUCAAAAGGGAGGUACCCCAUUAUUAUUAUUUUAAUGUCAAUUACGUGCUCUUAUGUACUCCUACGUGUUCCUAUGUGUUUAUAUAUUUUCAUACGUUUUGUUUAUUUUAUUUACAUGUUCAUUCGAAUUUUCUUAUAUUUGUUUAGUUAAUUCUUAUAAUUAUUCGAGAGGCAUUUAAUUACCUCAUAAAUGUAAUAGAUAGGAUAAUUAGAUUUGUUUUUAUUAUAUUUUUCCUUUUUAGAUUGUAGUUAAGUCCCCUGUUGUAAUAGAUAGGGUAGAUAGGAUUUUCUUUAUUUUCCCAUUUUAGAUUGUAGUUAGGCUCCCCGAUGUAAUAGAUUGGUUGUGUGUUUAUGUGGCUUACGUGUUAUAUGUUUUACCCCUUUCCUUAGAAUUUUUGCCUCUAGAUAUUAUGCUUACUUGUUAUGUGCUACGUGCUCUUAUGUGUUUAUUUGUUUUAAUUUAUGUUUUAUUUGUUUUACUAUGUACUAUUAAUGGAUGACGUCACCACACUAGUCCAACGCUAGUUGUGGCUUCUCCCUCUAUUUACUUGCUAGUCCAAUGCUAGUAAGAAUUUUUAGAAAUGGGAUAGUCCAAUGCUAGACCCUUUAGGCCGUCCUGCGCUAGAUUCAUCUUUGUGUGAUAAUUCACUACAUUUUCAUGCAUAUUUUCAUUUUUAUGAUCUUUUUUCAUUUGCAUGAUAUUCCCUAUUAUAUUAUCCCCUAUCCUCUAUAUGUGUUAAUCAUAUCAUUUAGAAUUGCAUUUCAUUAAGAAAUUGUAUGAUAAGUAGGUUCAUUUGCUUGUUCAUAUUAGGAGAAUUAUUUUUCAAACAUGAAAAAUGGGUGAUUAUAACUUUUUAGUUUAAAUACCCCAUUAAUCCCUGUAUAAGAAAAUUAUGUCACGAGUUUUUGCCUCUCAUACCCUUUAUGUUGCAUUCCCUUUUUCUUUGAUCACUUAUAUCUAUGUAUAUAAUUUAAUUUCUUUUCUUUACUUUCCUUUUUUUCAUCAUUUGCAUAUUCGUGACCCUUUCAAGAAAGUAUUUUGGCCUUCGCAACUAAUGCGAUUGUUUUAAUUAAACCCUUGAAUGGAUAUUUUGUCUCUUUCGAUAUUUUAUUUGCAUCCAUGUAAAAAACAUCCAAAUGUGAUAAAUUUAAGGUUAGAUUAAGCAAAUUUUGACUAAACCACGCAACUAGCUUAGACUAGGUUGAAAUGGUGCCUUAGGUUUGAGAUAAUUGAACCUUUACCUUCCCUUUCUUCAGUCGUGACUCCCGAUUUCAUUUUCUCUGUUUUCAAAAACCUGGAGUUGUCGAAAAGGGUUUUAUUUAUUUUACUUUAUUUUGAGUGACUUGGUACACAAAAACUCUAUACCAAUGGCGACUCCUAUUUUUUCUUGAAAACCCUUUUAGACUAAUUUUUGGAUCCAAAUUGUCGCAUUCUUUUUAAGUCCCAUUCUAGGUCCUUUUUCAUUUAUUAUUAAUAAAUCACAUCUUUUUAUAAACACUUUAUUUUUCAUCGCGAAAAAUAGGGCGCGACACUAACUUUAUCAUUUGAAUUUUGCCAUGGUUGAGUAUUUUCUAUUUUUAGGCAUUUUUUAAUUUCAUUAAUAUGUGAAGUUAGAUGUAUUUAUUUGAGCUUAUUGAUGUUAUUGGUGAUUGUUAGUGAUAAAUAAAUCUUGAGGUUGUGUUUAUUGUAUUCAUUUGGUGAAUUUUAGCUAAUUCUAUGCUGAAUUUGGCUUGGUAAUAAAGUUGCAUAUUAAGUAGCCAAUGUAGCAUUUUAAUUAGCUUUGUGAGAGUUUAUGAUAUUCAUGUGAGUAAUUUAGAUUACCUAAUGAAUGAAACGGUGCUUGGUUGAAUUAUUGUUUGAAUUCUUAGUUAAUUCUAAAAUAAGAGAUGAAUUGAAAAUGGCCUUAAUUGAUGAAAUUCAUAAAUGUACUUAUAAUCUUUGUGGUUCAAUGGUUUUUAGUAUUUCAGGAGUUCUCAAGAAGUUCAUUUAUAUUUUGGUUUGGUAUGUUUGCCUCCAUUUUGAGAUUACUUUUGUACUUGAGGGGACUUGAUCAUUGAUGACAAAAUGUAUAAAUAGAACUUACUUUGUUCAUGAUGAUGGGCUUAUUUUGUGAAAUUAGUUUCCCUUUGUUUUGGAUACUGAUGCAUAUACUUGAUUAGCGAAGAUUAGCCCAUUUCAUGUUUUUAUCCCUUGAACAUUGUAUGGUUCCAUAUGCUUGAUCCUUUUCCCUUUUUCCUUGAUUUGCAUGUUUUCUUCUUGUUGGUUGCAAGCUUUUAUUCUUAAGAAGUUAUUUUAUUCUGAUUUUGUCUUUUUCAGGGUGCAUUAAUUGAACUCUCCAUUCUUUCUCAAAUAAGGUUGGAAAUUCAUCACAUGACCAUGGAUUUGGAUCGCGCAAGUCAUAAGGGUGUAUUUUCUCUUACUCUUUAUUUAUUUUCCUUUUCUCACAUUGAGGACAAUGUGAAGUUUAAGUGUGGGGAAGGAAAUAAUUGACUUGUUAUUUUAUGUCAUGUGAUGAUAAUUUGUGGCUUUAAAUGUCUUAGAAAUGUUGGAAUUGUGCUUGAAAAUAUUGCAAUGUUGAACUUUUCUUGAAAAAUUGGUUUGUUAGCAGGGAGUUUUGUCCAUUUAUAAGGGAAAACUCUGUCAAAAUUUUUCUAAAAUCUGUUUCAAUAUUUCACUAUGACCCAAAAAUUUUUGCAAUUUUUGUCUUUGUUUUAAAAAGGGCCAAUUUGUUCCAACUUUAAGUGCUCUAAUUCUUCCACUUGUUGAAACUUUAUAUGUAUUUUGGAAGAUUUAGUUCUCAUUUGAUUUGGAAAUGGUUAUUAUGCAAUUAAGAUUGUUGCAUUUUAGAAAGUAUAUCCUGUAAAGUAGAAAGAAUUAUGCCUAUAAUUUUGCAUGUUUAAUGAGAUUUCUCCUCUUUACUUAAUUUUGCAAAUAAUUAUUGAUAUAGUCAAUAAAAACUAUACUCUUCCUUUGAUUAUUCUUAUACAUUUGCUAUGAGGGAAUGUCUAUUUAUUGUCUUUUACUAAAAUAAAAAAGAGAAAAAAGAAAGAAAAAUAAAAGUUUUUGUUCUACUCCAAUGAUUCUUGUACCGAGUUAUCGAAGGUUAGCAUCUACAAAUGUUGACACUCACGUAAAAGGGUACUUGAAUUAAAAGUAUGCAUAGCAACCUGAAUAAGUGAAAUGUUGAGUAACCGGAAUUCUUCACCUAAAAGUGUCGAUAUUCGUGUCAAAAGAUAUUUUCACUAUUUGAGUAAAAUUAGUAUGAAUAAAUCCUUCUUAGUUGUAAAAUUUCUGAAAAAGAUGAUCUUGGGAGGAAGAAAGCUAUAUAUUGACUAUGUGAUUUACUUAAUUGUGAAAUUAGAUUAGGGUGAGAGAUUAAAUAUAAGUUGUUGAAUUUAAGGCAUAAUUAUCUUUUGUUUACUUGAUAUUAUGAGUAUUUAGUGUGAAUUGAACAAUUGCAUAAUGAUUAUUUGCCAAGUUAUGAGGAAUUGAAUUCGAAAAAGUGCAUAUAGUGUUUCACCUCUUGAAUCAUUGUUGUUGAUUAUGUGUUAAUUGAUUGAGGACAAGCAAUGGUUCAAGUGUGGAGGAGUUUGAUAAGUGUAUAUUUUACAUGUUUUUAAGUGUGUUUUAUUAGUUAGUUUUAGCGUGUUUUAUGUGACAGCCCCACCUCCCCCUAAGACGAACCAAAGGGUUCAGCGGACCGCCUGCCCAACUCUCGCGGGACUCAGUCGUUCACUCAAACGAAUCAAAAAUAAAACCUCAAGAAGAGUAAAACAAGGAUCCAGUUCAUUACAGUCCUUAAUCAAAACCCGAAUCCAAUCACAGAAAUAAAUAGUACGAAAAGUCAAAACUUAAAGCGGAACUUAUAUACAUUGCUAUCUCAAGAGGAAGUACAACCGUCAAAUAUACCGAGGUUCUCAAUUCACCAUACAACCAACCGUGCCAAGCACUAGAACGAGAACCAUUACAACAGAAAACCAAGAGCUAGACCAAGCUAGUCUAUACAGGCUCUUGUCCUUGCUCGCCCACCCCUGUUAAGAAAAACAAAACUAAAGGGAUGAGCUGGAAAGCUCAGUGAGGUUCCGAUCACAUAGGUAAACAAGAAGUUCAAUGCAUUCAUUACACGUAGCCAAUAAUUCAAGAUACAAAGAUAAGAUAAAGCGAUAAACACAUUCAUUAAAAGGAUACGGGCUCACAAGGAGCCAUUCGUUCAUUCGUUCGUUCAGUCAUUCUCUAUACCUUCAAUCAUUUGAAAAUGCAUUUUGUAUAAGUAAAACCCCUCGUUCAUUCAUUCGUUCAUUCAUUCAUUCACCCAUCCUGGACAUUAUCCAGACUCCACCAACCUCCACCAACGUACAAGGUAAUACUCGAGUAUACCAAAACAUUCACUCAGGUCCCUAAUCGCCCGACCGAGUCCGCUUCUGGCUCGAGACGACCGGUAACAAGGGCAGGACCAAUUCAGCCAAAAGGCUUACAUUCAUGCACAAAUAACAUUUCAAUCGUUCAAUCAUUGAAAACUUCUCAAUCAUUUAGGCCGAGUGCGAUAAAGUACACACUCGCCUAGAAAACGCAUUUUAGCAAUCAUUGAAAACAUUUAACAUGUUAUCAAUCAUUCAUACAAGCCAUAUAACCAUGAAACAUAACAAACAAGAAACACUCACCUAUACACGCAAAAUAACGUCAACUUCUCAAUCACCAAUGAAACCUAAAAUUAAACAAAGAACACAUUACAAUCCAUCUAGCAUGCUUUAGAUGCAAUCAAGAAUUACCCGACUACUCGCGAGUAAACGUAUAAAAAUGACUGUUAAAGUGUAAAGAGGGUAUUUGGAUCCAUGGACGGGAAUAACUAGGGUUCAUAAACCAACCGUGAAACCAAACUCAAAAGGUUAUGAAAUUUCCGACAGAAAACACUUUAACCAUCGACAAAUCGAAAUCCAAUAAGGUAAGCUAAAAAGUAUUAUUUCCGGAAUCGUUUAUGUGGGUCAAAAUCAAUAGACUAUAUGCCUUGAUGAAAAUCAUGAAAAGGUGGCAAAACUACCUCACUUUCACCCUUAAAACUUCACUUAAAAGUUAUUCACUUGUGGCCGAGAGAACCCGAGGUCAACCUCUAUAUUUUGAUAAACAGUAAGUAAACGUUUGGAGUUUCAAACCAAAGAGGUAUUAGGUUUUAGAAUGGUAAAAUGAUCACUUUAUUUGCCAAGCGGAAAUAUACAAGUUCAAAUAGAAAUUUAGUCCUUGAGUGAAAAUUUGGGCAGCACGCCCUUUGUAUUUACCUAUUUUCAGUCAUUUAUGGCUUCAUUGUUUUCCCCAAUCAAUCCCAACAUUACACACAACAUAAACAACCACUCAAUAUGCUCAAGACAAAACAAGGAUAAAAUUUUAAGCUAACAACAAGUGUGGAAACGAAGUUUACAAAAGACAGUUUUGACGGGUUUUUGCGGAAUGGCCACAUCCGAGGCUACGCUUAUCGGAUUGAGAUGCAACUUAUAUCAUUUCGAAGCUAAGACAGGGGGAUACAAGGUUGAAGAAGACCACUCAGUCCAGUUUGCAAUGUAUCUAGGUCAAAUUUACCAAAACAACUCCAGAUUUUCCAAUUCGAAGUUUACUAUGGCAGUCCUGACUCAUUCAGUCAUAUCUCAGAAUAUACAACUCCAAUUCAAGUGAUUCUAAAACCAUUUGAAAGCUAAUAUACAAGGCUAUAAGUCUUAAGAAGACAUAAACAGCCAAAUCAGUAGUGUUCCUGGUCAAAACAACUAAUUACAGAAGCUAUUUAGUAUGUUCGGAUAGAAACAGGGCAGUAGGGGUAUUUUGGUCUUUUCACAGGGUACGUUGCUCCGAUUUAGCUGAAAUUUUGUAGGCAUCCAUAAAAUAUUAUUAUAUACAACUUUCAUGUUUUGUAAUAAGUCCAAUUCGGCCUCUAACAUUGUCAAACAGAAACGGACAGAACUGGAACCUAGAAUUUCAGAAAUCUGGAUUCCAAGCAUAUAAGUACUAAUCCUCGCAAAUUGAACUUGAAACACCGCUACUACCUCCUAUACAUGCUUAUAUACAUCAUAUGUCAUCCAUACAACAAAUAUGAGAAAGAAAUUAUUCAAACCCUGACUUAAAUACAUCAACCCCAAUCAUCCAAAUCCACUUGAUAUAAGCAUAACAAGCAAAAUUACAUGCUACUACACAACUCAAACAUGGUGAAGGGAAAAGAAAAGUUAGUCAGCCAUUAUACCUCAAGACAAGAGCUUUCAAGAGUUAUCCUUCACUUCUCUUGGCAAAAUUUAGCUACUUAAGCUUCCCAAGCUUCCAAACUAAUGAUUAAUCGGUUUAGUUUUUCUUGUUUUCACUCAUUCAAGCUCAAACCAAGAUUGAUUGAAGUUUCCUUUUCUCUUGUUUUUCCUCCCUCAAUUCACGGCUGAUAUGCAGAAAUAAUGGAGGAAAUAGGUUGGUUUUUUGGUGAUAAAUAUGGUGUAAAUUAAUUAGUCAACCAUCCAAUGAAAUACCGCCACUUGUCGCCACCAAUUCCAUUCCUUUUUUCCCUUUUCUCUCUUGGUAUUUAAAGUCAACAAUUGUGGCUGAUGUAUGAGAUAUUUUGAGAGUUAAUUAGCUGUAAUAAAAUAAGAAGAUUAAGGUAAUAAAGUAGGGAUCAAGUGGUGUGUUCAAUCGGUAGUGAUCGAUACCUGUCGGUUCGGGCCGUUUUUUUCUUAAAUCGCGUAUACUAGGGUUUUAACUUAUAAUUCACUAACUUAUUAUUAUCAUCUCUAAUUUCACACUUAAUAUCAUCUAAAAUUCACUUUUAAUCACCAAAUUGGAUCCACACUUCGUACCAGAUAGUCGCACUACGGAUAGGCGUAAAACCCUAAUUCGUGCUAACUUAAAAACGGACAAUGAAAACCCUUACUUCUAUGUUCAUUUACACUUAUUGUGGGUGAUUGGGUAGUAGGCUAUUAUAAACUAAUAGUUUCCAAAUAAAAGGAUAUUUUUAAGAAAAGUGAGGGUUUUACAAUUCCACACAUUGAAUUUAGGGUUUCGGUUGAAAUAUGAGAAAUUUGAGAAAAUGGUCAAUCACAAAUGAAACUGGGGUUUCGAUUAAACUUUUAGGGUUUCUAGUCUUUUAAAAUAAAAAAAAGGUUUUAAAUCAACCCAAAGAAAUAAUUUUAGUUUCUUCUUUAGAAUAAAAUAAUGUUUUUAAAAUAAAAAUAAACUAAAGAAACUGUAAUAUCCUCUUUGAGACUAAUCAAAAGAUGAUCCUAAAAGUUGGGGUAUCACAAUCUCCCCUCCUUCAAAGAAUGUCGUCCUCGACAUUUUUUUCAAAAGGUGAUUUUGUAGGUAAUACAGUAAUUUGACUAAAACAACAAGAUAUAACACACCAAAUACACAAGGAGACAUAUACACAAUAUAAUGCACCAUAUACACCAAGAGACAUUUCAAGUUAGGUAAAGUCAAGUGCAGUAAGUACUAUAGGUGUAGGCAUUAUCAUGCCACAAGUAAAUGACGUGUAAGGACAAUGCAAGGGCAAAACGAAAGAAAACACGACUUGUCGUCCCACAUUCAGCUAAGAUGACCCCGUCCGGUCUCUCACGUCACUCACUAUCCAAACUAGAUGUCCAUUGACCACUUGUGCUCAUUCUAGUCAGACAAAGCCUGUUCAUUUCCCUAAAUGCAAGUCUCAAAUACUGAGCAUCGCCUCAACGCUAGAGUACUAGGGCACGAGAAUCCGAAAUAAGAUAAUUCACAUCUCAAGCGGGCCAGUCCCAAGAGUAAACUAUCUACAAUCGAAAUUCCUACCCGACGUACCUAUCUAUGAUCCUCAAAUACCAUGAAAAAGAUUAAAGGUCCAUAACAUUCGCAAUUCAUAGCUUAUGCUCGACCGAACACUUAGUCCUUCAUAUUUAUUCACCAUUUAGUCCAGGCUCACUCCUCGCAGAGACCACGCGAAGCAGCUAUAUGUUUUAUCCCUCAAUUGCCUAACUUUCAAAUCAAAUCAAAUCCCACAGUCCGGCAUCCUAAACUUUAGCCUAGGAUACACUACAGAGAUCUGAAUCCUAGGCUCUGAUACCACCUGUGACAGCCCCACCUCCCCCUAAGGCGAACCAAAGGGUUCAGCGGACCGCCUGCCCAGCUCUCGCCGGGACUCAGUCGUUCACUCAAACGAAUCAAAAAUAAAACCUCAAGAAGAGUAAAACAAGGAUCCAGUUCAUUACAGUCCUUAAUCAAGACCCGAAUCCAAUCACAGGAAUAAAUAGUACGAGAAGUCAAAACUUAAAGCGGAACUUAUAUACAUUGCUAUCUCAAGAGGAAGUACAACCAUCAAAUAUACCGAGAUUCUCAAUUCACCAUACAACCAGCCCGUGCCAACCACUAGGGCAAGAACCAUUACAACAGAAAACCAAGAGCUAGACCAAGCUAGUCUAUACAGGCUCUUGUCCUUGCUCGCCUACCCCUGUUAAGAAAAACAAAACUAAAGGGAUGAGCUGGAAAGCCCAGUGAGGUUCCGAUCACAUAGGCAAACAAGAAGUUCAAUGCAUUCAUUACACGUAGCCAAUAAUUCAAGAUACAAAGAUAAGAUAAAGCAAUAAACACAUUCAUUAAAAGGAUACGGGCUCACAAGAAGCCAUUCGUUCAUUCAUUCCUUAUACCUUCAAUCAUUUGAAAAUGCAUUUUGUAUAAGUAAAACCCUUCGUUCAUUCAUUCGUUUAUUCAUUCAUUCACCCCAUCCUGGACAUUGUCCAGGCUCCACCAACCUCCACCAACCUACAAGGUAAUACUCGAGUAUACCAAAACAUUCACCCAGGUCCCUAAUCGCCGACCGAGUCCGCAUCUGACUCGAGACGACUGGUAACAAGGGGCAGUGGCCAAUUCAGCCAAAAGGCUUACAUUCAUGCACAAAUAACAUUUCAAUCGUUCAAUCAUUGAAAACUUCUUAAUCAUUUAGGCCGAGUGCGAUAAAGUACACACUCGCCUAAAAAACGCGUUUUAGCAAUCAUUGAAAACAUUUAACAUGUUAUCAAUCAUUCAUACAAGCCAUAUAACCAUGAAACAUAACAAACAAGAAACACUCACCUAUACACGCAAAAUAACGUCCACUUCUCAAUCACCAAUGAAACCUAAAAUUAAACAAAGAACACAUUACAAUCCAUCUAGCAUGCUUUAGAUGCAAUCAAGAAUUACCCGACUACUCGCGAGUAAACGUAUAAAAAUGACUUUUAAAGUGUAAAGAGGGUAUUUGGAUCCGUGGACGGGAAUAACUAGGGUUCAUAAACCAACCGUGAAACCAAACUCAAAAGGUUAUGAAAUUUCCGACAGAAAACACUUUAACCAUCGACAAAUCAAAAUCCAAUAAGGUAAGCUAAGAAGUAUUGUUUCCGGAAUCGUUUAUGUGGCUCAAAAUCAAUAGACUAUAUGCCUUGAUGAAAAUCAUGAAAAGGUUGCAAAACUACCUCACUUUCACCCUUAAAACUUCACUUAAAAGUUAUUCACUUGUGGCCGAGAGAACCUGAGGUCAACCUCUAUAUUUUGGUAAACAGUAAGUAAACGUUUGGAGUUUCAAACUAAAGAGGUAUUAGGUUUUAGAAUGGUAAAAUGAUCACUUUAUUUGCCAUGCGGAAAUAUACAGGUUCAAAUAGAAAUUUAGUCCUUGAGCGAAAAUUUGGGCAGCACGCCCUUUGUAUUUACCUAUUUUUCAGUCAUUUAUGGCUUCAUUGUUUUCCCCAAUCAAUCCCAACAUUACACACAACAUAAACAACCACUCAAUAUGCUCAAGACAAUACAAGGAUAAAAUUUUAAGCUAACAACAAGUGUGGAAACGAAGUUUACAAAAGACAGUUUUGACGGGUUUUUGCGGAAUGGCCACAUCCGAGGCUACGCUUAUCGGAUUGAGGUGCAACUUAUAUCAUUUCAAAGAUAAGACAGGGGGAUACAAGGUUGAAGAAGGCCACUCAGUCCAGUUUGCAAUGUAUCUAGGUCAAAUUUACCAAAACAACUCCAGAUUUUCCAAUUCGAAGUUUAUUAUGGCAGUCCUGACUCAUUCAGUCAUAUCUCAGAAUAUACAACUCCAAUUCAAGUGAUUCUAAAGCCAUUUGAAAGCUAAUAUACAAGGCUAUAAGUCUUAAGAAGACAUCAACAGCCAAAUCAGUAGUGUUCCUGGUCAAAACAACUAAUUACAGAAGCUGUUUAGUAUGUUCGGAUAGAAACAGGGCAGUAGGAAUAUUUUGGUCUUUUCAUGGUUACGUUGAUCCGAUUGUGCUGAAAUUUUGUAGGCAACUAUAAAAUAUUAUUAUCUACAACUUUCAUAUUUUGUGUUAAGUCCAAUUCGGCCUCUAACAUUGUCAAACAGAAACGGACAGAACUGGAACCUAGAAUUUCAGAAAUCUGGAUUCCAAGCAUAUAAGUACUAAUCCUCGCAAAUUGAACUUGAAACACCGCUACUACCUCCUAUACAUGCUUAUAUACAUCAUAUGUCAUCCAUACAACAAAUAUGAGAAAGAAAUUAUUCAAACCCUGACUUAAAUACAUCAACCCCAAUCAUCCAAAUCCACUUGAUAUAAGCAUAACAAGCAAAAUUACAUGCUACUACACAACUCAAACAUGGUGAAGGGAAAAGAAAAGUUAGUCAGCCAUUAUACCUCAAGACAAGAGCUUUCAAGAGUUAUCCUUCACUUCUCUUGGCAAAAUUUAGCUCCUUAAGCUUCCCAAGCUUCCAAACUAAUGAUUAAUCGAUUUAGUUUUUCUUGUUUUCACUCAUUCAAGCUCAAACCAAGAUUGAUUGAAGUUUCCUUUUCUCUUGUUUUUCCUCCCUCAACUCAUGGCUGAUAUGCAGAAAUAAUGGAGGAAAUAGGUUGGUUUUUGGUGAUAAAUAUGGUGUAAAUUAGUUAGUCAACCAUCCAAUGAAAUACCGCCACUUGUCGCCACCAAUUCCAUUCCUUUUUUCCCUUUUCUCUCUUGGUAUUUAAAGUCAACAAUUGUGGCUGAUGUAUGAGAUAUUUUGAGGGUUAAUUAGCUGUAAUAAAAUAAGAAGAUUAAGGUAAUAAAGUAGGGAUCAAGUGGUGUGUUCAAUCGGUAGUGAUCGAUACCCGUCGGUUCGGGCCGUUUUUUUCUUAAAUCGCGUAUACUAGGGUUUUAACUUAUAAUUCACUAACUUAUUAUUAUCAUCUCUAAUUUCACAUUUAAUAUCAUCUAAAAUUCACUUUUAAUCACCAAAUUGGAUCCACACUUCAUACCGGAUAGUUGCACUACGGAUAGGCGUAAAACCCUAAUUCGUGCUAACUUAAAAACGGACAACGAAAACCCUUACUUCUAUAUUCAUUUACACUUAUUGUGGGGUGAUUGGGUAGUAGGGCUGUUAUAAACUAAUAGUUUCCAAAUAAAAGGGCAUUUUUAAGAAAAGUGAGGGUUUUACAAUUCCACACAUUGAAUUUAGGGUUUCGGUUGAAAUAUGAGAAAUUUGAGAAAAUGGUCAAUCACAAAUGAAACUAGGGUUUCGAUUAAACUUUUAGGGUUUCUAGUCUUUUAAAAUAAAACAAAGGUUUUAAAUCAACCCAAAGAAAUAACUUUAGUUUCUUCUUUAGAACAAAAUAAUGUUUUUAAAAUAAAAAUAAACUAAAGAAACUGUAAUAUCCUCUUUGAGACUAAUCAAAAGAUGAUCCUAAAAGUUGGGGUAUCACAUUUUAACUAUUUUUAUAGCUAAUUAGCUAGAAUUCUAGUGAAAAUAUGCAUUUUGUGGUAUAAGUAGUAAAAAUUGCAUUUCUAUGGAUUUUUAUGGUGAAAACUUCAUGUUUUUGUAGGUUUAAUUAUUCAAUCAUUAAUUGGAGUGAUUUGAGAAGAUAAUUGGAUGAUUGAUGAUGGUUUGAAGUGAUAAAAAAAGAAUAUGAAGUGCAAAAAAGGAAAUGCAAUCAAGAAUAAAAGGAAUCAAGUUUCACAAUUUUGACAUCUUGUGGUAUAUUGACAAUAUCUUGAGCUACAAGCAUCGGAUUGAGGUGAUCUAUGAAUCAUGUUGAAGCUAAGAGAUAUGUCUACAUUUGGUGUGAAAACAUCAAAAUCCAGUUCAAUCAUUUUCCUUGUUUGAAAGUCGAAAUACAGAAAUGCAUUUUCAUGGCUAAAAGCUGAAACAGAGUUCUGACCAAUUAAGGGUAUUGGCCCACAGGGCUUCAAAUUAGAUGAUUCUUCAUGCAUUGGAAAACUAAUUCAAAGGGUUACAACUUUUGUGUUUUGCAUAAGAUUUCGUUCAACCUCCAUUAUCAAGAAAAGAUCAGUGAAAGUUGGGAAAAAUAAAGCACGUAAAUCCAAAUUCAGAUAUGUACUAAACCCGACCUUGGAUAAACUUCCGUAAUCAGAGGCUACAUCCGAGAAGAGGAUCCGAGCUUGGAUCCCCAUGUUACAGGUCUCGGAUCCUAAUGUGCAGUGAAGAUAAAAAUAAAGAAAAAUGAGACCCGAGGGGUAUUUCGAGCGAUCCAACCUCGGAUCCUCAAUUUCGGCUCUGCAACUUGUACUCUGUUCACACAAGCUUUUUGACCAAUUUAUCUGUAAGAAAUCUAGCUGGAAUUGAGCAAGCAGGUAUAAAGAAUUCAAGAAGCAUCUUUUGAUGAUUCCAAAGAGCAAUUUACAUCAACUUUAACAGCUCACCUUGAACUUGAAUUCUUCUAUAAAUAGAGGCAUUGGAGGACAUUUUCACAACUUUGGAAGACUAAAGAAACUCAUCAAAAAUGUAGUAUUCACUAGAGUUUCCUUAGUCCAUUAGUUAGGUUAAUAUAUUAUAGAAUAGUUUAGGAAGUUAUGUGUGUUAUCCACUCUUGUGUAUUGGCUAGAUUAGGAUGAAGAUGGAAAUGAAGAAGGAGGAGAUAAAGCUCAUGUGACAAGGGUUAUCUCUUCUCCAACUCUUUAUCUUUUGUAUUGGAUUCUUAAGUAUGGUUAAUAUGCAAGUUUUGGAUUUGUGUUUCAAUAUGUUUUUCUCAAAUUUAUGCCUAGAAUUAUAGAUGAAUUUGCUAUAUCUUGUUAGUGAUAUUUACUUGGUUAUUCGAUGAUAUUAUUUUGAGUAAGUUAUUUAUCACUUUUACUUAUCUAAUCAUGAUUAACUGUCCAUUAAUUAUGAUAAUCUUAAGGUGUUAUAUUUGCAAUGAAAAUUAUAAUUUAACACUAGUUCAAAGAAGUGAUGAAUCUAGGGAGUACACUUACGAAAGUAGAGAUACACCUUUGUGAUUUUGGUGACUUGUUUCAUGUAAUUUCAUAAAAGGAAUGAGCUUGUAAUUAGUUUCAUAACCACGAAAGUAGGUAUGAAUUAACUAUAGGUAUAGUUGGUACACCGAUGAAAGCGGGUAUCACGUGCAUUAGGAAAUUACGCCAUAACUAAUCAAGAUAAUGGCAUUCGAGUAACCGUUAAUGUCAUUUGCAAGAGUAGUUAGGAAUUCCAUACAUUUAGGGGCUUUUUAUUGUUAUUUUUAUUACUUUUAUUUGUUUUUUAUAGUGUAGAUUUAAUUUCUUGCACUUAUGACAGUUUAAAUAAUAAAAGAGUUUGAAAAUCGUCGGUAAUUGACAAUCUUUCCUAUGAGAUGGAUACCUAAUAUCCCUAUACUCAAUAAACGAUUCGUAUACAUGCGAAAAAUUGCGUGUGGGGUAUUUAGGAAUUAUAAAUGUAAAACUUGACUGUAGAAUGAGUUAAUUGAUAUAUGUAGACCCCGCACUCGUCAGCUAAUAUUGAAAUGCAAUAAAUCUAAUUAUGAGGAAGAAAGGUAUUUUGGGCAAAUAGAAAAUAAAAGGUAUUUUGGGCAAAUAGAAAAUAAAAACCAAAUCCUGUUUAGUCUCUAAUGCUUAACAUUUUAUUUUGUCAUCAACUAUUAUUUUCCCUUAAAUCAAUAGCUAUGACAUAAUGAAUUUUAAUCAUCAUAAUAAAUUUAAAACUAAAAAUGCAUAAUAUAAAACUUCAAUGAUCAAUUAAUAAGGGUAUAAUUGAAUUAAUAAAAAUUAAGAUCACAAUAAUGCUUACACUUACACUCCAAAGUACCAAAAUUCAUGUUAUGUUUUAUAUAGUAAUAUUAAUAAUGAACCAUUAUUUUCUCCUAAAUCAAUAGAUGUUAUAUAAUGAAUUUUAAUCAUCAUAAUAAAUUUAAAAGAGCACAAUAUGAAACUUCAAUCAUCAAUUAAUAAGGGCAUAAUUGACAUAACAAAAACUAAGAUCACAAUAAUGCUUACAUUUACACUCUAAAGUAUUAAGACUCGUAAUACCUUUUAUAUAGUAAUGCUUCCUCAAUAUGAAGUUAUAUGCACCAUUUUUUGAAAAAAUGAAGAUAUAUAUAUAUAUAUAUAUAUAGCCUUUGAAGUUGAACUCUUUGUAUUAUUUUGUGAGGUAUUUCUAUUGUAGACACCAAAUUUUGAAUUGAUUUAUAUGCUUCGUUUUAGUGAUAAGUCUUGUCUAUUGAUUUUUGUUUAUCUCAUGAUUUUUGUUUUAAAUGGUUUGCAUUUUGUUUUGCCCCUUUAGAUGUUAUUUUAUUUUAUUUUUAGUUUUAUUUACUUUUUAGUUUUUUAGUUUUUGUUUUUUAAGUUUUAGCGUAGAAAAUCAUGAAAAAUGAAAAAAGGAAAAAUCAUGAAAAAAGAGGAAAAAGGAAAAGAAAAAUAGCAUUUUUGUUUUUAUUUAUCUAUUUUAGUCAUUUCUACUUAAUUUAAAUUUUGUUUUUGUUUGGUUCAUUUAGAAAAAAAAAAGGAAAAAAAAAAAAGAAAAAAUGAUGAAAAUGGAAAAUGAAAAAAAAUUGCAUUUUGUUGUUUCUAGUUUGUUUAUUUUAUCCAAUGUUAAUUAAGUGGGUUUUGUUAUUAUUAUUGUUAUUAUUAUUAUCAUUUUGGUUUUGUUAAAUAUCUUUUGAAAAAAAAAAAAAAAAAAAGCUGCGUGCAUGCAAGCUGCAUUUUUGCAGCUUGCAAAGGAACUUUGAGGCAGCUCCUUAGCUGCAAAUACAGAGGAAGUUGUUAAGGGUUUAGGAGGGGGGCUCCCAUAUAAAUAGAAAAAGAGGAUUCAGCCGCAAGAGGGGUGACGGGAAAAAGAGAGAAGAAAGAAACGGCAAAGGAGAGUGACGGCUAAGGGAAAAAGAAAAAAAAAAGGAAAAAAGGAGCGGCAGACAGAACGAGUGAGAGGCUAAAAGGAAGGAGGUAGCACCUGGGUUUCUGGGGGGAGAGUUAGGAGAAUCCAAGAAGAAGAGACUGAGAGGGUGGAGGUCUACGGGGUUUGAGAGCGAAGGAUUUGGCAGCGGCUAAGCCUGGAGGGACCGAGGAACUGGACAGAAAGAAGGAGAGCAUCAGGGGCUUGGCUACGUGAAACUGAAGAUUAAGUGAAGCUGGGCAAGAAUUUGUCUUCUGAUCAUCGCACACUUCAGUCCGCCUUUUAGAAGAUUAAAGGUAGUACCUUUCAUUUUAUUUCCCUGUCCGUAGAUUACAAGAGUCUUGUUAGAAAUGUUGAAAUGUUGUUGCGAUGCCGGCUGCUAUUGUUUGAAUCAAAAUCUGGUUUUGUAUGAUGGAUAGUGAAGAAAGUUGCGGCUGGAAAAUUGCAGAAUGCAUGAGUUUCUUUGCAUUUUUUGAGUGAGGUUCUUCUAUGUUUUGUUUUGUUUAAGUGAUAAGGUUCUAUACUUGGUUGUUUAGCCUAGAGUCUUGAUGUUUGGUGGGUGAAGUUCUCCUAAAAAAUUAAGCUUGUGGAUUGAACUUUAUGUUUGGAAUUUGAAUUUGCAGCAGAUUUAUGAUCAUACGACCCCUCUCUGCCCAGAUUUUCCUUUCCUUUGCAUGACAUGAGUUUGUAACAUUGAAUGAGGGCCUGAAAUUUAGUCUUGUUGCCAGCCAUUUGUCAUGAAAUGCGGCGUGAAUCUCAGGAAAAUUAGAAUUGUAGGAACUUGUGUCUAUGUCUUCAUUGCACAACUAUGAGCUGCAUUUGUUUUGGAGCAGUAAAAACAAAAAAAAAAAAACUCUCGCAUUCCCUUUUCCCUUGCUGAUCGGACAAUCUAAAUGUGUAACUUCAAUUCGGCAACAAGAGCAUGCUUUUCAUUUAGCCGAUAGUGUGAGGCUUUGAUAUUUGCUAUAGUGGAAUGGACAGAAAUGUCGUGGCUGAAAAUUGCAGCAAAGUUUAUGUUUUUCUUCAGAUUUGCAUGAUGCCUUUUCAAGUUUCUUUGUUUGUUUGGCUUGGGAUAAUUGUGUUUAUCUGAUUAAGGUUUAAAUGUUUUGGUUGAAAGCUUUUGGAUCAAAAGUUGUGUUUGAGAUGGAAGGUGGGUGUGCAAAUAUGACUUGCGGCUAUGUUUUCUUAGUUGCAGAAAGUUUUUCAAUAGUAAUUCUUGUUGCAGAAAUUUCUCUCGUAUGCAUGCAUGAAGUAAAUGUUAUAAAAAUUACUUUUGGCCCCCCAAGUCUCCCCUUAAGCCACUAAGGCCCAAAAACUUUGGAAAUUUAAUCAAUUGGAUCCCUUGUAUUUUUGCAGCAAUGCAUUAUGGCCCAAUUACAUUCCAUGUUCUUGCAAUUAGGUUCUAAGGUGUUUUCAUUUGAAUCAUUAAUUGAUCUUUAUUAUUUUUGGGACCUUUGAAACUCUUUUUGACGUUGAUUGUGAUUGAUUAGUGGUCAUUUUGGGUCCUAGAAAUGCAAGUUUGAACCAUUCAUGGACCUUCAUUCACUCUUGGAUUCUUGAGAUAUGAUGUUUGCUUGGACUUUAUUAUUUACUUGGGGACCUUUGAGUUCUUAAAUGCCUCAAUUAGGUUCAAAUGAUUGAGUAGUGCUUGCUUUUGGGUCUUUAGUAGAUGUUAUGCUUGGGGAUUGGAUGAUCAUGCCUUUUGCUUUGGUCUUUAAGUAGUUUUGACUUCAUUGAGUUGCAAUUGAGGGAAAGUUUGAUGUUUUGGUGGAUUCAAAUUGUUUAGUUUAUAUCUUCUCACUAAAUUGGUGCACUAACCUUUUGUUUUUGGUGAUUUUAGCCUAAGUUAGUCUUUUCUUGGGUGACUCUAGCCAAGUUGAGUUUGUUUACUUCCUUAGUAUCACCAACGGGGAGGUAUAAUCUCUUUUACCCCUUUUGUUUCUCUCCUAUGUGGACUAAUGUGCUAAUUGAAAUUUGCAUGUCUACUUGCUUUCCUAGCCUUUCCUUAUUUCCUUUCAUUUAUUUCAUUUACUUUUGAUUUUUAUUAAUGGGGUAUGUGUAUACCUCUUGGCUUGUAAUAGAUAGGGCGUAGCAAGUAAUUUGGUCCAUUUUCCCUUUCCCCUUUGUUUUAGUUAGCAAAUGUAAUGGUUGCAUGCCUAUGUGUUAUAUGUUAAAUGCUUUAUUAGGAUCUUGCAUCUAGUCGAGCAUGAUAAGUGCUACAUGAUUUAGGUGAUUUGCAUGUCUACUUGCUUUUUGUAGUAUAGAUGAAUGGAAUGGAUGAAUGUACGUCACCACACUAGUCCAACGCUAGUUGUGGCUUCUUUUAUCGUUUCCACUAGUCCAACGCUAGUCGGAAUUCAUAGAAUGGGCUAGUCCAAUGCUAGACCCAAUAGGUUCUUUUUUCCCUUUUUCAUUAAGUGCAUGAUCACCACAUAUCACGCAUUUUUCUUUAGUUUUAUCAUUUGGGCAUGUUCCUCGAAUCCCUUUCCCCCUCACUUUAGGUUUUGCAUCUAAUGCUAGCUAUAGGGUUCAUUUUGCUUGAGUGUCCCCUCCGAUAAGGGAAACGAGCGAGUGUGGCUACUCGAUAGCCUUAGCACGCUAGUUUUGCCUUCUAAAUCAAAGGGAAAAUCGAAGUCGAAAAAGUUAGGAGUCAUUCCCAUACCCGACUGAUGCAUUCCUUUAGAUUCAUUCAUUCUCAUUUUUCACUUACUCACUUUUUCAAUUCACAUUUCCUCAUUACUUUUCCUUUCCUUAUUGUUCAAUUUUGGUUUCUACUUCACAAAAAUUGCACUUAAUUACGAUCUAUAUACACUUAUCACUAUAUUUCAUACACUUGCACACAAACACUUGGAUUUCCAUACAAUUGCACACAUGCACCUUUUUAUACACUUGCACACUUGAAUUUGAACUCUCAUUUGCAUUAAUCGACCUCUAUAAGGUUUUCUUUCAUUGGCCGCCACAAUUCAUGUGGUUGGGACCAAAAACCUUACAAGAGACAUCUUAGAAUCUAGGGUUUUGCAUUUCAUGUAGCACAUCCAAAUGUAAUAAAUUCUUUGGUUAAAACAAGAAAAUCUUUGAUUAAAUCACGCCACUAGCCUUGGCUAGGUCAAAGGGGUGCCUUGGAUUCUAUCCUUGCCUUCCCCUUUGUCAAACGUGACUCCCGAACCUUUUUCUUUGGCUUACGUGGACUAGGAGUCGUUUUUUUAAAAGGGUUUUACUACUUUGUCUUUAAAAAUUUAUUUUUUAGGUGACUUGGUACACCUUAAUCAUUACCAAGUGGCGACUCCAAUUUCUUAUUCAAAACCCUUUUUAAAAAAACUAUUUUUUGGGUCAAAUCGUCGCUUUUUCAAAGUCCCAUAUUAGACCCAUAUCUUUUUCAAUUCACAAAAAAUCAUUUUCCAAUCAAAAUUGAAUCAAAAAACAUCUUCCUCAAACAAUUUAUUUAUUUAUCAAAAAAUGGGGCGCGACAGUUGGCGACUCCACUGGGGAACAUUCGAGAGUCCGAGCAAAUUUGAUUUAAUCAACCUUUUUCUUCUUUUAAUCUUUUCAUAUAUCACAUUUGGGUGUUUAGGAUUGCAUUUUUCCUUUUAUUAGGAUUUUUGCAUUUCACACGUACCAACUCCCUCACUUACUCAUUUGGCGUACGAUUGUUUUGAUUGAUGAAUGGUUUAUGUACGUGAUUCCGCGCUUUGCAUUGCAUUUGGGUGGGGGACAUCACCUUAGAGCCUCGCGUUGGUUCUUGAUCCCUCCCCUCCAAACGAGCACUAGCAUACGUGCAUACGCUUUAAUUUUUCACCCUCCAUUUAUUUUUCUUUUAGUGGCUUGUCACGCCACUCCACCCUGUUAGGAUUUUAGGCGACCUACUUGGACGUGUGAUCGUGACACGACGUGUGCGUAGCACGAUCCGAGGGGUCACUUAAUCUUCCGCUUUAAGCUUUGGUUAAUAGCCUAUAGCUUUUAGUCGAAGAUUGAGAAUUUUGAUAGAUUCACUCAGACAUGUGGCCGUGACACGACGUGUGCGUAGCAAUGUCUGGGGAAUCGCUCGAGCCAUCGACAAGGAACCUUGGGAGUGAUGACCUUUGGUUUCCAAGUCUGAAGGCUCGGGGACCUGAGCUUAUCGAGUCUAGAUGCAUUAGCGAACCCCAGCCUCAUGCAUCCAUAUUAGAAUUGCCUAGGGUAGAGUCGACCUCACCCUAAAUUAGGAACACCAUUCACGAAGGGGAGAUCCCACCCCUUUCCUUAUAUAUUUUUGUUGCUUUUUAAUUGUCCAACGUGUUAUGUGGUUAUCUGUUAUGAACUAACGUUUCCUUGUUUCUUAUCUUUUACAUUCACAAACGUUAGGAAGUAAGAGGUCUGGCAUGACCUCCUUUUAGGACCUACCCUUGUAAAUAGGCUAUCGCACGUUUGAAAAUUGUGAUGCAUUUUGUUCAUAAAUUCAUAAUGCCAUACCAUUUUAGGCCUACCUUGGCAGAUAAAGGGUUCCUUAGGUCACGUUUCGUUUCGAAUUGCAUAUUUUCUUGCUUUAAUAAAUGGCAUCAUGCAUCAACCCUAGAAAGGGAAUGCCAUUUAGGGGAUCCCGUGUUAGGAAUAAACCACCUUGUGUCUCGGAUACUUAAUUCAAGGAGACUUGCACGUUUACAUUUUGUAUCAUCCAAAGGGGUAGUGCACAAGGUAAGGUAGAAUCCGAUCAUUUUCAUAGAGUGAUCUUUGGAAUAUGAGCAUCUAAUAAUCACUUUUUGGCCAUUUUAUCAAAAAUUGGUAAAAAUUCCUUGCGUGAAGGACAUUAAUUUGAAGAAAUUCACAAAUGUUUCCUCCUAUUGAGACGAUAAAUCAAAUGAGGCCAAAAUUUGAUUUUAGAAGGCUCAUAGGCUAAUGCAUCGUAAUAAGGUUUUUUGAAACUACCAGUGGAUGGCUUGAUUUUUAAUAAGCUCCUAAUUCCAUCCAAUCCACUGGACCAUUUCAUUCAUCAAUUUCAUCCAGUCUAUUUUUAUCAAUUUGCCUUCAAUUCAUUUGACCAAUUUCCCCUUUUUAGGGUCACCUGGUCGAUUUUGAAUAAAUCGUCAAUUCAUUUGACCAAUUUACCCUUUUAAGGGUCAUUUGACCAAUUUACCCUUUUUAGGGUCAUUUGACCAAUUUACCCUUUUUAGGGUCACCUGGUCGAUUUUGAAUAAAUCGUCAAUUCAUUUGACCAAUUUACUCUUUUUAGGGUCAUUUGACCAAUUUACCCUUUUUAGGGUCACCUGGUCGAUUUUGAAUAAAUCGUCAAUUCAUUUGACCAAUUUACCAUUUUUAGGGUCAUUCGGCCGAUUUUUGAAUAAAUCACUAAUUCAAUUUCAUUCAUUUGGCCAAUUUACCCAUUUUUAGGGCAAUCGAGCCGAUUUUGAAUAAAUCAAGUUUCGUUCAAUCUAUUUGAUCAAUUUACCCUUUUUAGGGUGAUCUGAUUAAUUUUGGAUAAAUUAAAUUUCAUUCAAAUCAUUUGACCUAUUUCCCUUUUUAGGGUAACCCGGUUGAUUUUUAAUAAAUUGUCAAUCCCGUUUGACCAAUUAGGGUUUCAAUGUCAAUUUCAAAUGGGGAAACCUAGUCGAUUUUGAGAAAACCAUCCAGACAUUUGAUCAGUUGGGGUUUGGACCCGUACUUCACUGAGAAAAUUUUGUCAAACAAAUUCCAAUCUCUUCGAUAGGAAGUUCGUCAAAGUCAAACCCGUGCGUUUUUGCAAACUCUUGUAUCGAUCAAAAGUGAUCAAUCCAUUUGGACGUUGACAUCAUUUGACAAAUGUCUCUCGUCCCUCCAAUUGAUCAAAUUUUUCAAAAUUAUUUUUCACUUAAAUGAGUUGAUCAGAUCCAUCAGGUAUGGUAUAGUGCCUGCUCUGGAGGAUUGCAUUUUCAUGCUAGGCCUACCCUUGGCACAAAAAGGGUUCCCCCAUAGGACAUGCAUCCAAAUUUUUGGAUAUUUACUAACUCUCUUGUAUUUUUGUUUUCCUUUUCUUUGUUUUUUAUUGGAAUAACUAAGCGAGGGUUGAAUCUAAAGGCAAUUUUUCAAAAAUUCUCAGGUAAUAUUUAAACAUAGCUUCUCGUCGAAGCCCCAUCAUAACACGAUCCCGUAGUCAAGCUCAGAGGAGUCGUGUAAACAUGAGUCCGCAAUCGGAACCAUCAGACAGGUUUGUUACUACCGCCCAGCCUGAGACCACAAGUUUGGGGGUUCAGUUGACUGAGAUGCUCACUAAGUUCGGUGAGAUGACCACUGAGAUGGCGGCCCAGAGGAAAUUAAUCGAUAAGCUUAUCAGCAGUGGAGUUCAACCUGAGCCCGUGCCCGGCAGGCAGCCUGGGCCAGAGCCAUUUGUCAUACCUUCAAUUCAAGCCACUGUUGCUCCAUCUUUCCCUAUUCCAACCGAAGGGACUUUCACAUAUCCCACCAUACAUUUGCCAUACACUUACCCUCCUGAUCCUUCAUUUUUCCCUACUUACAUGCAAGGUCCACAACCCCAACUUACUUCAAACAUACCACCAGAGCUACAUACUUUCUAUCACACUGCUGCUGAGCCAUUCCUACCCGACCAUAUCGUUCAAACCAAGCCAGAAAUGGGGGAAUCUUCCGCUCCCGUUGAUAUAAAGCUGCUCAAACGCCUUGACCGUUUUGAUGAGUUUAUGAGGAGGAGUCAGGGUUUGAACAAACAAGGAGUGCUGGAUUAUGAUGAGUUUUGUCUUUUUCCAAAUGUGCAAUUGCCUGAGGGGUUCAAAACUCCGAAGUUUAACAAGUAUGAUGGGACAGGCAAUCCCAAGACACACCUCCGAUUGUUCGCCAACAAAUUGGGUAGGCCAACAGAUGAUGAAAAUCUGCCUUUGAGGCUAUUCCCAGAAAGUCUGGAGGGGGAUGCACUCGACUGGUAUUCCAAGCUGAAACCCGAAGAGGCAAAGACCUGGUUGGACCUGUCCAAUGCCUUUACAAGGCAAUAUGAGUACAAUUGUGAGCUAGCGCCAACGCGGACCACACUGGAAGGAACAAAAAGAAAACCCUCCGAAGAUCACAAGACUUAUGCCAAGAGGUGGAGGAAAAUAGCUGCAAAAGUCGAGCCACCAAUGACGGAGGACGAAAUCAUACGCACUUUCAUUAAGGCACAUGACCCGCCGUAUUUUGAAGAAAUUUUUCGCAUGACUGAAUGCUCAUUUGCCGCAAUUGUUAAUAAGCUUGAGGAAUAUGAUGAGUUUAUAAGGGCAGGAAAGAUUAUUAACGUGUCGGCUCUGAAAUCGCAAUUGGAAGCGAUGCAGAAUCAAGGCAGCGGUAACAAGAAAUCUCCAUUCAAAAGGAGAGAAGAGGAGGCUUCAUUUGUCUCGAAUCGAGGCCCUGCUCCCCAACCGAGAUACCGACAGAACUCCACCUAUUCACCCCGUUGCCCGUACCAAUCACACUUUCAACCUGUGCACCAUACCACUGGUAACCACCCUCGACCUCGACCAAAUUAUCCAAACACACCUACGACACCAUUUCAUAUUUCUCCACAUAGCUUUCAAACUAGACCGCGCUCUCCUUAUCAUCCAAGACCCACCUUACCCGUCAACCAUAACUACAACUAUCAACAGACCGCUGGCACCCAAGACCCAGCCCGAUAUAGAACUUUUACCAAUUUAGGUCGGCCCUUGGAUCAACUAUAUGAGCAGCUCAAGGCCGCAGGAAAAAUUGGUACAAUACCUCCUAAAGUCUAUGCUAAAGGAGUUCCCCCUGGUUAUAAUCCUCAAUCUUUUUGCGCCUAUCAUUCUGGAGCUCCGGGACAUUCUACUGCUAAUUGUUGGGUACUCAAACACAAAAUUCAGGACAUGAUUGAGGCCGGAGACAUAAUUUUGAGAGGGAGAGAAGAACAAGGACCAAGUAUAAGUACAAACCCCUUUCCCAGACACAAGGACACCUUUGAGGCAUCCACCUCCAAUGACGAAAUUUGAAAAUCCUGAAGGAGCUCUGCACAAUUUGGAUGGCUGAUUAUCCUCCCUCACGAAGGGAAUUUCGAUGAAUCUAGGGGUUGUCAUUUACUAAAAUUCACAAAAACUUUUUCUUGCAUAUGUGAAUAACUUAACGAAAACAUCUUUUGCAAUUGAGUUUUGUCUUGUUUCUGCUUUGAUUUGGAGUUUCAUGAAAUGCACAAUUUGUUUUAUUUGUUUUAUUGUCCUGAAUUUUUGUUAAUUCUUUGAGAUGGCCAAAGAUGAAAUUAUUUGAUCCUUUGAAUAUCACUGUUCUGGAAUCUGAUGUAGCCCUUCAUUGAGAACCCCUCCAUUAAAAUCCCUUCAUUGAGAAAUCUUUUCUUUGAGAGACCCCUUCAGGGAGAAAGCCUUCAUAAAAAAGAAAAGAAAGAAAAAAAAAGCCUUCAUUGAGAAAUUCCUUCAUUGAGAAAAUCCCUUUCCUGCCAGGUUGUAAGCUGAUUGGUUAAAGCAGUGUCAUUAACGAUUGAUUCUGAUUAAUGAAAAGCAGUUGAAUGCUAUGUGCCAUGACCAACAUUGUCAAAACGCAUGACCUAUGUUCAUAACAAAAGGAUCCGCCACCGAUCUUCUGAAAAAGGAAACAAAGUGCUAAAGCGAUGAAAGACGAAGUCGAAGGCAAAUUUGCUUCCAAUUGACAAAGCUUAUUGGGUGUUCAAAGGAGAGAUGGAAGGACGGACAUUCCCUUAACCUAUCAACUUGGACAUGUGUAAGAUGUUCUUUAUUUGAUUAUGCAAAAUCUCUUUUAGGAAAUCAUGCAAGGGGCGAGGCAAAAGUCAGGCCAUCUUCCUUUUCAAUCAAAACAUUUCAUCCCUAGUCAUCCCCUUUGAGCUAUCAGAACAAUAAUUUUCGUUUGGCAGCCCCUGAGAAUUGCAAACCCCACACUGGGGCGAAUUCAUUUUUGAAAAAUGAUCAAAAAGGAAAAAAAACCCCACACUGGGGCAAAUGUAUCUUUGAAAGAGAUAUGGGAAAAAGAAAGAACCCCACACUGGGGCAAAUUUAGUUUUUGAAGAAAAAUACAAGAAAGAAGAAAAUGCAAUGGAAAAUACAAAGAAAGAAAAAUCCAAUCAAGCUGGGGCAAAUUUUCCUCGGUUUCGUUCAAAAAAUUAGAGAUAAUCUCAAAAUGAUGCAAUCUCAGUUUAUUUCACACCUUUCGUCAGACUUGCUUUCAAGCCUCAACUUUUCUUGAAAAACACCCCACCUAACCUCAUUACAAAAGCCCAAAAGUCCUGGCUUUCGUCACUUGCUGCAUUUCUAUUAGGGAUUUUGCUAAUCAACUGGCACGUGAUGUCCAUAAUGCCUUCGUUAAGUCUAUAAGGGAAGCGCAUUUUUACUGAUGCCAGCAAUCUUCAACUUACAUUCCUGGAGUCGACUAUGGUUGAGCUCUUCCAUUAUUUCAUUAGGUGAAAAACCCACAAGGGCACCUCAAGAGAAAAAGGAAAAAAAAGAGAAAAAGAAGAAAAAGAAAGAAAAACCAACAAAAAGGGUGGGGGGCAGCCUUGGUGAAAACCCGAAGGGGCGCCAAGGUAGGUUUCUGCAAUGAGCAAGCACAAAGAGGAACAACUGGUGGUUUGAUCCAUUUAGAUUUCUUCUCAUUUUUGUCAUACCUCUGACAACAUUUAAUUCCGGAGCUAAGAUAUCCAGAGAAUCGAAUAUGACAUCCGUUGGCUAAAGUGUGUCAUUUUGUAAAAACAUUCUUUUGCAAAUACAUUCUUAGGAAACUCAUUUUUUUCAAAUUACUUGCAUUUAUGGCAUUUUUGUAGAAUUUAAGCACAAAUGGUUAUGUGUGCAUUCUGGUGCAUAUUCUUUCUUACAUGACAUGUGAAUUUUCUUGCAUACCUCAUUCUUUAUCAUUGAAUUUUGGUGAAUGACAAUCCCCGUGGUUUAUUGCAAAAAGUAUGCUUGGAUUCAGUCAUCUUUUGGAAAUAGUUGAAAUUCAGCCAAGCCAGCUACACAAACUUCAUAAUAGGGCAAAGCACAUACCUGGUCAGUUUGAAAAUCGGAAGAGUCUUAGGGUGAGAAAUCCAACUCAAUCGGCUGCCGCAGCAAAAGUUGAUAAAAGCGUCGAAAGACUCAUGUUUACACGAUUCUCAAAGGAAAACGGAUCAAAUGGUGGUGGCAAUUUCUUUGUUUUUCUCUUUUGCAGGAAAAUUGCAUGCACAAAUGAAAGUAGUCACACCUCGCACUGGAAUCGGUGUCGGAAAAGUCCUCCGGUGAACAAAGGCAGAUCAAAAAUAUUGCAAGCAAAUCUGAUCAAAAGGUGCAACAACAUCAACUAUGGACCCAAAAUUGCAGAAAAUUCACCAUACUGGGGCAAAUUUUUGGGAUUUCGUGAAGCCAGAAUCUUACGAAUCAAGGUCUCAAGGAGGAGCAACCAUAAUACAAAUCAAUUGAUCGGUUGCACAAAUUGGGGGAGACUGGGGCAAAUUAUUUUGACAAGAUUCUCUCAAUCAGGAUUUCUGGAAAAGUCAAAUUCAAUUUCUUGUUUUUUGAAAAAUCACAUUGAAUUCUUGUUGGCAAUAUCUCAGCGCCCGCCGCGCUUUUUCUAUCUUCCCCUUUUGACAAUCACACUUAAUUUCUUGACCAAUUGGACGGCAGGACCGGGUUUUAUCCCGCUGACCGCUUACCUGGCAGGACCGGGUUUUAUCCCGCUGACCGCUUGUUCGGCAGGACCGGGUUUUAUCCCGCUGACCGCGCUUACUUCGCGCAGGACCGGGCGGUUUUAUCCCGCUGACCGCUUACUUCGGCAGGACCGGGUUUUAUCCCGCUGACCGCUUACCUCGGCAGGACCGGGUUUUAUCCCGCUGACCGCUUACGGCUUACUUCGGCAGGACCGGGUUUUAUCCCGCUGACCGCUUAUUUCGGCAGGACCGGGUUUUAUCCCGCUGACCGCUUUUAUCUACGUUGGGACCGGGUUUUAUCCCGCCAACCUCGGCAGGACCGGGUUCUAUCCCGCUGACCGUCCACACCCUAUCAGGCUUAGAUGUUAUCCCACCGACCAAUUCAUCAUACUGGGGCAAAUUUUUAGAUAAUUUUUCAAACAAGUCUUAUACAGUUCUUCAUUUUACAUUUUCUGUUCAGGUCUAUCCCGUGGGUCUAUCUCAAUUUUACAUUUCUGUCUGGGUCUAUCCCGUGGGUCUAUCCCAAUUUGACAGAAACCCAAUUUUACAUUUCUGUCCGGGUCUAUCCGUGGGUCUUCCCAAUUUUACAUUUCUGUCCGGGUCUAUCCCGUGGGUCUAUCCCAAAUUUAAAUUUCUGUUCAGGUCUAUCCCGUGGGUCUAUCCCAAUCUUACAUUUCUGUCCGGGUCUAUCCCGUUUAAAUUUCUGUUCGGGUCAGUCCCGUUUAAUUUCCUGUCCGGGGUCAGUCCCCAUUGUUCGAGUCGUUCACAGCCAAAUAACACAGGUAAGUAUUUGGUGUCUACUUCUUUGUCUCAAGUUUUUCCAAAACUCAGACAAAGAGGGGCAAACUGUAGACACCAAAUUUUGAAUUGAUUUAUAUGCUUCGUUUUAGUGAUAAGUCUUGUCUAUUGAUUUUUGUUUAUCUCAUGAUUUUUGUUUUAAAUGGUUUGCAUUUUUGUUUUGCCCCUUUAGAUGUUAUUUUAUUUUAUUUUUAGUUUUAUUUACUUUUUAGUUUUUUAGUUUUUGUUUUUUAAGUUUUAGCGUAGAAAAUCAUGAAAAAUGAAAAAGGAAAAAUCAUGAAAAAGAGGAAAAAGGAAAAGAAAAAUAGCAUUUUUGUUUUUUUUAUCUAUUUUAGUCAUUUCUACUUAAUUUAAAUUUUGUUUUUGUUUGGUUCAUUUAGAAAAAAAAAAGGAAAAAGAAAAAAAGAAAAAAUGAUGAAAAUGGAAAAUGAAAAAAAAUUGCAUUUUGUUGUUUCUAGUUUGUUUAUUUUAUCCAAUGUUAAUUAAGUGGGUUUUGUUAUUAUUAUUGUUAUUAUUAUUAUCAUUUUGGUUUUGUUAAAUAUCUUUUGAAAAAAAAAAAAAAAAAAAGCUGCGUGCAUGCAAGCUGCAUUUUUGCAGCUUGCAAAGGAACUUUGAGGCAGCUCCUUAGCUGCAAAUACAGAGGAAGUUGUUAAGGGUUUAGGAGGGGGGCUCCCAUAUAAAUAGAAAAAGAGGAUUCAGCCGCAAGAGGGGGUGACGGGAAAAAGAGAGAAGAAAGAAACGGCAAAGGAGAGUGACGGCUAAGGGAAAAAGAAAAAAAAAAGGAAAAAAGGAGCGGCAGACAGAACGAGUGAGAGGCUAAAAGGAAGGAGGUAGCACCUGGGUUUCUGGGGGGAGAGUUAGGAGAAUCCAAGAAGAAGAGACUGAGAGGGUGGAGGUCUACGGGGUUUGAGAGCGAAGGAUUUGGCAGCGGCUAAGCCUGGAGGGACCGAGGAACUGGACAGAAAGAAGGAGAGCAUCAGGGGGCUUGGCUACGUGAAACUGAAGAUUAAGUGAAGCUGGGCAAGAAUUUGUCUUCUGAUCAUCGCACACUUCAGUCCGCCUUUUAGAAGAUUAAAGGUAGUACCUUUCAUUUUAUUUCCCUGUCCGUAGAUUACAAGAGUCUUGUUAGAAAUGUUGAAAUGUUGUUGCGAUGCCGGCUGCUAUUGUUUGAAUCAAAAUCUGGUUUUGUAUGAUGGAUAGUGAAGAAAGUUGCGGCUGGAAAAUUGCAGAAUGCAUGAGUUUCUUUGCAUUUUUUGAGUGAGGUUCUUCUAUGUUUUGUUUUGUUUAAGUGAUAAGGUUCUAUACUUGGUUGUUUAGCCUAGAGUCUUGAUGUUUGGUGGGUGAAGUUCUCCUAAAAAAUUAAGCUUGUGGAUUGAACUUUAUGUUUGGAAUUUGAAUUUGCAGCAGAUUUAUGAUCAUACGACCCCUCUCUGCCCAGAUUUUCCUUUCCUUUGCAUGACAUGAGUUUGUAACAUUGAAUGAGGGCCUGAAAUUUAGUCUUGUUGCCAGCCAUUUGUCAUGAAAUGCGGCGUGAAUCUCAGGAAAAUUAGAAUUGUAGGAACUUGUGUCUAUGUCUUCAUUGCACAACUAUGAGCUGCAUUUGUUUUGGAGCAGUAAAAACAAAAAAAAAAAAACUCUCGCAUUCCCUUUUCCCUUGCUGAUCGGACAAUCUAAAUGUGUAACUUCAAUUCGGCAACAAGAGCAUGCUUUUCAUUUAGCCGAUAGUGUGAGGCUUUGAUAUUUGCUAUAGUGGAAUGGACAGAAAUGUCGUGGCUGAAAAUUGCAGCAAAGUUUAUGUUUUUCUUCAGAUUUGCAUGAUGCCUUUUCAAGUUUCUUUGUUUGUUUGGCUUGGGAUAAUUGUGUUUAUCUGAUUAAGGUUUAAAUGUUUUGGUUGAAAGCUUUUGGAUCAAAAGUUGUGUUUGAGAUGGAAGGUGGGUGUGCAAAUAUGACUUGCGGCUAUGUUUUCUUAGUUGCAGAAAGUUUUUCAAUAGUAAUUCUUGUUGCAGAAAUUUCUCUCGUAUGCAUGCAUGAAGUAAAUGUUAUAAAAAUUACUUUUGGCCCCCCAAGUCUCCCCUUAAGCCACUAAGGCCCAAAAACUUUGGAAAUUUAAUCAAUUGGAUCCCUUGUAUUUUUGCAGCAAUGCAUUAUGGCCCAAUUACAUUCCAUGUUCUUGCAAUUAGGUUCUAAGGUGUUUUCAUUUGAAUCAUUAAUUGAUCUUUAUUAUUUUUGGGACCUUUGAAACUCUUUUUGACGUUGAUUGUGAUUGAUUAGUGGUCAUUUUUGGGUCCUAGAAAUGCAAGUUUGAACCAUUCAUGGACCUUCAUUCACUCUUGGAUUCUUGAGAUAUGAUGUUUGCUUGGACUUUAUUAUUUACUUGGGGACCUUUGAGUUCUUAAAUGCCUCAAUUAGGUUCAAAUGAUUGAGUAGUGCUUGCUUUUGGGUCUUUAGUAGAUGUUAUGCUUGGGGAUUGGAUGAUCAUGCCUUUUGCUUUGGUCUUUAAGUAGUUUUGACUUCAUUGAGUUGCAAUUGAGGGAAAGUUUGAUGUUUUGGUGGAUUCAAAUUGUUUAGUUUAUAUCUUCUCACUAAAUUGGUGCACUAACCUUUUGUUUUUGGUGAUUUUAGCCUAAGUUAGUCUUUUCUUGGGUGACUCUAGCCAAGUUGAGUUUGUUUACUUCCUUAGUAUCACCAACGGGGAGGUAUAAUCUCUUUUACCCCUUUUGUUUCUCUCCUAUGUGGACUAAUGUGCUAAUUGAAAUUUGCAUGUCUACUUGCUUUCCUAGCCUUUCCUUAUUUCCUUUCAUUUAUUUCAUUUACUUUUGAUUUUUAUUAAUGGGGUAUGUGUACACCUCUUGGCUUGUAAUAGAUAGGGCGUAGCAAGUAAUUUGGUCCAUUUUCCCUUUCCCCUUUGUUUUAGUUAGCAAAUGUAAUGGUUGCAUGCCUAUGUGUUAUAUGUUAAAUGCUUUAUUAGGAUCUUGCAUCUAGUCGAGCAUGAUAAGUGCUACAUGAUUUAGGUGAUUUGCAUGUCUACUUGCUUUUUGUAGUAUAGAUGAAUGGAAUGGAUGAAUGUACGUCACCACACUAGUCCAACGCUAGUUGUGGCUUCUUUUAUCGUUUCCACUAGUCCAACGCUAGUCGGAAUUCAUAGAAUGGGCUAGUCCAAUGCUAGACCCAAUAGGUUCUUUUUUCCCUUUUUCAUUAAGUGCAUGAUCACCACAUAUCACGCAUUUUUCUUUAGUUUUAUCAUUUGGGCAUGUUCCUUGAAUCCCUUUCCCCCUCACUUUAGGUUUUGCAUCUAAUGCUAGCUAUAGGGUUCAUUUUGCUUGAGUGUCCCCCUCCGAUAAGGGAAACGAGCGAGUGUGGCUACUCGAUAGCCUUAGCACGCUAGUUUUGCCUUCUAAUCAAAGGGAAAAUCGAAGUCGAAAAAGUUAGGAGUCAUUCCCAUACCCGACCUGAUGCAUUCCUUUAGAUUCAUUCAUUCUCAAUUUUUCACUUACUCACUUUUUCAAUUCACAUUUCCUCAUUACUUUUCCUUUCCUUAUUGUUCAAUUUUGGUUUCUACUUCACAAAAAUUGCACUUAAUUACGAUCUAUAUACACUUAUCACUAUAUUUCAUACACUUGCACACAAACACUUGGAUUUCCAUACAAUUGCACACAUGCACCUUUUUAUACACUUGUACACUUGAAUUUGAACUCUCAUUUGCAUUAAUCGACCUCUAUAAGGUUUUCUUUCAUUGGCCGCCACAAUUCAUGUGGUUGGGACCAAAAACCUUACAAGAGACAUCUUAGAAUCUAGGGUUUUGUAUUUCAUGUAGCACAUCCAAAUGUAAUAAAUUCUUUGGUUAAAACAAGAAAAUCUUUGAUUAAAUCACGCCACUAGCCUUGGCUAGGUCAAAGGGGUGCCUUGGAUUCUAUCCUUGCCUUCCCCUUUGUCAAACGUGACUCCCGAACCUUUUUCUUUGGCUUACGUGGACUAGGAGUCGUUUUUUUAAAAGGGUUUUACUACUUUGUCUUUAAAAAUUUAUUUUUUAGGUGACUUGGUACACCUUAAUCAUUACCAAGUGGCGACUCCAAUUUCUUAUUCAAAACCCUUUUUAAAAAAACUAUUUUUUGGGUCAAAUCGUCGCUUUUUCAAAGUCCCAUAUUAGACCCAUAUCUUUUUCAAUUCACAAAAAAUCAUUUUCCAAUCAAAAUUGAAUCAAAAAACAUCUUCCUCAAACAAUUUAUUUAUUUAUCAAAAAAUGGGGCGCGACAUCUAUUAACAAUGGAGUAUAAAUCAUCCACCACAUAUUAAUUUUUUCUAUCUAACUGUUCAUUUUUUGAGAAUUGAAAUUUUAUUGGUAGAGAUAAUUGAGUUUUUCUUUUUUUUUCUUUUGUUUUUUCAUCUUUUAAUUUUUUGGACAAAAUUUGACAAAAAGCAUAAAUGACGAAGAUUCUGUUAUCCUAAGAGCACUUUCUUUUGAUAUCAAUAGUAAUAUUUUUGAAGAUUUAAAAAUUUAAUUAGGUUGUGACUAAUCAAGAAUUUUUAAUGAAAAUAAAAAAUUGAAAAUAGAAUGCAAAAAGACACAUUGAUUUGGAAUAUUAUAUUUUGUUUAUUCUCUUCAUAAUUCAAAUUUAAUUAAGGUUAUAGUUUUUUCGUAACUGCUACAGUUUUGCUAUUAUUGAAAUGCAAUAAAUCUAAUUAUUAGGAAGAAUGGUAUUUUGGACGAAUAGAAAACAAAGACCAAAUCCUGCUUAGUCUCUCUUAACAUUUUGUCUUGUCAUCAACCAUUAUUUUCCUUUAAAUCAAUAGCUAUGAUGUAAUGAAUUUUAAUCAUCAUAAUAAAUUAAAAACUAAAAAAAGCAAAAUAUGAAACAUCAAUCAUCAAUUAAUAAGGGCAUAAUUAUAUUAAUAAAAACUAAGAUCACAACAAUCAUCAUAAAAAAUUAAAGAGAGUAUAAUAUGAAGCUUCAAUCAUCAAUUAAUAAGGUUAUAAUUGUAACAACAAAAACUAAGAUAACUUACCCUUACCGUCCAAACUCAUGGUACCUUUUAUGUAAUAAAUAUAUAGUAUGAAGAGAUGUAUAUUUUUUAAAAUUGAACUCUUUGUAUUAUUUUGUGUGUUAUUUCUAUAUCAUUUAGGCCAUAAUCUAUGGGUCUGUUUGGAUUCCUUGUUUUUGGAUCUGUUUUUGAAAAAUUGUUUUUCACAUUCCAAAUGCUACAGUAAAUGUGUAUUUCAAAACCAACUCCAAAAAUAUCAUAUCCAAACAAUAUAUCAAAAAUAACUCCAAAUACAUAUUUAAUAUGUUUAUUUCAAUUUGUAUAUUUCAAUUAUGUAUAGGAUAUAUAUAUUAUAUUAAUUUAUACAAAUUAUAAAUAUUUUAUUAUAUAUAAAAUAUAUUUAUAAUAUAUUUAUAUAAAUAUUAUAUAUUAUAUAAAUUAUAUAUAAUAUAAAUCUAAUUAUACAUUUAUAUAAAUAUUAUAUAUUAUAUACUAUAUAUUUAAUAUAUACAUAAUAUAUAUUAUAAAUUUAUAUAAAUGUACAUUUAUACAUAAUAUAUAUAUUUAUGAAUAUUUAUAAUAUACAUUUAUAUUAUGUAUAAUAUAUAAUAUAAUACAUUUAUAUAUUUAUAUUAAUAUACAUAAUAUUAAUUAUACAUUUAUACAAAAUAUUAAUAUAUUUAUACAUUUAUAUUUAUUAUAUUAGUACAUCUAUACAUAAUAUUAAUAUAUAUUUAUAAUAUAUUAAUUUAUACAUUUAUAAUUUAUACAUAUUUAUAAUAAUAUACAUUUAUACAUUUAUAAAUAUAUUUAUAUUAUGUAUUAUAUAUAAUAUAAUACAUUUAUAUAUUUUUAUAUAAAUAUAUAAAUAUAUUUAUUUAUAAAUAUUUAUAAAUGUAUUAUAAAUGCAUAAAUGUAUAUAAAUAUAAAAAUUAUAAAUUAUAAAUUAUAAUAAACAUUUAUAUAAUAGUCAUUUAUAAUUUAUACAUUUGUAAUAAUAUACAUUUAUACAUUUAUAAAUAUAUUUAUAUUAUGUAUUAUAUAUAAUAUAAUACAUUUAUAUUUUUUAUAUAAAUAUAUAAAUAUAUUUAUUUAUAAAUAUUUAUAAAUGUAUUAUAAAUGCAUAAAUGUAUAUAAAUAUAAAAAUUAUUAAUUAUUAAUUAUAAUAUACAUUUAUAUAAUAUUUAUUUAUACUUUAUACAUUUAUAAUAAUAUACAUUUAUACAUUUAUAAAUAUAUUUAUGUUAUGUAUUAUAUAUAAUAUAAUACAUUUAUAUAUUUUUAUAUAAAUAUAUAAAUAUAUUUAUUGAUAAAUGUAAUAUAAAUGCAUAAAUGUAUAUAAAUAUAAAAAUUAUAAUUUAUACAUUUAUAUAUAUUCAUUUAUAAUAAUAUACAUUUAUACAUUUAUAAAUAUAUUUAUAUUAUGUAUUAUAUAUAGUAUAAUACAUUUAUAUAUUUUUAUAUAAAUAUAUAAAUAUAUUUAUUUAUAAAUGUAUUAUAAAUGUAUAAAUGUAUAUUGUUCUAAAAAUAUAAAAAUUACAAAUUAUAAAAUAAUCGAAAAUAUUUUUAAAAAUACAUCUAAAAAUAACCCAUAAAACAUCUGCAGUAAAAGUUUUUCAUAUAGUUUUUGAAAAACAACACCAAAAACAUCUAAUCCAAACGGACUUAUAUUUGAAAAGGACUUAUAUUUGAAAAACGAAAUGCUACAGUAUUGUUUUUGAAAAAUAACCCCAAAAAUAACUAAUCUAAACGGAUCCUAUAUCAUUUAGGAGUCUUCGAUCAAGAAAUAUUGAUGAAUUAAUGGUUGGUCUAAUUGCCUUGUCUCUUGGGCACUUGGGUCGUCAUCCGGUUGUAGAUUCAGGCAAAACAUAUGGAUACGAGUUCAGAAUUACUAAGAAAUGAAGUAACAUAUUUUUUAACAUUAAACACAUAUAAUUUUCUUAGACAUUUUUCCUUUCCCCUUUGAACAACCAUAUAUUGUCAUUAACAUCCCCUUCAUUCUCUAAAGUUCAAAUAAUCAUUUUUACAACUUUAUCAGGAACUCUUUUUUUAUCGAAAUCGAUAAAUAACCCACACACACCCACCUAAUUUAAACAGAUGCAGGAGUUAAUUGAAAACCGACCUAAACUUUAUCAGGGGCUCUAUACUGCAAAUUUGUAGUUUCUAGUUACUCAAGAUCGGUGCCAACAUGUUUUAAUCAAUGUUUUGAAAACCGGACCGGACCGGCCGGUUCGACCGGUUGAACCGCGAAUCGGCCAUGGCACCGGUCCGGUUCAAUGGCAUUGUUGACUUUGCUAGAAAACCGGUCAAAGACCGGUUGAACCGUGAAAACCGCCGAACCGGAUUGAACCGGCGGUUUUCCGGUUUUCAGCUUUCCCCUUUUUUUUUUUUUUAGUUUUGCAAAAUGCAGUAAUCAAGAUUCAAACCCAAGACCUUUGUAAUAAAAGACCAAUGUAUUAACCAUUGCACCAUUACAUCUUAUUAGUUUUUUUUGAUAACUUAUUUAUAUAAAGCAAACACUCAUAUUUCUUUUUUCCAUUUUUCUUACAAAAUCUCAUCCCCUCAUGGCUCUUUCUUUUUCAUUUUCAACUCUCUCUCUCUCUCUCUCUAUCCUCUUUUCUUUUGUCACUCCCUUUUUAAUCAAACCUCUUUAUUUUUAAUUUAUUGAUGUUUUCUUCCAUCUUUUAAUUUUGUUUUUGUCCAUUAAAUUGAAAAAAGUUAAAAAGAAUUUUUUUAACCCAAAUUAUUUAAUGCCACAACCACUCACUUUUAUCUUAUUUUUUGUUUCUUAUCAAGUUUACAUUUCUAUUUUCGAUUUUCUUGAUUUCCUUCGAACUCCAAAUUUUCUUUUUUAAAUUGCAAUCUUUAAAUCUCAAAACGUAAAUUAAAAUUUAAAUUCAUAAUAUCUAAAUUCUCAGAGACAUGAAUUUUGUAUAAUUUCAAAAUAUUGUGAUAUUUUGGGGUUGGAUUUAGAUAUAAUUGAAAUUGAGAUGAAAUUUAUUUGUUUUAACUUAUAAUUUAAAAAAUUUAUUUUUAAAAAUCUAAGUUAUUAAAAAAUAGUAAACUUUUCAUCAUAUAAAAUAUUAAAUUAGUCCAUUACAUGCCUUAUUUUGUACAUAUAUAUAUAUUUAUAUAAAUUAUUUUUUAAAAAAUUCAUUGAACCGAGGUUGAACCGGUCCGACCGGUUGAACCUCGACCCUUUCACUCCACCGGUUCAAUUAACGGUCCGGUUUUUAAAACAUUGGUUUUAAUACCGACAAAUUCAUUAUUUCAGCAUUACAUGCCCCUAAACUCUCAACAAAUCCACUGGCAUAUUUAUUGAUAUUUUCCACUACAGCUACCCCACCAUGAUGGAUUACUUUUACCUGUCAAUGGAGAUGUACAGUCUAGGACCACAAAAGCAACAAGGCCAAACAAUUGGUAAAGAAACAGUCACAUGCCGUGGACCACAAAUAAUAAUUCAUAUUUAAGUCAAUGAAGGGCUACUUUUACCUGUUACAAACAUUAGACAUGUACAAUCUAGGACCAAUUUGUCUUAUACAAUAGGACCAUGAAAACAACAUGAAGGCUAAACAAAUAGUCACAUGCCGUGGACCACAAAUAAUAAUUCAUAUUCAACUCAAUUUUUGACCCACAUCAUGCCCAGACCAAUAAUCAUAAAAAUUGCCACAAACCUAAUACAAAUUAACACAACCUUGUCAUACUAAAAGUUAAACAUAUUGAUAUUUAUAGUUACUUCUUUUGUUUUUUCUUUUUUUAACAAAUAAAUUAUGAUAAUGCCACUGAAAUUAUUUGAUUUUUAAUUAGAUAUAUGAACAAUUUUUUUCGAGUUGGAUGACCUAAAUUUGCUCAGUUAGCAAAAAUUAAUUAUCUGCUAACCAUUAGGGUUUGCCCAGUGGCCAAAAGAAACCUAUAUAUUCAUGGUACUUGUUAUAUAAUAAUAAUAAUAAUGAAUUGUUAUUUUCUUGUAAAUCAAUAGAUAUGAUAUAAUGAAUUUUAAUCAUAAUAAAUUAAAAAGAGCAUAAUAUGAAAUUUCAAUCAUCAAUUAACAAGGGUAUAAUUGAAAAAAUAAAAACUAAGAUCACAAUGAUACUUACACUUACACUCCAAAGUAUCAAGACUCAUGAUACAUUUUAUAUGGUAAUGAUGAUUGGCACUAUUACAUAUCAACUCCAAGUUCAAAUUCUGGUAGAGAGAUUCUGUUUUGGGUCUCCCCCAGAUUUGGAUUGGAUAGGAAUAUUAAUUUUGUCUUACGCAAAUGUUGAUUCAUUUCAAUUGGAUACGAUUGCGGUCUUGAUAAACAACAAGCAUUUGAAUUCCAUCAGCUUCACAAUCUCACGCAAAGCAUUAUAAGAUAAAUUUGGCUAAUAAUAAUAGAUGUGCUUAAUAACACCUGACUACUUAUUGGCAUCAAUAUGCUGAACCUGCAUUCAAUCAUAGAAUGAAUAUACUUUCUGAUACGGUAAUGUACUUGUCAAAAUCUAGUUGAAUUGAGUAUAAUAAAUUCAUCACUCAAUCGAUUAGUUUCGAUCUUAAUGCAUCCAAGAAUUGGAACUACCAAUGGAUUCAGACAAAACUAUGUCUGGAUUAAAUAGAUUGAAAUAGGUUCUCGAAAACGAAAUCUACUUUUUCAUCUUAUAUGGGAUUUUUAGCUGGCAAAAUAGUGCGUGAAGUUAGCAUCAAAUAAAGUUAAGUUAACCAUGUUCUUAACCACCAUUUUGGUUCAACGAUCUGAAUCAAGGAGUUGAUUAGUCAACAUAUUGUAAAUGGGAGGGUUUAAACCUGGACCAUCCAACCCAGUGAACAGGCAAAUUUAAUUGGCAUUAAUCAUACUUAACUAUCAUUUAAGGAGCAGAUUGGCUUCUACCACAUGCAAUAUAUGGUAUAUCUUUAGCUCCAUCUGUAAUGCUUGCAUCCCACUCAAUGCGUCUUUGUCUUUUGAUAAAUUAUAUCAAUUUCAUUUUGAUUAAUAACCUCACACAAACCAUUAGCAAAAGAAGAAAAAAGGAUAAUCAUCAUGCUUUAGGUAUCUCAUUAGUACUCAAUCGUUGUAAUUAUUGGUCUAAUUCUUGGUCGUACUUCAAUUACUUUAGGAAAGGGCAAAUUGCAACAACAACGCGAAAUAACUUAGCGAAGAUAUAUCAUUUUCAGCUUUUCAUUUUUUGACGGGCAAAUUGCAAAUAUAUCCCUGAAGUACUUCACAUUUCAUUUUAGUUCCCAGAGAUCAAAAUAAUACAUCUUUGUGUUAAAGUUUUUAUAAGUUUACCGAAGUAGUCCUACAGUAUUCCUCAAGCUUUUCUUCUGAUUUUCAAGCACAAACAUUUACUUGUCAUACCUGCACUCAAGAGUAAUAUAUGCAAAAUCAAACUAAAAAUCAUAUCUAUCCAACAAAAAGUAAAGUAGUUUGUCUUCUCAAUUGUUUUUUGUCCAUUUUAGAAGAGAUUAUAAACUUACAAAGGGCAAGGAAUUAAACAGUAAAAGGGAAGACAUAAAAAUCGAAUUAAAGGCCUCAUUUUCUUUGGUCAAUGUCGCUACCAAUUGAGUUGGAUUUUUAAAAUGUUUGUCUUCUAAAGUUUGAUUCCUAUCGAUAUCUCAAUCUUUGUAUGUUGAUCAUUUAUGACUUUGUAACUUAAUAUCAAAAAGGGCAAAAUAUACUUUAUUUCCCUGUGGUACAACUACUUUUUUACAUAAGCCUCCCUAUAGUUUUUGAAAGUUAUAUAUAAUUCCUCAUAGUUUGGAUUAAAGUAUCAAAGUAACGGAAAUAAUCAUUUACAAUGAAACUUAUGAAAAUAUAAAAAUUACCCUUAUUUAAAAAUUAAAAUAGUUGAAGUGAUCAAAAUAUAUAAACAUAAUAUUAUAACACUCUAACCUUGUAUGGUUUUAUACUUUUCCUAUCGCGCCCUAUUUUUUGAAAUAAAAAAUUAUGAGUUAUAAAAAAUGAAUUUUCGAUUAAUUUUGAGUGAAAAUGAGUUUUUGAUUUUUAGAAAAUAAAUAAAAAAAGGCCUAAAAUGGGACCUAAGAAGUGCGACGGUUUUGACCCAAAAUAAUAGUCUAAAAAGGGUUUUUAGGAAAAAUAGGAGUCACCAAUUAGUAUUGAGUUAAGGUGUACCAAGUCAUCCAAAAAUAUGUCAUUUAAUAGUAAUAAAAAAAUAAAAAUAAAUAAACAAAACCUCUUUUUCGAUGACUCCAAGUCUUUGGAAACAAAAGAAAGGAUUCGGAAGUCACGGUUGAAGAAAGAAAAGACAAGCAUAAAAUUCAAGGCACCCUUUCGACCUAACUAAAGUUAGUUGCGAGAUUUAGUCCAAAAGUUUUCCUAAUCUAACCUAUAGACUUAUCACAUUGGGAUGUUUCUACAUGGAUGCACACCUAGACCUAAUGGAUAUCAGGAGGGUCGAAAUAUCUCUUCAAAGAUUAAUUGAUGCGAAUAACAUUAAUUGUGAUGCUCAAAAUGAUUUUUAGAAGAGGUCACGAAUAUGUAAAGAAUGAGACUCGAAAAAAAGAAAAAUUAUAAUAUAUAAGUAUGUUUGACCUAAAAAGAGGAAUGCAACAUAACGGGUACGGGGGACUAAGAUUCGUGACUCAAUUUUUCUUUUUAUAAAGGAGAUACUAGCAUGCUAAAUCUAAGAAGCCUACUCGUCCAUUUCCCAUAUUAGAAGGGUGCUCCCUAACCUAAUCAAGCAAAUGCCUAACCUAUUUCUAAUUUUUCUUAAAUGGAAUGCAAGUCUAAAAUGUCAUGUUUCGCAAGAGGGAUAAGGGAUAUACAUAUAGAGGAAAUAUCUUGCAGAGUGGUAAAGAUCCUAAAAGUAGAAAAUAUGCAUGAAAUGUAAUGAUUGUUAUGCAAGCAUGUGAUUCUAGCGCGUGGAUGGAACAAAGAGUCUAGCAUUGGACUCGUGAGAAAUCGAGAAAUAGACCACAAUUAGUGUUGGCUAGUGUGGUGACGCCAUGCAUUUAUUACAACUAAAUAAAUCAUAUAAAAUAUAAUUAAAGCUAAUAAACACAUAGAGCACAUAACACGUAGGCAUGAUAUCUAGAUACAAAGAUCCUAAGAAAUUGAGUAAACAUAUAAGCACACAAGCAUCCAAGCAUCCAAGCAAAUAAAAGUCUAACUAUUACAUCUGGGGCUCUAAUUACAAUCUAAGGGGAAUUUAAAAAAUAAUAACCUAACUAUUAUAUUUAUCUAACUAAAUACAUUUUUAACAAAAAUUAAAACCUAUCUAUUACAUAGGCUAACUAAAUACAUAUCUUGAGCACCUAUCUAUUACAAUUUGGCAUUUUAAUGCCUCUCAAAUAAUUACCAAAAAUUAAAUUAAAUAAAUGAAACCUAAAAUGAAUAAUAAUGAAUAAAAAGAAAAAACACUCAAAACAUGCAAUUGCACAUAAAACACAUUGGAGCACAUAAAAGAAUUGAAAAUAAUAAAAGAAGUUACCUCCCUUAAAGUUGUGGUUAAAUGGGGUGAAAUUUGCCCUACUUAUGCUCCAAAAUCAACAAAAUGGUCAAGGCACCAAUUUAAUUAUAAAAAUGGAAAUAAUCAUAAAAUCUACCAAUUAAAUCAUUUAAAUAAAGUAUAAUUAACAAUUAAAGAAGAAAAGUAACUUGUAUUUAAGAAAUCAAAACUAUAGGGAUUUAAUGAAAAUUUAUAAAGUUUUUGGGGUCCAAUUGUAAUUAUUACAAAUAUAGGGGUCAAAAUUAAAAAAAAAAAGUUUUAGGGAUCCAUUUGAAAUUAAAUUAGAACCUAAUUGAAAAUGUUAAAAGUUUAUGGGGUAUAGUAUCAUUACUCAAAGGUCUAGAGAUUGAUUUGCGAUUUCAUAACUAGAUUUCUUGAGUAAAUAGGCCUCUGGGCCAUAUCUCUUAUUUUUCGGGCAAAAACCUUCAAAGCCCAGCAAAAAGUUCAAGGAAAAUGCACAGGCCAAUCCAUAAUCUUACCCAAACAAAACCAACCAAAAGGGAUGGGCUUUUACCUCUAAGCCCAAGCGAAAACCCAAAAAAUGAACCAGACUUUUCUACCAAAACCCAACCCAAUCAAACCGUAACCCAAAUCCAACUAUUUUACCAAAUUCCAAUAAGAUAAUAAAUCAACUAAAACAAAUUAAGGUUUAAAUAUACCCCAAAUCACAGAAAUAACAUGCUUAGACAUGCACUUAAAAUAUGAAAAGAGUAUUAAAACUCAAUAGGGACAAGAUUGGUUCAAUUACAAGACUUUUGAGCCACAGUGUAAUUACUUAGAAAGUUAGGGGUUAAAAUGAAAUUUUUAAAAGUUUUGCAUGCAAAGCUUCGAAGAAGCUUCUUUCUGCAACCAAAAGCUUCUUUCUGCAACUCCCGAAACUUAUUCAACCCAAGAAGACAGCCGCAACAUUCAUGCCAAAUUCACAGAAUCAUCAACUAAACCCAAUAAGAACCACAUCCCCACAAACAAACCACAGAACAACAUGGGAUUAAUUGCUCAAAAUCUCCCACUUCAGAUUUGCAGAUAGAAAGGAAACAUACCACUUUCACUCAUUGAUUCCGAACAAAACCCGAAGCACAGGGCGAUUUAAAGUGGGGGCACUGGGGACCUUAAAUUCCUAUAAUACAUCUACAAUUUUGACAUAAUUUUAAAGGUUCUCCAGAAUUUUUUUGGAAAAAAUGUGAAAGAAUGGGUCACAAAAUUUAUAUCAUUCACUUUCCUCCUCUAGUUCCCAUUUUCCCACCAACAGGGCAAGUACCAAUUAUAUCAGUCAUAUCCUUUUGGUUCCCACUCCCUAAGUUCCCUUUACUCCUGUGGUCCCCAUUUCCCUUCACAACCGGCUUCUCUUCUUCCACACCCAAGCCAACUACUUUUUCUUUUUAUCACUUCAUCCAAUUAUCAUUUACUUCCUUUGUCCCCACUCCCCAAUUUCUCUUUCCUCAUCUGGCUCUCAGUUGUCCCCAUUCCCCAACAUACAUAUGAGAGCCAUUUUUUUUUCACAACCAAAGCUUGUUACUCUUUUUUUUUUUUUUUCACUUAUCCUAUUAGAGAUUGCACCAGAAUCAAUUGAUCUUCUAGAACUUGGAUCCGCCACAUUUUGUAGCUCUUUCAUCAACUUUAGAAGACCAUCAAAAUCAGGUUCUAAACAAUUACUUCUUAUUAUUAUUAUUUUAAAUUUGUUUGCAAAUAUAUUUCUAGAGCAUGAGACUAUUACUGUUUUAAAGAAAUUUGGAAAUUGAUUAGUUAAUGUAAUAACUAAUAAAUGGGUUAUUUGAUAAAUAUUUUAACUUGUGAAAUGGUGAUUUUAUGCAUGAGACUUUUUUUUGCUUAAAAAAAUUAGAAAAAGAGUAGAAAAAAAUUUUAGUGUUAUUUUUGCCCCCAUUAAGAUUUUUUUUUGGCUUUGCCCCUGCCGAAGCAUAACUUUGUUUAUGAACUACAAAGCUUGCAAAGAUAAUCAAGGACAAACAUUCACACUAACUUCCAAAUCUUGUCAUAUUUUAGUCAAACCAGAGGUAUCAGACCCAGCAAAAACAUAGAACCCGCACUAUAAACCCAUAAUCUAAAAGGAAGUUCUCUUUUGAUGAGUUAAAGAUCUUUUUUUUUCUUUGUGAAUUGCAGCAAGAAAAGGAAAGAUUAAGAGUUACCUCCGGAUGCUAGUGCAGUCAAAAGAAAGCAAGGUGCUCAAGAAAGUUGUGUGGAUUGCUGGAACGAAAACAGGAGCACUUUGCUGCAGAAAUUUCACCCUUGGCGAGCAGGCUGCUUUGAGCCGAAUCACAGAGAUCUGGAAAUGUUUUUUCAAGAUGUUUUCUGAACAAAAGUUAUAGAUUUACCAACAUAGUGAGUGCAGAAACUGAAAUAGAACCUACAGGAUCAAGAACAAGAUCGGAUUUGGGCCUCAAAAUAGGCUUUUUCACCAACCCUGGCUCAUUUUCUAGAAAAAUUUCUGCUCCUUUUUUUUUCCUUUGUCUCCCUCAGUUUUCUCUCCCUUUUUGCUGUUUUUUUUCACUCCUCGCCGCCUCCCCUCUCAAUCCCUUGUUAUCAGCCCUUUUUAUAUGAAAACCAACCUCCUAAAACCCUCAUCUAGAUGGUGGACAAAAAAACUGAUUUCUUUUGCAUUUUUAGGGCCCUUGAUCUUCAUGUUUUCUGGAUUCUUCUUGAUAAAUCUUGGAGAUGUGAUCUGGCUUGUACUGAGGCAUGGAGGAAAGAAAAAGAAUGCAAAAAGAAUCGAGUAAAAUGGGACAAAAUUGCAGCUGCAUAUUUGGUGCUGUGGCAUUGCUUCUGUACGAAGCUUGAAGGAAUAGCACGCGCGUGGGCAGAAAUUUUUUUUUUUUUUUUUUACAAAACUGACUUUUUUCAUUUUUCUUCUUUUGUUUCCUUUUCUUUUUCCGAUUUUUCUAAAAAAAGUGUUUUUUAUCAAGAAUAGAAAUGAAACAAAAUAAAUAAAAUUAACUAAAAUGAACAAUAAUAGGAAUAAAAAUGAAGAAAAAAAUGGUAAAAUUUUAGUGUCUACAGCUUACCCCUCUUUGUCUAGAUUUCGCAGAAAUUCAAGACAAAGACAUAGACACCAAAUUACUUAUCUGUCUAUCUCAACUGUAAUUGAAACAACUACAUAAAUCUAAUAGAUUGAAAAAUCUAAACCUAAAAAAUAAAAAGAUUUGUGGGAUAAAAUCCAACCCCAACAAAAUAAAACGAUUGAAGAGAUAAAACCCAAACCCAACAAAAUAAAAACGGUCAGUGGAAUAAAACCAAACAUGCCGAGAUUGGUGGGAUAAAACCCAAAUCCAACAAAAUAAAAAUGAUCGUUGGAUAAAAUCCAAAUCCAACAAAAUAAAAACGGUCAGUGGGAUAAAACCCAAGCCCGUCGUGGUUGAUGGGAUAAAACCUAAAACCAACAAAAUAAAAAUGGUUGAUGACAUAAAACCUAAACCCGCCGAGAUUGGUGUGAUAAAACCCAAAUCUAGCAAAGUAAAAAUGGUCAGUGGGAUAAAAUCCAAACUCGCCGUGGUUGGUGGGAUAAAACCAAACCCAACAAAAUAAAAACGAUCGGUGAGAUAAAAUCCAAACCCGCUGAGGUUGGUGGGAUAAAAUCCAAACCCACUAUAGUUGGUGUGAUAAAAUUCAAACCCAACAAAAUAAAAAUGAUCGGUGGGAUAAAACCCAAACCCGCCGAAUUCGGUGGAAUAAAAUCCAAUCUCAACAAAAAAAAACAGUCGGUGGGAUAAAACUCAAACCCGCUGAUAUAAGUGGGAUAAAAUUCAAACUCAACAAAAUAAAACGGUUGGUGGGAUAUAAUCCAAUCCUAACAAAAUAAAAAGGGUCGGUGGGAUAAAACCCAGACCCGCCGAGGUUGGUGGGAUAAAAUCCAAACCCAACAAAAUAAAAACGGUCGAUGGGAUAAAAUUCAAGACCAACAAACUAUAAACGUCGGUGGAAUAAAACUCAAGUUCACCGAGAUUGGUGGGAUAAAACCCAAGCCCGUCGAGAUUGGUGGGAUAAAAUCCAAAUCUAACAAAAUAAAAGGGUUAGUGGGAUAAAAUCCGAGACUAAUACCUUACGUGGGAUAAAAUUCAAACCCAACAAAAUAAAGGGUUAGUGAGAUAAAACCCGAACCUAAUACCGUUAGUGGGAUAAAAUCCAAGUCUAACAAAAUAAAGGGUUAAUAGGAUAAAGUCCGAGUCUAACACCGUUGGUAGGAUAAAAUUCGAGUCCAACAAAAUAAAGGGUUAAUAGGAUAAAGUCCGAGUCUAACACCGUUAGUGGAUAAAACCCGAGCCUAAUAAAAUAAAGGUUUAGUGGGAUAUAACCUGAUCCUAACACCAUUGAUGGGAUAAAACUCGAACCCAACAAAAUAAAAGGUUAGUAAGAUAAAACCCAAGUCUAACACCGUUAGUAGGAUAAAACCCGAUCUUAACAAAAUAAAGGGUUAGUGCUUGAAAGCAAAUCAUAAAUAGAUUUGAGAUCGCAUUUUUCAAAAUUUAUCCAGUGUAAGGCCUCUCUUCUUUUCUUUUGUGAUUGACGUUCAAAUUUGCAAGAUUCUAACUUGCGUUUUUUUAUCGAUUUCAGUCAUAAAUACUACACCAAGGGAAUUUAACAUGCACUUGAAUUUUAUACAAAAUAUUUUUUUGCUUUAUUCUGAAAAGUGUGAUAUCAAAUUCUGAACAAUAGGUUGAAAGUAUAUUACUUGACUCUUGGACGAGAUCUCACAAAUAUGUUACAAAAAAUUUUCCCCCAGUAUGGAUCUAUUUUGCGAAAUCUCACAAAUAUAUUAUAAAAUUUGCCCCAAUAUGGGUCUAUUUUUAACUGCAAAAAUUUUGUUCGAAUGACUAUCCAUUUAUUUGAACAAAACAUGAAAAAUGUGUUUUCCUAAAAUUUGAAAAAUAAUCACAUACUACUAUGCAAUGUGAAGAAAUUUAAAUGUCAUGUUUAAAUCAUGCAGAAGAUUUCAUGAUGAAUUUAUCAAAACAAUACCAAAUUACAAAAGAUUUCUUUCUCACUUUAGCAUCGGUGCUUAGGGUGGAAUGAUCACUUUUCUAUUAGCUCAUCCUUUAGGACAAAACAAGUGGGUACUAUUAUGAUUUUGAGGUGGCUCAGGGAGAUGGUAUGUCAGGAUCUGUCUUGUUUUUGUACCCAAAUUGUGUCAAAACCAUUUGAUCACAUCUUGGUGAUAUCAAAUAGUUCAUCACUCUUAUUUCUUGAGAAAGCUCAGUCAACAUAUAAGAUCUAUAGACUUGUAAUGUACAAGUCGAAACGAUAGCUAAACAAAUGGAAGCAGGUUAUGGCCUUAUGAUCACGAAUGAUUGAUAGAUUCCUUAGAGGCAUGAUCCUUUUUUGAUUGUCAUGAAAGAUAAGUCAACAAUGGAUUUUAUGAGCUUGUAAUGCGACUUGAAGACGAUAGUUAAAGAAAUAAGAUUUUCAAAGACAUUGUACUUAAGAUCGCAUUCCUUCCCAAAAAUUGCCCCAGUUUUGGACUCAAAACUCUGGAUUCUAUUUUGACUUUUAUCAUCAAUCACUAGAGAUUCAGCAUGCAUUGAAUCUCUUUGUAGUUUUUUAUUUUCUCUAAUCUUUUUUUUCUUUACAUUUUCCUUUUUCUUCUUUUUUUUCAAUACCGAAAUACCAAAAAUGAUAGAAUUGAGAAUCCCUUAAUUUUUUAGAUUAUAGAUGCCUCUCUUUUUUUUUUUCAAAAUUGGAGCCCAAAUAUUAAUGGUAGAAUCAAAUUCCCCCAACUUGUAGUUUCUCUUUCUUCUUUUUAAUUUUAGCAUUUUCGCUUUUUUUUUUAAAAAAAAAUUCUCCAAUCUCCUUCCCCAAUGUGGGUGUGGUCAUAAGUGCUUUUGAAACGAACCACCCAUUUUAACUCAAAUGAGGGUGCAAAGGAUAAACACUAUUUAGAUAGUAGAAACGAUGCUCAAAGUAUCAUUUUACUUCUCAUGACAACCAAAGUGAAGAAUAGCCCAUUGAGAGAAUCCAUUCCCUUUUUGACAUGCAAAAUUAUAAUCACAAGACUCUUAUUUGAAACGAAAUUGUACUUUUGAAGGCUCAAAUAGGAGAGUAAAUGAUAAAAUCUGUAUAGAUAGAAAACAAACGCUUAAAGUAUCAUUCCAAAUUCUAAAAAACAAACAAGAGUAAUAUAUAUUUUUACUUUCAUUAGAUGUGAUUGAAUUUGGUUAGGUACAGUGGGCAUUUUCAAAGUAAGAAUAGGCCCACUCUGAAGUUUGUCAACCAAUGUGAUUGACUUUGAAGCUUGAUAGAAGUGGGUAAUUUAUGAAUUGUAAAAUGAAAGAACAAAAGUAUCGUAGUUGGUCUUUUAAAAAAACUGCUUUUUGGUUUCGAAUGCUCUUAUCGCAUAGUAUGGAUCACAAAUCUAGUGUAUGCAAAGAUUUUGCAAAGUUAAAACAUGCCUUGUGAAUUUUCAGGCAAGAGGUAGAAAAAAUCUCAAUUUAGUUUUAUUUCUUAAAAUCAUCAUGAAAUCUCCCAAUGAGCAAAUAAAGAAUGAGAUGAACAUGAAUAUAUACGAAACAAUAAUUGUCUAAAUGAAAAACUUCAUUAUUGCAAAUGUUGAAACAAACUUUUUAUUCAACUAUAAUACAAGUCCAAAGAAUACACUUUCAUAUAUACACACAGUUCUCUCCUUUUCUUUUGGGACACAAAUGUGUUAAAAGAAAUUUUUUUUGACAAACAAUUAUGAAGUCUCUCAAAUGCUUUAGAUUAGUACUUCCAAAUGGAUUCUCAAUAUUUUUACAUUGCAGGAUCUGCCAAAAAUCAAGUAAUAUUUGUUAUUUUUCAAAAUUUAUCAAACCAAAACUAUUAUCAGAUAUAAAAAAUAUUUUUAUGUUAUUAAAAUAUCCUUUAUAAAUGCAGGGAUGGGCAAAAAGAAAAGAAAAUACCCAGAAUUAGUAAGCAAAAUGUAAAAUCGGUAUGCAUGUCCUAUGGAGAGCCCUUUUAUACUAAGGGUAGGCCUAGCAUAAAAAAUGCAAUCCUUUGGGUAGGCACAUACAAUACCUAAUGGAUACAAUACCUAAUGGAUCUGGUCAAAUUAUUGAUAUUCGAGUGAAAAGCAAUUUGAAAAAUUUUGGCUAAUUGGAGUAACAAGAGACAUUUGUCCUAACAAAAUGAGGAGAAAGUUCGAAUAGAUUGAUUGCUUUGAUUGACACAUAAAGUGAUGUUAAAAAUCAAUUUAGUGUGAAAGAGCUACUUUUCAAAAGAUUGCAAUGUCUCGACUAGUUUUUAUAGUGAUCCUAGAUUGAAACCUUAAAAGAGAAUAAAUGGAUCAAAUGGGUCGGAUACAAUUGAUGGUUUAUUCAAAAAAUUGACUGGAUUACCCUAAAAAUGAAUAACUUGAUCAAAUGGAUUGAACAGAACUGACGAUUUAUUCAAAAUUGACUGGAUUGUCCUAAAAAUGAAUAAUUGGUAAAAUGGAUUGGAUAGAAUUGACAGUUUAUUCGAAAAUCAACUGAUUGUCCGUCCAUUGGUAGUCUCAAAAUUUUACAAAUUUCGUUACAAUGCAUUAGUCUAUGAGCCUUCUAAAAUCAGGAUUUGACCUCGAUAUAUUUAUUAUUUUAACAAUGAGGAAUCAUUUGCGAAUUUCUUUAACUUAAUGUCCUUUAUGCUAGGAAAUUUUACCAACUAUGAUAAAAUGGCCAAAAGAUGAUUGUUAGAUGCUCAUAUUCUAAUGUGCAAAAACUGUUCCAUUAUUUUCAAUGCCAAUGUCAUCAUGGAAGGGACGGAUCCUACCUUACCUUAUGCAUCCCUUUGGAUGAUACGAAAAAAUAUAAACGUGCAAGUUUUAUUAAAUUAUAUAUCCGAGAUGAAGAUGGUUUAUUUCUAAUGUGGGAUCCCCUAUGCGACAUUCCCUCUAUGAUUGAUGCAUGAUGACAGAUUAUUAAAGGGGGUAAUGCAAUAAUUGAAACAUGACCUAAAAGUGUCCCAUUUAAAUGCCGGGGUAAGCCCAAAAUGAAUGUAAUAUUGAGAUGCAAUAACUUGUAAUUUAAACAUGCAAUAAACUAUCUAAUUAGGUGGGUUUUAAAAGAGUACCAUGACAGGACUCUUAUUAUUUAAAGUUUGUGAAUGCACAAGAAGAGAAAACAAAGAGAAAUUAGUACAACAAAUAACACAUAACACAUUAGGGCAAUAAAUGAUACAAAAUAGAAAUAAAGAAAAAGGGGUAGAAUCUCCCCUCGUGUCUAGUGUCCCUAGUUGGGUAAGGUCGACUCUAUCCUAGGUAAUUUCUAAUAUGGAUGCAUGAGGUUGGGUUCACUAAUGCAUCUAGACUCGAUAAGAUUUCAGCCUCCCAAACCUUCAAACCAAAAGGUGAAGGGUCAUCAAUCCCAAGACCUUUAGUCGGUGGUUCGAGUGAUCCCUUAGACAUUGCUACACGCACGUCGUGCCACAGCCACAUGUCCAAGUGGAUAAAUCCUAAUCCUAACUAGAGAGGACGGUGUGACAACCACUAAAAAGAAAUAAGAUGAGAGGUUAUAAAGAAAUAGCGUAUGCACGUAUGAAGUGCGCCUUUAAGGGGAGGGAUUAAAUACCAUCAAAUAUGGGUGAAGCUCUAGGGUGGCUAUUCCCCCUCAAGAUGCAAAGCGCGAUAUAAAUACAUAAAUAUAAGUAAAUGAAAGUAAAUAAACAAAUUAUUCAUCACAUACAUAGAUAUCGAAAGACCAUUGCGUGCGUGAAAUGCAAGAAACCCUAAAAAGAAAAAAUAACCUAAAACAUCCUAAUGUAAUAUGUAAAAAGGUUAGAAAAAGAAAAGGAUCGACAAAAUCAAAUACUCGGACUCUCUAAAAAAAUUUCGAGUGGAGUCGUCAGCUGUCGCGCCCCAUUUUUUGAAAUAAAAAAUUAUGAGUUAUAAAAAAUUUUUCAUUAAUUUUGAUUGAAAAUGAGUUUUUGAUUUUUAGAGAAUAAAUAAAGAAAAAGGGCUUAAAAUGGGACCUAAGAAGUGCGACGGUUUUGCCCCAAAAUAAUAGUCUAAAAAGGGUUUUUAGAAAAAAUAGGAGUCGCCACUUGGUAUUAAAUUAAAGUGUAUUAAGUCACCCAAAAAUAUAUGUUUUAAUGUAAUAAAAAAAAAUAAACAAAACUCCUUUUUAACGACUCUAGGUCUUUGGAAACAAAAGAAAGGGUUCAGGAGUCAUGGUUGAAGAAAAGGAAGGUAAGAAUAAAAUACAAGGCACCCUUUCGACCUAGUUAAGACAGUUGCAAUAUUUAGUCGAAAACUUUUCUAAUCUAACCUAAGACUUAUCACAUUGGGAUGUUUCUACAUGGAUGCACACCUAGACCUAAUGGAUAUUGGGAGGGUUCAAAUAUCUCUUUAAAGAUUAAUUGUGCGAAUAACAUUAAUUGUGAUGCCCAAAAUAAUUCUUAAAAGAGGUCACGAAUAUGCAAAAAUGAGACUCAAAGAGAAAGAAAAAUUAUAAUAUAUAAGUAUGUGUGACCUCAAAUGAGGAAUGCAACAUAAGGUAUGGGGACUAAGAUUCGUGAUUCAAUUUUCCUUUUUAUAGAAGAGAUACGAGCGUGCUAAGGCUAAGAAACCAUACUCGUCCAUUUCCCAUAUUAGAAGGAUGCUCCCUAACCUAAUCAAGCAAAUGCACUACCUAUUUCUAAUUUUUCUUAAAUGGAAUGCAAGUCUAAAAUGUCAUGUUUCACAAUAGGGAUAAGGGAUAUAAAUAUAAAGGAAAUAUCAUGCAAAGUGGUAAAGAUCCUAAAAGUAGAAAAUAUGCAUGAAAUGUAGUGAUUGUCACGCAAUCAUGUGAUUCUAGCGUGUGGACGCCUAAAGGGUCUAACAUUGGACUAGUGAAAAAUCGCAGAAAUAGGCCAUAACUAGCGUUGGACUAGUGUGGUGACACCAUGUAUUUAUUACAACUAAAUAAAUCAUAUAAAACAUAAUUAAAGCAAGUAAAUACAUAAAACACAUAGAGCACAUAACACGUAGGCAUGAUAUCUAGAUGUAAAGAUUCUAAGAAAGCGAGUAAACACAUAAGCACACAAGUAUGCAAGCAUCCAAGCAAAUAAAAGAAAAUAAAAGUCUAACUAUUACAUUUGGGGCUCCAAUUACAAUCUACGGGGGGAAUUUAAAAAUAAUAACCUAACUAUUACAUUUAUUUAACUAAAUACAUUUUUAGAAAAAAUUAAAACCUAUCUAUUAUAUAGGCUAGCUAAAUAUAUAUCAUGAGCAUCUAUCUAUUACAAUUUGACAUUUUAAUGCCUCUCAAAUAAUUACCAAUAAAUAAUAAAAUAAAUGAAACUUAAAAUGAAUAAUAAUGAAAAAAAGAAAAAACACUCAAAACAUGCAAUUGCACAUAAAACACGUUGGAGCACAUAAAAGAAUUUAAAAUAAUAAAAGAAGUUACAUCCCUUUGAAGUUUGGUGAAAUGGGUGAAAUUUGCCCUACUUAUGCUCUAAAAUCAAUAAAAUGGUCAAUGCACUAAUUUAAUUAUAAAGAAAUGAAAAUAAUCAUGAAAUCUACCAAUCAAAUCAUUUAAAUGAAGUAUUAAUUAACAAUUAAAGAAGAAAACUAUCAGGAAUCUAAUUACAAAAAAUUAAGAAAGUUUUUGUGGUUAAAUUAUAAUUAUUACAAAAUAUAUGGGUCACAAUUAAAUAAAAAUAAAGUUUAGGGACCUAUUGAAAUUAAAGUAGAGAUCUAAUUGAAAGAAUUUAAAAGUUUUUAGGGUCAUAUUAUAAUUACACAAAAGUCUAGGGACUAAUUUGCGAUUCGUAACUAGAUUUCUUGAGCAAACAGGCCUCUGGGCCAUUUCUCUUAUUUUUUGAGCCAAAACUUUCCUAGCCCAGCGUAAAGUUCAAGGAAAAUACAAAGGCCAAUCCAUAAUCUUACCCAAAACAAAACCAACAAAAAGGGAUGGGCUUUUACCUCCUAAACCCAAGAUAAAACCCAAAAAUGAACCAGACUUUUCUACCAAAACCCAACCCAAUCAAAUCAUAACCCAAAUCACUAACUAUUUUACCAAAAUCCAAUAAAAUAAAUAAAUCAACUAAAACAAAUUAAGGUUUAAUUAUAUCCCAAAUCACAGAAAUAACAUGUUUAGACAUGCACUUAAAAUAUGAAAAAGAGGAUUACAACUCAAUAGGGACAAGAUUGGUUCAAAUACAGAGACUUUUGGGUCAUAGUGUAAUUAAUUAUAAAGUUAGGGGUCAAAAUAAAAUUUUUAAAAGUUUUGCAUGCAAAGCUUCGAAGAAGUUUCUUCUGCCACGAAGGAAAAGUCUGAAGUAACGAUAGUUAUGGUAAAGAAUCUAUUUUUACCUGAUAUAACAGGUAAAAAUACUUUUAACGACCAUUUGAUUACCUAUUGUACUGGUCAUCUAAAUGAAAUAGUACCUAAAAUUUUGGUUAGUAAGUUUUGCAUAAAAAAUAGUAAGUUAACUCGAUAUAUUAGUAACUUUUAUGUCUCAAAAAGUAAACUUGAAUAAAUAUGGAACUAACUUUUUUUUUUGAAGGAAAAUACUACUCUAUAUCUGAAACUUAGUUUUUGGAGAGUAAUUUUAGUUCAAGUAAUACUAAGUUUUUAUAGAUUAAUAGUAAAUAUUGUUGAUAGAAUAGUAAAAUUUGGUUAAUCAUCAAAACUUAAUAGUUUGUGGCAUAAAUUUACUAUUUUACUUAAAGAAACUUACAAUUGUACGUAUCAUUUAUAAAUGUUAUUUGUUUGAAGCAUUUUAAAUAUACCAUGAAAACUUUUUUUUUUUGCAUAUGACCUUAUGAAAUAUGUAAGAAUAAUUUGUCAUAUUUUAAAAUUUUAAUUAUGGGAAAAUAAACAACUAAGUUCCCAAAAUAUUUCACUUUUAUUGUUUAAAAAAUCUCAACUUGUUGGUUAAAUUUAAAAUAAUUCUAUUGUCAAAAUAGUUUUUCUCAAAUUAACUUUCAUGAUUAGAUGUGAGAUACAAAUAUGGUAAAAUAUCCCUCAUACAUAUGUAAUGGAUAUUUCAGAAUUUUAGUAAAAAAAAAAAUUGUUGUUAAAAUAACAUAUAUCAUAGUGUACUAAUUAUUUUAGGACCAUUUUAUAGGUGAACUAAAUUUAAUUUAAAUUAUACAAUAGAUUAUACAUGCAUGUGAUUUUCAUUUAUAAUUAUUGGAUCCUAUUCUUAUGAACAAUCUCCCAAGGGAAAAAAUCCAGAUCAUACUGAUUUUCUUAUAUUAAUUGUUAUACUAAUUUUGUCAUUUUUAUUAUUAUAUUAUUUCUCAUUUUUUUUAGGCUUUUACUCUUAUUAUUUCUUGUGUCUCAGAUGUAAAUUUAUUAAAACUUUAUCAUCUUAUUAUAUUCAUGGGUGUUAAAUUAUAAAAUUUUGAUAUAUAAACAAGUAAUAUUCUAUAUAUAACUAGGAAGAUUUGUUGUUAUUGUUAUUCGAACUUUCAAACUUUUCAAAAAUUGAAAAUGAUUAAAAGCUUAUAAUACAACAAAAUUUUAUUACAUAUUUCACAAGAUUAUGUGAAAAGUCAAACUAUUUUUCAUAGUAUUUUAAAAUAUAUAAAUAAUUUUUUUAAAUUAUACCUAUACUCAUGUAUUAUACAGGUAUAUUAUGAGUACUUACUACUAACUAAGGUACUAAGAAUUAAUCAUUAAUAAAACAUUUAUCGUUAUUUCAAAUAAAUUUCCUAAUACUAUUUUGAAAUAUGUUUUAAAAUAAAUAGCACAUGUGUCCCAUAAAUCAGUAAGUUUUGAUUAUUAAUCAAUUUACCAUGUUAUUAGUAAGAGUUACUAUUUAUGUAUAAAAACUUACUAUUACUUGAAUUAAACUUACUUUCUAAAAAGUAAGUUUGGGAUAUAAAGUAGUAAUUUAUUUAUUUAAAAAGUAAGUUUAAUAUUUAUUCCAACUUACCUUUUUGAAGUAUAAAAGUUACUAAUUUAUUACGGUUAACUUAUUAGUUUAGAUAGAAAACUUACUUUCUUAUUUUUAAGUGUUAUCCUAUUUAGGUGGAUAGAUCUAGCAAAUAAUCAAAUAAUCGCUAAAAGCAAAUAAAAAAUAAAUCAAAAAUGGUCAUCCAAGUGUUAUCCUAUUUAUGUCUUAAAAAGUAAAUUGAAAUAAAAAUGAAAGUUACUUUUUAAAAAAAAUUAAAUGACUACUCUAUAUUCGAAACUUACUUUUUGGAGAGUAAGUUUUAGUUCAAGUAAUAGUAAGUUUUGACGGAUUAAUAGUAAAUCCUGUUGAUAAAAUAGUAAAUUUGGUUAGAUCAUCAAGAACUUACUAGUUUGUGGCAUAAAUUUACUAUUUUACUUAAAGAAACUUAUAUGAAACAAGUAUUAGGAAGUUUAUUUAAAAUAAUGCUAAGAUUUUUUUAUUAAUGAUUGAAACUUAAUAUUAUAGUUAGUAAUUGUUGGUAACGUAAAUGUAUAAUAUAUGAUUGUAUGUAUCAUUCAUCAAUGUUAUGUGUUUUAAGCAUUUUAAUAAAUGUAUGUAUCAUUUACAAAGGUUAUGUGUUCUAAUAAAUUUAUUUUCUAGGUCACAAGUAUAAAAGUUAAAUUUGUGGCAUAAUCUUUGAAAACUAUAGUAAAUUUACCACAUAUUAAGUUUCGUGAGAUUCAAAUAUAUUUUGUAUCAUUUACAAUAUGGAUUUAUAUGCACUUUUUUUUUAUCAAACUUACUUUUAAUUGGCAAAUAGUAUGUAAAUUAUUAUAAAAUGUCAUUUUAUAAUAAUCAUAAUUUUUAUAGGUGAAUGUAUAUAAACUGCUAAAAUUGCCAAUUUAUAAAUGAUCAAAUGUUACUACUUUAUGGCAUAUAUUAGUUUGGUCAACUAAAAAAUUAUCGUAAUUAAGUGUACGUUGGUUGUUGAUUUGAAAUUUGCACCCCUGUCACUAUUUCGUUAUUUCUACACAAGUUUUUCUAAUCAAAGUAAAACAAAGUCAAAUAUCUUUUCCUUUUGUAUGCAGUAUUUAUAUUUAGUAAAAAUUAAUAAACCAUGAUUACAUUUCAUAAUUUCUAAUGAAAUUAGUAACAUUUUCUAAAUAAAUUGGAAUAAUUUGUAAAAUAUGUUAUUUUUUUACCAAUAUAAUUAGGGGUGACAAUCGGGUCCAAAUCGGAGUGGCGGGUCGGGUUGAGACUGGCUGACCCGAACUUGACCGCCAACCCGAAAUGGGUCAGGAUAUCUGACCCGAAUUGAAAAUUCAGGUUGUCGGUUGGCGGGACGACCCGAAUGACCCAAAACUUAAUUUUAAUUUAUUAAUUUACCACUAUAAUUUUAAUUCACACAAGACUAAUUACAUAAUCAAGUAAUAAAAAUUUAAAUAAAUAAUCCCAAACCAAAUCUAAAAUAAAUUAAAAACACCGUAAAAGUGUUUUAUUCCAAACCAACUUCAAGUGCAUUCCUAUGGAAUUGGUCAACAGCAUUUCGUAGAUCUUUUUCUGUGUAUCCCAUCUUGUUGUGGCCCCCAGCUUGGUAAGCUUGAAGGUCCACUAUUUGAGGAAUUCGAAUACCAACUCCAUGCAUCAAAAUAGCAUGCUCCAGGUCUGUUGGGUUGACACUCCUAUGUGAUCGAAGAAAUUGUACAAAUUCUUGAUUUGUCAAUUGGUGAUUGUGAUCCAUAUUAAACCGCUUAAUCGUAGACUUCUGAAUAUUCUUGUUCCAUUGCACAAUUAUAGUUGCCAGACAACCAACUCUCGUAAGACGUUUUGCCUCUUUCUUACGGCUAACUAAAUUUAACCAUUUGCUAUUUCCUAGCCAUGAGAUCCCGCCCCAACCACCAAAAAAAAAUAUCUUUAGACAGCAGGGCAGGGAUUCACGAAGACUCUAUAUAUUAAUGAAAUUCAUAAAUACUUCUAAUUUAGGCAAGAGAUUAUGCAUUCUAAUUGAUGCGUACAUGCUAAUGUAAUUGAACCAAACAUGCAGCUCCAGGACGGUGCUUUCUUGCUCAGGAUUCAUUCAUUUGGAGUAUUUUAGCUAGUAAUGACAAGUUUACAAUAAAUGAGUUUGAUUGAACUUGCUACCUAUCCCAUUGGCGUAAACCCCCAAAUUUUUGACUUGAAUACACAAAGUCGUAUUUUUUGGCCAAAAAAAAAAGAGAAUACACAUAAUCGUAUUUACGAAUACUUCAACCACUAUGCUUGUCUUAUUAUGGAGCUUGGAGUCAUCUUAAUUCUCCAUAUCUUAUGAUUGAGAGUGGCGCAAGACUCCUUCCUAGCAGGUAAGCAGUGGUAAUUAAUAUGUAUGGAUGAAACUUGGACCGAUUCCCACAGACUUCCAAGCCAAGUAACCCAAAUCAUUAAUAUGACCUUCAAACCACAUAUAUACAUACACUUUCUCUGUUUAAUUGAAGGACAAUGUUAGAGGGCCCAAUUACCCAAAAUGAGAAUAAGUUUCCCUGUUCCAAAAAUGUCCCUGGGUUAAGCUCUAUUACUUGGACUCUUUUUCUAUCAAAUUGGCACCUGUUAUCAUAUUUUCGUUCUAAUCCCUGAAAUAAAUGUGAAAUAUAAAAAAUGAGUAGAAUCUAGCAACUAAUCCACAUCAGGUCAGAUAAUAGGGGAAAUUAAUAAUAAAAUAAAUGAUAAAAUUACAACCUAUCAAUUCCCCCCACACCUAAACCAUGCUUGUCCUCAAGCAUGAGAAAAGCGAUCAAACACCAAUAUUUGAUAGUGGCUAUUGCUCUAUCCAACAAAUUGCCAAGAUACCAAGAAAAAAUAAUAAUCAAGCAUCAAUGGUCAAGUCCAAGAAACAUCACUCCGGUUAGCUUCUAAACCACAAACUCCUCUAAUUUCAUGUUAACUAAUCUAAGAAAAAGGAGUAACGCAUAACAUUUAUCAGCAAAUGGUCCAACUAUUAACCAAAAUCUCAACAUUAAGUCCAUAAUUCGGCAAGCUGACUUUUAUUACACACUAACACAACCUUCACUUUUUUCACAUUUUUUUUUUUUACUUUUUUCUCUUUUUUUUUUAUUCUUUUUUUUUUCAAUAGUAACAAAAGACUUAGUCGCUAGCCAUUUGAGCCUUUUGACGCGAACUCCAACAUUGGCCAGAUGAAGGAGCCCGAUUACUCAGCUUCCAUCGCCACGUGACCACGAACUCAUAGCAAUUACUACUUUUUGACGCGAGAAUCGACACUUUUGGUGAAGAUCCCCGGUUACUCGGUAGUAAAUACUAGCGGAGUACAGUCAACUCUUAUUCACAGCCAAAUAAUACCAAAAAUUCAAAAUAACACAAAAGAAAAUUUGCAUCAGCUAGCCUCAUUUUCAAAUAUGGAGAACUAAAGUUAAUAAUCGGACCAAUUCACAUGAAAAUGCCAACAGUCAUUCCCUACGCCUAGGAAAGUUAACCAAAAAUUAUAAGGGUAAAACAAUCAUCGAUAUUCACCAAAGAGAUGUUCUUGGAUUCAACCACAUUAACUUGACACCCUUUUAUUAUUAAAACUUGGCAAAAGUAGAAAUAGAGGCAAUAAUCCAACAUCAAACCUUGGCAUGCAUUUACGAGCCAAUCACUAAAAAGAAGAAAAAGAAAAUGAACGAAAGACACUAGCACCCUAACUGCUCCCCCCACACCUAAAUCCUACAUUGUCCUCAAUGGAGGUAAUAAAGUAAUGAAAGCGAAGAGAACAAUGGAACUUCCCUGUUGAACAGCUAAGGGAUAGGAGGGAACAGUGGAGGGAAGCCGAGUUCUGAGACAUCCUUACCACCUGGCGGGUGAUGUUCGUCACUCUCUCAACUACGUGAUGAAUCUGAGCCCGCAAGUGGUGCGACUUAACAUCAGAGGCCAUCGGUGGGGGAGGCGCAGAAGAAGAGGGCUCGGGUCUUACCAUUUUCUCCAAAUGUCAUUUCAAUCAACAAGAGACAAGAAUUGCCCACAGACAAUGUAAACAGCAAAUUCAAAGCAAUAACAAUUUAAUAGCCACCGGUGCCUCCCAAAUAUCAAUAGGGAGCGACACAACUUGCCCACCCAAAAUCUCUCUAAAUAUCUCCAAUUGCACAAGAACAACCCAGUCACACAUGCCCAGCAGUCAAUCAAGUAUCCAACCAAGUAGAACUGACACAUGCAAGGGGAAAUAUUCCAACCAGUAUCAUUAGUGCAAAACAUAGUCCAAAAUCAAUGAAAUUGCUAUAGUAGAGUAGAGCAGUAGUAAAGCAAUAGCCCCAAGUAUUAAUCUAGUCACAAGAAAGAUUCUAAACCUCUAAAGAAGAGCAAUAGACGACUAGAAUUCCAAUGAAUAGAGCAAGUAGAGGAACCGUAGGUGGGAACCCAGUCCACCGAAGUCAAUAAACAAACCCAGGAAACAAAUAAGUCCGCAAAUGAGUCAACAAAUUGCACAAAUGAUCAGACCAAAAUCACAGACACUGUUCCUCCAAAUCAGCAAUAUAAACCAACAUCCAAAAUGUCCUCAAAAACUCGAUUAAAAACUACUAAUGCCAACAAGGAAUGCAGUUGCCGAAUUAAAUCAACCAAAAUUUCAACAAGCACAACACUGGCCGAGAUUCUUCCCAAAAUAUCACAGACAAUUGUUAAAAUUCCAGCCCACCCAAGAACUUCAACAAUUGCACCCAAAAGCUCAACAAUUGCCCCCAGCAGUCAACAAGUCAACAAGUCAAGCAACAGUAGUGCAGUGAUUCGGCAAUAACGACUCAAUAUAUACCCUCAACUGGCAAUCAGGCAUCUACCCACAAAAGCAAGUGAAAUUAUCUCAACGACCUAAUGGUUCAAAACACAGAAUUCACUUCCACCCAACGAAAUAGUUGAAGUCACUAAGAUGAACACGUUAGUUAACCGUCACAGAAAAUUCUAACAAGCAAACCAGCUCCUAACAGGGCAAAUUAAGCAGCACAAGCUCCUGAUUCAAUAGGCAAUAUCAGAAAUAACUCAACCAGAAUCCCAAAAGAAACCUCAACGAACUUAGUAGUUGAAAGCAAUGGUCAGAAUAUUUCUCAGCAAUUCAAUUAGAUGCACCCAACUGGAGGAAGCAAUGUAAAUAGCAUAGAAACUUCCCAAUUUAACAAACAAGUGCAAUAUUUCAGCUUACCCAAAAUUUCAACAAAUGGCUCCAGUUGGCCAGUCAAAAUCUUAAUUCAAAGUCAGCAAUUUCAAUGAAAACGACUUAGAUAUUGGACACCACAAACGCAGCCAACCAGAUAGAGGUACCAAAUUAAGGUCCAGUUACCCCACCAGUACCACAGGUAUAGCAAAAUAGCACAAUAAUACGACAGAAAAUAGCACAAUUGCUAGCACUGGUGCACCGCACAGUUAAGGCAGAAAACCCAAUUGCCACUCCAAUCUACUGACAAACCCCCAAGUGAAUCCAAUACAUACCAAAAAUUGGGGAUUUAGUAGCAAAUACCUCUCCCAGUGGCCGAAUGAAGAAACUGGGGCGGUAGUGGCUAAGAAAAAGAGGCGCUGUGUAGGACGCGAGGGAAAGGCGGCGUCCGUGGGCUGGAGCUACGAGGGAGCGCGACUACGCAUGGGCACGGGCGGCAGCGCGCGACUACAGCAGCGACGGCGUCGGCUUGGGCAAAGCGCGCGACAGUGAAGGAGAGCUGGUGAAGCGUGCGGUCGGAGCUGGGUGGCAUGCGGAGGGAUCGCGACUGGAAGAAGAGCUGCGGGGUGGCCUGCGCGUGGUUGGUGAGCGGCGGCGGCGCACGAGCUGGUCGUCGCUGGCGGAGGCGCGAGAUGGGUGCUGCCUCUGGUCUGCUGGCGGUAGCUCGCGGUGGAGGAGUUGAGCAGCGGCGGCGGCAACGCUCCUCGUGCCCGCGAUGGAUCGAUGGCGAAGAGGAAGCUGGUGAGGGGAGAGCCGCGGCUGGGGUGGGUUGAGGGAGGAGGCGGUGGAGAAGAAAGAAGAAGAAGAAGAAAGAAAGAAAAGAAAGAAUAGGGAAGAAAGAAAAAGAAAAAGAAAAAGAAAAUAGUAUUUGUGUGUUUUUUUUUCUUUUCCAUUUUUUUUCUCUUUUUAGAAAAAUUUUUUUUUUUACAGGAAGACUCUCCCCCCCCUUUUUUUUAAAUUACUAAAAAAAAAUUUUUUUUUUAAAAUUUUUUAUAUAUAUAUAACUUUUUUUUGAUUGACAAAAUUUAUUUUUGAAAUUCAAAAGUAGAGAUUAACAGAAAAUCAAUAAUCGUUCUUGAGCUUUUUGAAUACUUACCUUUCCCGUGAACAUGACGCGGGCACGUCAUGAAGGCACAGAAUCUGGAGCUCUCCAUAUGACAUGACGCGGGCAUGUCAUGAGGGCAGGAACCCCUUCUGACGAUUCUGACCGUGAGCUCUCCAUAUGACAUGACGCGGGCGCGUCAUGACAGAAAGACACCUACAAAUUAUCAAAAACGAAAAUUGAAACCCGAAAUCAGUCAAAUUCAAGGAAAAUAUAUUUAAACUAUCACACGAAAUCAAAACAAACAAUUAAAAGGAAUAAUUGGGUUGCCUCCCAAUGAGCGCCUUUCUUUAAUGCCUUUGGCUAGACAUUAUCAUGUUUUGCUCAUGGAGGAUAAAAUCUUGUAACUCGCUUCAAUGCUUUAUCUUCAAUGUGAUCCUGGUAACCCUCAUAGAUGGAGUAAUUUUUGAACACACGAGCUACGGUCUUCCAUGGACUAGUUGAUGGCGCCAAAUAAUCAAGCAGUGAUCUCAAUUCUUCAUCCACUCCUUCAUCAAGAGCACUCAACGGUUCAAGAUAUUUGACCAUAGCUACUCUUAACUUAUUUCUGCCAUGAGACUCAAAAACUUCCGGUAUAACAAAGUCAAUCUCAUUAACAGAAAUCAUGGAGUAAGAGUUUAGAAAAUGCGAGUUGGGGAAUGGAGGUGGUAUCACCACAUUUGAUGAUUCUUCACUGGAUUCUUUCACUUGAAUGGGUUGCGGUUGGGGUUCCAUUUCUUCCUUUUCGGCUUCUUUUUCAACUGCAUCUGUAGAUUUCUCAUUUUGACACUCUUGCGUCUCCUCAUCACUAGUCAAGCAAAUUGCACUCUCAUUUUCUUCUAGAUCAACAAUGGUUUUCGAGGGCAAUUCUUCCAUUUGAGAAACCCAUCGAUUUAUUCUGGAUGUCAAUAGACAUAGUUGAUCUGCCAGAUAACUCAUUGCAUCCUUCAUCAUCUCAUUCCUCAUUUGUGUCUCCUGUUGGAAUUGGUAUGUAUUAGUAGCUAUUGGUUCAACUAUUUUUUCAAGAGACAUACCUGACAUAGAUGACGAUUCUUGAGACUCAUACUGCUGAAAAUUCAUUGGCCCCGUUGUAUAAUUAUAAUUGGAGUUAUCCCACCAUCUUUGAUCAUACCCGUUUGGAUUAGGGUUAUACCACGUUUGAGACCAGGGUGAAAAAUCUCCGUAAUUAUUGAAUGGGACACUCAGAUUAUCUUGAUAUUCGGGGUACAUACCGGUUGAAUGAUCCCUGGCAUAACAAAUUUUACAUGUUGCAGCAGCCAUUCUUUCUCUAAUAGAGUUUAGUGCCUCUGAAUAUGCAGACUUAGCAAAAAAACUAGUCUCAUCGCCUUCCCCGGAAGCAAAAUCCUUUAUAUCACCAAAAUACGGAGUGUUAGAAGCCAUAAGCUAUAUAAAAAAAAAAGAAAAAUAAAUUAAAAAUAAAAAUAAGGUGAACUCAAAAAGAAACAAAUUAAUCUGACACCAGUCCUCGGCAACGGCGCCAAAAAUUGACAGGUUGUCGAAGCCUGUGCAGUAAUAAAAAUCUACUCAAACUAAAAAUAAUUUCUGUAGAUAGCGGUGAGCAGGGUCGAAUCCACAGGGACUGGGAGUAAUUAUUUCUUUUCAAGUUCACAGUGACAAGGGGGUGUUUUUGUGCAGAGAGUGACAAUCAAAUAAAUGCAAAUAAAAUCCAAGGAACUACUAAAAAUUAAAUAAUAAUUUACUAAACACAAAUGAAUGAUAACUAAAGUUAUAGCCAAGAAAUAACUUCAGCAAUGGUUCACCUAAUUGAUCAUCGAAACAAAGGCAAUUCCAAUUAUUUACCAAUAAAUAGGUUAUAACUACCAAACAAGCGAUGGCAGUCAACCCCUCCUUACUGUGUCGGUGAUUAAGGUACGCCCGUUAAUCACUGCUCUAAUUGAGAAAUAAUCCUAGGUACGCCCAUAAGAUUUAAUUUCCUAAUUGCCUUACAUAUUAGAGGAGCCCUAUUCUAACCAAAUAACGCACUACUAGAGUUAUUUUAGAUUAGCCCACGUAUUCCCCUGACACAAACCCAAUCAUGCCAGUUAUCACUAUUUUGAGACAAUUAAACAAUUACGGAUUUAACGUCCCAAUUGACAAUAGAUUAUCAAAUUAACUAAUUAUCCGGAUCCAAAACAAUCAAUUAAUUAAACAAUCAUAAGCACUGCAACCAAGGAAUAUGCGAAUACUAAUAAAUAGAGAAAAAGAUAAAAUUAAAUCGAUCUCACAAUUUUUUACGUGAAUCAAAGCAUCCGUUGUCCCUUGACUAGGGUGAGGAAAUUAGUUUAUAGUUGAUGAACAAAAUCCACAAGAAAUUGAAGCAAAAGCUGCGGCCAUCAAUUCGGAAGUUGGGUGAAUUCAAUUCGUCUAUUCAAUGAAGAAAGAAAGCUACAAAAGGUAAUUCAUAGUUUUCCUUCGGUCUGGACAUCCGCAGGAAGCAAACCACUAAAAGACGAAAAAGGAAAAGUCAAAAAGAAAACAAGCCUAAGCUACUGAACGGAAAGUUCCCUUUCAAUUUCUAUCUAAAUCCUAUUCUAAUGCUCUCCUUGCGCGGCGGCCCCCUUGUGGAGAGGACGAAGCCUCUGGAGGAAGAAGAAGCAGAGGACCCCUGCGGCGCUCCAGCCCUCCAGUAAAAUAGAAGCCUCUGCCCUGCUCUCUUCUUUUGAAAUUACCAAAAUGGGCAAAAGUCUUCCUUUGCCAAUAAUACCCCUGGGAUAAGCUCUGUUAUUUGAGCUCUUUUCUUGUUAAAUUGUCACUUGUUAUCAUAUUUUCGUUCUACUCCCUGAAAUAAAUGCAAAAUAUCAAAAGUGAGUAGAAUCUAGCAAUUAAUCCACAAUAGGUCAGAUAAUAGGAAAAAUUAAUAAUAAAAUAAAUGAUAAAAUUAUAACCUAUCACAAUGCAAUGGGCAUUGAUGGAGCAGCCAAGACUUCCCAAAAAGGAGAUGAAGCUAGAGGUUACGGAAGCAAGCUUGUUAAAGGAGCAUGAUGGUUUUUCACGAGUUGCACAUGUUCUCAAGUUAGCAGAAGAGCAGGAUAAGAGAAGUCUUUUACAGAUCAUUUUCGAUUAUGUAUGUAAAAGAAUGUUAGCAAAACUAUAAAAAUGUAGAAUGAUGAAUGGAUCGUCCUGUCUAGGUGAGAUUUAUUGAUGAUACGAUAUUUGUAUAUAUACUUGUCCAAUGUUCAGCAUACAAUUUCCAGAGUUUCAAUUCUGUGUGAGCAAAUUAUUUACUAGGAACCAAAGAGAAAGGUCCCUCAAGCACUACUGGUGAUAGAAAUUUACUGAUACGAGGCUCAUAAUGCUCAACAUAGUUCAACAUUUAAACAGAGGAUGACAGAAAACAUGUAAGAAUCUUUAUAUUCCAGAAACAUACUCACUGCUAUGCUGUUAUGAGGAAAUUUCACAGGAAAUGGUAUUGCAGUUAAGGUAAAGAUUUUCCAGAGUGUACUCUGCAAUAAGGGAGAACUCUUAAGCCUACCAAAUAAGGGAGAACUCUAAGAAUUGUUGACUAAAGUACCAGCAGGUUUCUAAAGUUUUAAGAACUGUUACGUCCCAUGUUAAGUUUUUGGACCAAUGUUGAUAACUUUAGUUUCUGUUGAUUUGAUUUAAGUAGUUGAGGUUCUAUUAUUGUUGAGAAACUUGUAAGUUUUAAUUUUGAGUGAAUUUUAUAAGUCACAAUAAAGAUGUAUUGUAUUGGUGGAAGUAAGGACUCUCAUGCUUGACUCCAAACUUAUCGAUUACGGGUUUGGGCGUGACAUUAUACUAGCUAUCUCGGAUACAUGACGUAUAUGUAAAACUUAGAAUUCAAAUUAAAAGUAAGAUUAGUCGUCAUUAUCUAUAGUAUACACAGUUAUCUCUCGUUUGGUACGCAAGAAUCGCCUAGAAUAGAAAGGUCUUUCCAACUUAUUCAUUCCAUUUUCCUGUCAAGUAUAGAUCUUUUGAGUUGGAAUUCCUGGAAAACUCAUCCCAACUUUUUCAUAAAAAUUUCAUUCGUCAUAAAAUUCUAAGAAAAGCUCUUUCCUCCUUUAUCCUAGAACGUCCAAAAUUAUUGUAGUCAAAUUUAUCCUCAUAGAUCUCUUUGUUUUAUUAACAAUUAGUAGGCUUUUUGUUAGUUUAAUUAAUAAUUGACCAUAAUUACAAACUAUUCCAGUUAUUUUUAAAAUAUUUUUUCUUUGCUAAUUUUAAGAUAUUAUUCUUUAAACUUCUAUGCAAAUAUGUAAGGAUUCCUUUUUGGCACUUGACAUAAAUGGUAAAAACUAAUAAAUAGAGAAUAUGAAUGUUUAACUUCACGUAAUUUAAUUUUUUGUAAGCUAGUGAUUACAUUGUUAUUUAAAAUCCAAAAAUGAUAUAAUAUUAUAAUCAAAUGAUUUCAAUAAGUACAUAUGCCAUUCAUAAUGUACAAAAAAAAAAAAAAAAAAAAAAGAGUCAAUGUUCCUCAUAUAAAGUAGGGAAAAUCGUUCAAAAUGUCUCUCACAUUUUGCAAAAUAAAAGAUUUCUGGGUAAUUAAGUCAAUUUUAUACAUAUUUAUUCCAUUUUGACAUCUAAAAAUUGAUUGUACCAGAUACUGGAAAUGGGAUGAACAUUUGAUUCUAACAUGCAUACCAGACAUUAGAAUGAAAUUUUUUUUUUCCCAUAUCGUUCUAACUAGAAAAGCAUUUUGAGUGGAAAGACUUUUCCAUUCUGGGCAUUCCGUAAUCCGUAUACCAAACAAGGGUAAGAAAAGAUUGAUCCAUUAAAAAUCAAUCAUGCGGUAAGGAGAUUAGAUAAUGAUAGAUUUGAAAAAAUUAAUGGCUACGACUGGUAUGUAAUUGUGAAAAUCACAACAUCUACCAAAUCCUUAUAUUCCAGUUCACAAUUUUACAAUGUCAGUUUCUUGAUGGGUAAUAACUAAAUCCUAUCUUUAUACUUUUUAGUGUUAAAGCUACAUGCAGCAAAUUAAAGCUCAACUUUGCAUUUUUUUUUCUUUUUUCUUUUGCUACACUAAUUUUGACAUUCAGUACUUAUUUGAGACACACAUGUAGAGUGUGCGUUAAGCAUUAGCAAGAAUAAGAUUUGUAUAAAUAUAUCAGUCAUUUUUUGAGAUUCGGUAAAUCUAAUUUCUUGAAUCCACAAUUUCUCCGUUUAUCAUUGUAAGAGCUAAACUUUUCUUUGGACUUAAACCAAUUUUUAAUAAGAUUUGAUUGUUGGAAAACAUGUACAAAUCUAUUGGACUAUAAUGAUUCAUAUAAGCGAAAGAUAUGUUAAAACAUGAAUAUUAUCUUUGUUUUGUAUGGAUUUUUCAGAUCUGUUAAUUUCAAAUCUGUGUAUACUUGUAUCAUCUUUGAUUUGAUAUAUUCUCUGCCAUUACUAUGUUUGCAUUCUCACGCCAUAUGCCCUUAUCUUCAGAUAAUAUACAUACAUCAUUUGAUUCAAAACCCCACGCAAUUCAUUAUUUUACCCAAACAUAAAAACAUAAUCAAUUUGCAUUAGAGGUGUGAUUAUUACGCAGUAGUUCGACUUUAUUGGUCUAAUUCAUUGAUGCAUCUUCCAUGAUCUUCACAAUUUCACGCAAAGCAUUAUAAGAUAAAUUUGGCUAAUAAUAAUGGACAUGCUUAGUAACACCUGACUAAUUAUUUGUAUCAAAAUACCGAACUUGCUUUCAAUUAUAGAAUAAAUAUACUUUCCGAUUCAUUAAUGUACGCGUUAGAAUCUAAUCGAAUCAAAUCUAAUAAAUUCAUCGCUCAAUCGAUUAAUUUUGAUCUUAAUGGAUCCAAAAAAUGGAACUCCCAACGGAUUCAGACAAAACUAUGUUUGGAUUAAAUAGGUCGAAAUUGGUUCUCGAAAAUGAAAUGUACUUUUUCCAUCUUAAUUGGGAUUUUUAGCUGGCAUAAUAGUGUGUGAAGUCAACAUCAAGAUAAAGUUAACUAUGUGCUUAACCACCAUUUUGGUUAAACGAUAUGAACCAAGGAGUUGAUUAGUCAACAUGCAAAAAUAAUUGGAUCUAAUCCUACUUAAUUAUCAUUCAACUUUAAGGAGAAGAUUGGUAUCUACUCAAGCAAAUAUAUAUAUUUCUUUAGCUCCAUCGGUAAUGCUUGUGUUUCUUUAGACUUGAGGGAAUCAUUACAGAUGCAAUAUUCAAGCAGAAGGUAGACAUUAGUACUACAUACUGAUCAAGCUGAAGCCAAAGGCCAGUCUCUUUUUGAUGGUUUGUUAAGCAGCAGAUUCCUAUUGUGAUGAGAUUCAUAGGAGCGGUAACAAAGCAGAAAAUAGAAAAGGUUGAUGAAACUCAAGAUGGCAAGCAGCCAGUAGUGGUAGUCAAGGUGACCUUCAUUCAGGUUGUUGGCCAACCAGCUUGCUUUACCACCGCAACCAGUAAUGCUAUUGACAAUAUUCACCAGAAGACUCCCAAACAGGUUAGCCAGAGCCGAUCCAAAUGUAUAAAUUGCUGCUCCAAUACUGGACAUGCUCUUAGGGAACUCCAUGUAAAAGAAUUGCAACUGUCCAAUUGCAUUCAGAGCUUCGGCCAAUCCGAGAAAUACAAUCUGUGGCAGUAGCAGCAUUGCAGACAUGUCCACGACGGCAUCUGGCUCGCCCUGAACCCCUCAUCAACUGCUUUUUUCAGCCUUAUGCUCUCCACAAUAGCUGCUAAUACCAUGGAUAUACAUGACAUUAUCAAUCCCAUCCCCAUCCGUACUAUAGGACUUAGUCCUUGUGGAUUACGAGUAUAUCUUGCCAAGAAGGGUGCUAGUAGACGAUCGUAAAAUGCAAUCCAAAUUGCCAUGGUAAUCACCAUGAACAAAGUAAAGGAUCCAGCUGGAACUUCAAAAUUCAAUAUGUGCCUAUCCAUUGAACUCAGUUGAAGUGUUAGAAAAGAAGUCUGAUCAAUGAUAACUAAGAAUAUUAGGCCUGUGGACCACAUGGGAACAACUCCAAGGAGAACUUUAAGUGAUUCAACUUGUUCCACACUGCAGAGGGUCCAUUGAUCUAAAGCUGUUCCAUCCGAAGUUAAUUCUGUGUCUGGAUCUUGAAUAAUACAAGCCUUAUUUAGACACCUGUAUAUAUAGAUAUAAACUAUCAACUAAAAUAACUAACGUUCCUGCUUGAAAUGGUUUCAAAGUGAUUUUCUUGUAAACUUAUACUGAUCAUGCAGAAAGUGUUUCUCCUAUCUUGCCCUGAGUGGAGCAAAAUGGAGACAGCACCUCCUAAUUUUGAUUACUACUUUUUUAGUGAAGAUUAAGAUUUUUUUUAAGAUUUUCUUUUAAUAUUUUAAUAACUACAAAAUUUUCUCUAGAAAAGUCAUUAGUUGGCAGUGGCAGAAGAUGCAAAAAUCAGCAUAACCAAAAGUUGCCAGAGUUUAAGGAACUUAUGUGAUGGCAAUUGAUACUGUGGCAGCUAUACCUGAACUGCUCAGUGGGUGCUAGAAGCUCUGGCUUCCUGGUCUUAUGGUAGCACUUGUAAUUGUCUUUCGAAGGGCAAUCAAUUUUUCUCUUUCUGAAUGCUGCCACGAGAACUGGGAAAAAUCCGAUUAACAAGCUUUCACUAGGUUUUGAUUUGAUGUAAAGAGAGGAGCCAACUAAGAACAUCAGAGCAGAGAUAACAUUAAGAUGGCAGGGAUUCCAAAUCCAACUGACCACCCCAAACGAUCCUGGAUAUAAACAAUUACAGUCAUGGCAACAACAGUUGAGAUUGUGGCAGAAGCAUAAUACCAGUUGAAAUAACUUUGUAUAACCCUCUCAUUGUUGGGAUUCUUUUUGUUGUCGAAUUGGCCUGCACCAAAAGCAAUAGAACAAGGCCUAAUACAACCAGCUCCUACAGAAAUUAGCAAAAAUGAAGACAAUAAGGAAACAAUUCGAACUCCAUUUGGUGCACUGCAAUUGUGCAACUGGUCACAAGGUAAAGGCUUCAACGGUGGAACCAUAGAAGUCAGCCACAGAAUAACCAUUCCCUGCAGAAACAGACCAUAUUUUGAUUCCGAACAACCCAAAUGGGGGACUAAGAAUUAGAUCCAUAAGUCUUAUUCUAGUUACCCAAUUUUUAUCAUAUAUAAGUGGCAGGAAAAAAGAAAAAUGUCCAACCGCGCAGAGCAAUACUAGAUAUGACAGAAGCUCAGAUCAUCAUGGCGUGUUUGUUCUUUAUUACAUAAACGUCCAAUAGCAACCAUUCCUAUCAUACUUCUAUUGGUAAAUGUUCGCCAUGAAUGGGCAUUUUACAGUCCCAAGUCUUAAGAAGAGCGUUUUCUACAUUUUCAUUCAUCAAAUGGUUUAUCAAGACCUGUUUCAUAAUCUGUUCAAGAUCAAUAAAAAUUUUCCACAGCUCUAAACUUUCUUGUUGCUGGACUUUAUAGUCAAUAAUUAAAGGCACCUGAUGCAUGAUAAGUAGAUUCUGAUGCAUAAUAGUUAGAUUCAAUUGUCCCUGGAAUUGUCCCCCUUUCCGCUAUACUUAGAUAAGCUACAACAAAUUUAACAUUUCUGAUCAUUCAAAUUAAGUACUAUAUUUGUUACUGAUCAUUCAAAUUAAGUAUUAUAUUUGUUAGUCAUAAAUUUUCUAAUCCUCUGGUAAACCAUAAAGAAGAUUAUCUCAAGAAACAGAAACAGAAUGACUUUAAACUGUAAUUGCAUACAAAACUUGCAAAUAUUGGUCCAAAACUUAGUACAGAUGAGCAAUUCCAGAAUUUUAUGUGGGGAAAAGAAACAAAAAGCAAUAUGUUAAAUUACACAAUAAGUAAAAGAGACUCACAAGAAGGCUGGACAUGGAUCCAAGAGCAAUGACCCGGAACCCACCAAAAUAAGAAUCAGCCAAGAAAGCACCAAAAAGGGCCAAACCAUCGGAUAGAGCAGCCCAGAUAAAGAGUAUAGUGGAUGCUGUGGCAGUUUCAAAAUGGUAAACUUUUGUUAAGUAGAGUAUCAUGUUUGGCAUUAGCCCCUGACUUGCCAACCUCUCAAAUGCUACAUUCACUGACCAAGAGGAAGAGAGAUAGAGAGAGUGAGAGAGAGAGAUCAAAACUUUUGUCCAAUAUGACAGAAUGCAGAGCCAUACAACAUUUCCAUGCAUACCUAGGAUGAAAGGCAUGGUCUUGAGACCACCCUUCGUUCUUCUUGGUUCUGGUGAACGAUCAGCAAACUCUCUUCUUCUGGAUUAUUGUCCAUCUUCACUUCUUCCAUCAACAGCUUUACUGGAUUUUAGAUUUAAUUUUAUGUUAGUUGAAAUGAAAGUCUUCAAUCAAACAAGAUACUUCAUCAAGGAGGAGUUUUAGUUUGUCUCUAUGUUUUUAUUGUCUUAGAAUUCAAAUAUAUAUACUCCAACUUUUGCACUCCUAAUCAGAAUAUUUACCAACCGUAUGACUUGGCUUCAUUUUUAACGAUUGUAAUGCUUUUUCCAGGAAAAUGCAUCUAUUAGAGUAGACAAUGGAUUGCUACAAUUACAGCACAUGAUAAUAAUUUCUAUACAUUUUUAAGUGUUCUAUUCGUCAAGCACGCCAUCAUUUGGGCCCUCAUUGCAAAACAAAAACUGCGGGAAAGCCUUAGGUGAGAAGCUAUAUAAUCAUUAUGACUGAAAUCUAGCUACUUCAGUAACGUGAAAACUGGAAAGUUGAUUAUAUUAAUGAAUCAAGAAUUAAUCUUCUAUACACUAUCAAAUCAAGAUGCACAAUAAUUAAUUUUAAUUUGAUUUUGAAAUUAAAAUUUUACACGUGUAUCAUGUAUUUAAUCAUGAUAAUGUAUAUAUGCUGUCAGUAUAUAUAUGCACUAAAAUAUAGACCCAAAAAAAAUUUUAGAAACAGGUACAUGAAACGGGUACAAAAAAAAAAGGAUUUUAGAGAAAGAUUUUAUCACCUGUCAGAGGAAAAGCAAGAUCCAGGAAAGGCUAACCAUGGAUUGUUUUGUGCAAUGUCUAAUGUGACUCACAAGUCACAAGAUGUACGGCAUGGACAACACAUUGUGAAAACUAAUACUCCCUUCCUUUUUUUAUAACUGACGUUUAAGAUUUUGCACAUCAAUUAAGAAAAGCAUUUCAUUACUUAAAUAUGUACACUACUUUCCUUUUGUACCCUCAUUAAUUAUCCAAUUCACCCAUGGAGGGGCAGAUAAUUACUAGGGUUGUUACAAAGAGAGAAGCAAUAAUUACUAGGAGUAGUAAUUAAGAACCCUGUAUUGGAAAAGAGAGAUAAAAGGGUAAAAUUGUGAAAAAAUAAUUAAUACUGUAUGGGGAUAAUAAAACGACAGAUAAAAGUACACUAGAGCAAAUUUCUUAAACGUCAGUUAUAAAAAAAAUGGAGGGAGUAGUACAAUAGAGUGGAAACUCUGAGCACUAAGUAUCAAUUUUAUGCAAUUUUGAGCCAAAGUGGCCAACCGCCCAAAACCAUUAAAAGAUGCAAGAGUUAUUGUCCCUUCUUGUUGGGUUGAUAGGGCAAAUUAAUACACGAAUUAGUGCAUUAAUGCACGUAUUCUAGUUGACAGUCAAAGUGGCGUUUCCAUAUCUUUGUUGAACUCAAGACUGUAAAUUGUAUAUCCGCUAGGAUGAUAACUAGUGCAGACCAGACAACGAGGUCUUGGCUUCAAAUUUGGCUGAAAUGUGCAAAUAAUUUAUAGGUACUUGAAUCCAUUGAAAAGGGGUUUUAUGUACCUGCCUUGAUUUGAAUAGUAAGUUAACUAAAUAAUCACGUAGUAGUACUUUUUUUGGGUAACGUGUUAGACCCACAAGAAAAUCUAAAAAAUGCUAUGCUAUAAAUUUAAGAAUUAAUGUUCUCUACACUGUUAGUGUAUACAUUGUACGUUUUAAAUAAAUAACAACUAUAUGAAAUUUAAAUUUGAAAUUUAACUUUUAUACAUGUGCCAUGGAUCCAUCAAUGAUAAUGUAUACACUGUCAGUGUAUAUAAAAUUUGCUUUAAAUUUAAUCAUAGCGAAUGAUAAAAAGUCAUGCCAAGAUAAAAAAAACUUCCAAAUCAACCCAGACGGUAAGAAAUCUGGAAAACAUGUCUAAUCCAACUAAAAACACGCAUACAGAAUGCAAAUGAUUACGCAAAUCCAGUCCUGAAGCAAUAAAAUUAGACUUAGGCACCAGCUUGCCCAAGCUGGUGUAGUAUGUUGGUGUAGUAUAUUCCUAUUGCCCACAACUGCUUUGAAAACAAGCUUGGAAAGAUGUGUCUACCUUCAAAAAAUGGCGGUUUGGGAGUUAAAAAUCUGGUCAAAUGGAAUCAAGCUUUGUUACAUAAACUAAUUUAGAAUAUUUGUGCUAAGAAAGAUCAUUUAUGGAUUGUUUGGGUGCAAAGGUUUUUACUAAAAGACAAGUGGUUUUGGAUGAUUUCUGUUCCUAUGGAUUGUAGUUGGGCUUGGCUCAAAAUAUUGCAGUUCAGGCCUUUGAUUACGCCAUUUAUUUGAAUAGAAUAGGCAAUAGGGCCACCACAUCUUUGUGGUUUGACAAUUGGCGUCUCAAAAGGGUCCUUUCUGGUAAUGUAUUUUCUGGUAAUUUACAAAAGAUCCUUUCUUUUUGGUAAUUUACUUUGAUCCUUGGGGUGUAAUAAGUUAAAUGUAGUGUCUCGAAUGAUGAGUAAGAGAAGUUAAUUUUAUUUUGCAUCUUUUAAUUAUACCUAAAUUUUCACUUUGAUACCUAAAUUUCAAAGUAUGACAUUUAGUAUUUGAAGCACCUAUUUUAUCCUAUGUAAGUAAGAUCUGCCGCACUUUAGUCCUUAAAAUAUAAUGGGCCAGCCAAAGUCAACAAUGGGUUUGAGCUGGGCAUUGUAUAUUAUUGGAUUAGGAUGACCUUGGACUUCAAUUGAAGUUCGCCCAAAAAUUUAUGUAUAUAAAGUUUAUGUUUCAUUUACUUUCAUUUUUAAUUAUGUAUAUUAUUGAAUAACUAUUUGUGUAUCUAUAUAUAUUAUAAUUUUCAUAAUCCUAAAAUAUUAUAUGCACAUUAUGGGCUUGUUCUCAUUGAUUAUUUUAGGUGGUUAUAUAUUUUUUUCCAACAAACAUUAACAGUUUCAUAUAUAAGAAUUAACACUUGAUAUUGCAAGAGUUAAUUACAAAAAGGGGCCACUACCCUAAUUUCCUUCUGUGCUAAGUCUAUCAACAAUAUUGGAAAAUCUUGUUCCCAUUCUACAUCAUGCACUAACUUUACAUCUUGUGCUAAGUUUAUGGCUGAUUUCAUUUUCUAAUCUAGUUACAAAAAAGAAAUGAUAGUUUUCAAAAUAUGCUUUUAGUUUCCUGAACGUCUUCCAAAAUAGUUGCAAUGUUGUAUUUACAGUCACUGCAGCUAUUAAUCUGGUCUACAGCUGACUUGCAAUCUGUGUGAACUACUAUUUUAGUCCACCCUGCAUUUUGGCCAUCACCAUUGCAUUUCUUAUUGCAAGAGUUUCUUCCUUGCUUGCAUCUCCCUUUUUUUGGUUCACUAUCCCUUUUGCCUUCACAAUCCUUCCCCUCCAGUUUCUUGCAAUUAUCCCUUAGCCUAUUCUAAUCAUUCUUGCAGAGAUUGUAGCAUCUGGAUACAUGUAUAUCACAUUUUUCUUUGAUGGCUCUCUUCUGACUUGUGUCUUACUGUUAACAUGUAGUGCAGUGUUUUCUUGUUCUGCUUCUCUUGUCUAUUUGUACUCUAUCCAAUCACCUUGUGCUUUCUGUAUUGUUCUACUUGGAUCCAGAUUAGAGUCUUCAAACAUUUUUUUGUUCCUAGCUUUCCAAAUUUGCCAAAAGAUGUUAAUGGUAAGGUUUAUUUGAUCCUGACCUUGUUCCUUUAAGAUUGUUUGCAUGGCAGUUUCCGACCAGAGCCACAAGUUAUGCUAUUUGUCUUUCAAUCCAUCCCAUCUCACUAGAGCCAGUUUCUAGACCAGUGCUGCAUUUGUACAAAAGAAGAACAAAUGUUCUAUGGUUUCAACAUCCUCCCCACAAUAGUCAUAUCUUCUCUUCUCUUUUCCUAACCUUUUGAAUGUAAUGUCGUUUACUGGUAUGCAAUUCUGCAGGCAUUUCCACAUAAAAUGUUUCAAUUUGCCCUUUACAUUCUAUUACCAUAACUUUUUCCAAAUACUAUGUUUUAUUAUCUCCCAACUAGUUUCAGCAUUGAUUCUUUCUUUGGCACAGUGCUGAUCACAAUCCUAUUUUGACACUAUAUAUCCAGUCUUUACUGUGUAUGUUCCAGUUUUAGAGAAUUUCUAGAAUACUUUGUCCUUUCUUCGAUGUAUACUAAUAAGAAUGCUCUCAAUCAGUUCAGCAUCUUUUCUGCAAAACCAUUGUUAUAGAGCCUCUUUUUUCCAUUUCUCCCCUUCUAUCAGCUCACUUACCCAUUCCAACUAGCAAUCCUCAAGUUUUUCAAAGGUCACUUUCACCUUUCUCUGAUCUGAUUAUCCAUUUGUCCUUCCAUAUGUUUACUCUACUUCAAUCUCUAACUCUCUUCCAUAAGCCAGCAAACAGUAGUGUCCUGGAACUGUGUAUGCUCUUCCAGCUCCAUGAUGCUGAGUUUGGGGGUUCUUUCUCUAUCCAGUUAGGGUCCUUCAUGUAUUUUGCUUCAUUACCUUGCUUACUAGCAAAUUUGGAGCAAUUAAGAAUCCCCAAAUUUGCUCUGCAAGCAAGGCAAUAUUAAAUGCCUCUAAGUCCUUGAAGCCAAUUCCCCCUCUUCCCUUUACUUCUGUGAGUUUCUUCCAGCUUGCCCAAUGCACACAAGUCUCUUUCUCCCCAUCUCCCUACCAGAACCUUGCAAUCCUUGAUGUGAUCUCUCUGCACAAUCCUUUAAGGAGUCUAAAGCAUGCCAUUAUAUAUGUUAGCAUGGCCAUUAUGACUAACUUGAUAAGUACCUCAUUUCCUCUUUGACUUAUUAGCCUCUGUUUCCACCUUUGUAACUUGUUACUGAUUUUACUCUUUACAAAGGCAAACGCCUGCUCUUUUGAUCUUCCAAUGGCCAUUGGUAGCCCCAAGUAUGUCCCUUUUGAUGCCUCUCUCAUGCUGUCCAAUCCUUCACUCACCUCCUGUUUUGUCUGAUUAGUGGUGUUUCUACUUUAGAAAAUUGCUGACUUGUCAAAGUUUACCACUUGUCUAGAACCUUUGCCAUAUUUUGUCAGGAUAUCUUUCACUUUCAACAUCUCUUCUUUGUUUGUUUGCAACACAGUAAGGAGUCAUCUGCAAAGAGCAAAUGUGAAAUAGGAGGGCUAUCUCUGCAAAUUUUGAUACCUGUUAGCUCAUUUUUUGUCACUACUUUUUUUAGUAGGCUGGACAAUCCUUCAACACAGAUAAUGAAAAGAUAAGGUGAUAAUGGGUCCCUUUGUCUAAUUCCUCUAUUUGGUCUAAUGUGUCCUACUUUUUGGCCAUUCAACUUGAAGGAGUAAGAAAUAGUAGACAAACAGACCAUGAUCUAUUUAACAAAAAUUGGACAAAAAUCCAUUUUCAACAUCAAUCUUCCCAAAAACUUCUAUUCUACUCUAUCAUAAGCUUUGGACAUGUCAAACUUAAUGGUCAAGAAUCCUAUUUUUCCUUUUCUUUUAUUUUUUUCAAAAAAUGGAGAAUUUCAUGGGCUAUCACUACAUUGUCAAGGAUUUAUCUACCAAGGAUAAAAACAGACUGAGAACAACUGAUGCAAUGCUUAAGAACCCUUUUGGGCCUAUUUGCUAUGAAUUUAGAAAUGAUUUUAUAAAGUACAGUACAUAAACUAAUAGGCCUAUAGUUCACAACAGACACUGAUGCUUCAGUUUUUGGGACCAAAAAAUUGAUGGUUUCAUUCACAACUUUGAGCAAGUAACUAGCAUGGAAAAAGCUAUUUAUAGCAGACACAAUGUCCUUUUUUAUGAUAUGCCAAUAAUGUUGGAAAAAAUGUGGAGACAUACCAUCAGUUCUUGGGGCUUUGUUAGGAUACAUUGAAAGAAGAACUUGUCUGAUUUCUUUUUCUUCAACAAGCUUAAUCAACUAUUCAUUCAUUUGACCAAAAAUAGUGCUUGGGACCUUUGCUAAUAUAUCCUCAAAAUUGUUAGGGUUGGUAGUGGUGAAAAGGUCCUUGUAGUACUUACUAAGCUCCUUUUCAAUUUCCUGCUCAGUCUUACACUAGGUUCCAUCUUGUUUCUACAGAGUACUGAUCUUGUUUCUUUACCUUCUUGUCAUCACACUUGUAUGGAAAAAGGCUGUAUUUCUGUCACAUUCUUUGAGCCAUCUACUUCUUGAUUUUUGACUCCAAAACAAUUCUUCCUUCUUAUAUGCUUUGCUCAGUUGAGUUUUUAUCUCUGCAAUCUAGCCUCUCUCACCUGGUUCAUUUCCUGUUUUCACCUCAUUGAGUUGCUUUUUUAGUUCCCUGAUCCUUACUUUUGAAUUCCCUUGCACUCUUUUAUUCCAUUCCAGAGUGGCUAUCCUGCACUCCUUUAUUUUUCCUAGUCACUUUGUACAUUAUGGAACCUGUGUGUACUUUAUCCCAUGCUCCUUUGAUCAUAUUCUUUGAUUCUAGAUUUUUAGUCCAGCAUUGAUCAAAAUAAAACCUCAUUCUUCUUUUAUGUCUAUCUAGAUUAGUAUCCAGAUUAGGAUCAAGUGGUUUGGGGCUUUAUUUUCUACAUGUGUACAAGAGGCCUUAUCAAACUUUGGCAUCUAUUCAACAUUGCUUAAGCACUUGUCCAAUCUCUCCUUCACUUCCCCAUCCCCCCCAACAAUUGCUCCACAUCCAUGGCACCCUUUGGUAUCCUAUAUCUAUAGGAUCAUUACCUAUGAUGAAGCAAUUGAAAUCCCUUAGACUUCCUUCAGCUCUCUCUCUCUCUCUCUCUCUCUCUCUCUCUCUCUCUCCCCCCAAUUUCUCCCCAUUCGGUCUUAUAUCAUUGAAAUCCUCCACCAGCAUCCAAGGCUCUCCCAAUUCCUUUUUCUUGCUUUCAAGAUGUUUCCACUGUUCUUUUCUGAUAUUUCUAUCCACACUCGCAUAUAGGCAUACUAGCUGCCAAUGGCAAUUAGUUUCCCUGUCUUCUGUUUUUGCUGCUAUAUACCAGCUAGUGCUGUUCACUUCGUCUAUCUUCACAUCAUUGCUCCAAAACAAGGCCAAUCCCCCUGCUCUACCUAUAGAGUUUACAAUGUAUCCAUUUUCAAAUUUGAUUUUCUUUUGCACUUUUUUCAUGAAGUUUUCCUAGUUUUUUGUUUCACAAAAGAACACAAUAUUAAGAGAGUGGAGAUUUAAACCCUCAUUCAAUUGGAAAAUUGUCAAGGGGCCUCCUGCACCUCGACAAUUCCACACGGACCACACCACAACCUUUAUAUACACCUUGGAGGUAUAAAGGGGUUAGCCUCCAAUUCCCCAGUUGAUAGUGUGUUGGUUGUUUCCUUUCUCAUUGCUUUCACCUUUGGGUUAUCUGCAGCAUCUUCAUCCAUUGGUUCUAUCUCUUGUUGUAAUGACUCCAUUUUUCUUUUUCCUCCCAAUUCCCCUAGCCAUUCCUUAUUUGUAAUCUUCUUCAGAGGAGUUCUAGUUGUUCUCAACACUCUCUUGAAUUAUCUUCAUUCUUCUUUUCUACUUCCAUCCCCUAAGUUUUCUAUUGUCUGUCUUUCCUUUUUCUCCUCAAAACCUUCCAUUACCUUUGCCAUUAUCAAUGUGUUUUUUGAUUGGCACCCAUUGUGCUCCACUUCCAUAUUCUUAAUGAGGAGGGGCUCAAGGCUGCUCAAACUUCUAGUGCUCAGGUCAUGCAAAUACCCAAUGGUCCAAUUACAAGAGCGCGUGCUAGGAGAAUUCAAGAAUCACUUCAAGCUCUUGUUUGCACGAUUCAAGAACGAGUUGGUGAUGACUUGAGGACCAUUGAAGGAUUACAUAAUGGAGAAACUACUCUAUACACUUUCCUUCAAAUGGAAGAACCAAGUGAAGACUAGUUCACGGAGCACUAGCUUGCUAAUUAGGGUUUUAGUUACCAUUAUUAGUUGUUUGUUAGCAUUAAUAAUUUCGGUCAAUUUUCACUUCACUUUGGCCGAAUUCAGAGUCUUAAUUUUAGUCAAUUAGUUGUUAGAUAUUUUCACCCUUAAUGAAGGGCAAGGUCGUCCAUUGGACAUUCUAGGGUUUGAGUCUUGUAAGGCUAUAUAUAGCCUAGGUUUUCAUUCAUUAAAGGGGGAAUUCAGAUUUUUUACAAAAAUAUUCGUGAGUUUAUUCACUCUCUCUUGCCUCAAGAGAAUUUCCUUUGAAUACUUGAGAAUUAAUCUCAAGUUGUUCAUCGAACUUAUCAAUCAAGUAGUCUCCUUGAUUGUGGCGUUCUUCUAUCUAUACUUUUGGUUCACUAAAUUUGCUAGUCUUGGGUUAAGGAAUCUCCUUAGUUCGUGGCUUGUGAUUCUAGAAGGGUCAAAGUUCCGCCAAUCAUCCCAACUUGGUGUUCGUCUAGAUCCGUCUCACAUCAGUUGGUAUCAAGAGCUAGUCGACGACAUCAAGUAUAUCCCGUUGAGGUUCUUUGUUUUUCUCCUUUUCUUUUCUUCGUAAGUUUUCUAGUAUUUUCUUCAAAUCUGGUCGUGUCAAUCCGUGUGACAAUUACAAAAAAAAAAAAAGAAAACAGCCGCAUCUUAUUUGUUUCCUUGUUGCAUCGUUUAUUGAAUUUUUUCUCUUUUGAUUCUUGUACACUUCGUGCGUUAUUUUGUUGCGUGAAUUUCCUUGGAAUCUGCCUCCAAGCUUAGCCGUGGUUGUCUUUGGAUAAUCUGGUUAGUACAAAAAAAAAAAAUUAUUUGCGACGGCUAGGGUUUUCACUUGCAAUUAGGGUUUCCUUGAGCGCAAGUUUCUUGCCAAAUCUGUCCAAACUUUAGUUUAUUCCACCAAGUUGUUUUCAUUAAUUUUCUAAACUGAUUUUUGUGGUUAAACUUGUUUGGGUUGGAAUCUUGAAGAGGGACUACAAUAAUCUAGGGAUUCUUGAGUUUCUUGAAACUAAUCUUGAAGUCUCAAAAAUUUUGAUACAUGUCUUGAUAGUUAUUGGAGGAUUGAAGGAGAACAUUGGAGUGACAUUAAAUUCUGGAAUUUUACCCAAAAACAGCCGAGUAAUUGUGUGUUCGUAGAGUAAAAAAAAAAAGAAAAAAAGAAAGGAAACACACAAUCGGCUAGGACAAGGCCGAACAAGAAAGAAAAGAAGGAACUUGACCUGAUUUGCUACACUUUGUUCCUUGAAUUUGAUCCGCAAAAACAGAAAUUUAAGGCAAAGGAAGGGUUUAAAAAUUUUGACCAAUUUCUUCUUGGAAAUGUUGAGCACCUUGAGCCUUGAUCACUUGUAUCACCCGUUGAGACUUGUGAGGAUCUUGACCAUCUUGAUUCUUGAAGAUUUGCACCUCUCUUCGUACAAAAAGUUUCUUGUACAUCCUUGCAUCCAUACGGGGCUUCCUUGGCUUAAGAGUAAACCUCUUGGGAAUUUCCUGAGCAGGCCGCUUGGGGAAUUCUUGAGUGACGUCGCUUGUAUCAACUUGUGAAGCCAUUAUUUAGAACCAAGCGUCGAAACUGUCCUUGUGUGGAGCAAAGAGGAGGGGGCCGAAUUGUUUGUUCUUGAGGGAGAGUAAGGGAUGAAAAUUUUGGGGGGAGGAAAUUCUGGCUUUAGAGGUGAGGAAGCUACCAAAUCUGGAAAAUUUUUAGGAAGUUCUAGCCGACUUUGAGAGGGAUUUAAGAAGAGGGAAUUCUGGAAUUUUCAGAGGUUAGUUUCGGUUAGAAUAGGAAACUGCCAAAAAAAACUGUUUGGCACUUGGUUAGCAGCCGACUUUAGGAAGGUUAAAGAGAAAGGAAAUCUGGUAUUUUUUGGUAACAAUUCUGAUUUGGCUAGACGACUUUAAGGAAAUUUUCCAAAUAAGUACAACACCUAACUUGUUUCCAAAAAAAUCAAUUAGGAAAUUAAGUAAAACACUUGGGAAACUCCAUCAUUGUACUUGGGCAUUUUUUUUGUACAUCAAUUUUCCUUGUUCCAUUUCUUACCAAAUCCGCCAUUGAGUUUUCCGUUCUACUCUUGUCCUUUGAUUUGGGAGCUAAUUGGUUAAAGUUUGACUGAAUUUUUUUUGAGAUAAUUUCUGAUUUCUUCAAAGGAAACGAUCGAGAGACUUGAGGAGUGAAUUGGUGAGUGCAUUAGAGGGACAUAAACACUUGAGUGAAAACACGAGAGGAGUGCAACACUUAAGGGAGCGAGUGAGGCAUUUUCUACUAACAAUUUGUCAAGUUUUGCAGGUUUCACCAUGUCUCAGGAAAAUGAACUUACCAUUGCUCAGUUAUCACUUAAAAUGGAUGCUAUGUGGAAGGAAAUGCAGAGGAGAUUUGACCAAAGACUGGAAACGAUCCAUGAGCAGAUUGAUCAACUAAGUUCAUCUAGGGUUUCUUCUAGGAAAUCUAGGGGAAAAUCCACCCUGGAGGAAUCUAGUGACUCCAAUGCCGAUUCGGACCGUGAGGCAUACGGGCAAGGGAGACCGAAGAGAAACACAAGAGCAAUUGGUGAUGCAAUCAAAGGGAUUAAGAUGAAGAUUCCUCCUUUCCAAGGCAAAUCUGAUCCGGAUACAUACCUUGAAUGGGAGAGUCGAGUAGAGCUAGUAUUCGAUUGUAAUGACUACACCGAUGCACAAAAAUUGAGACUUGCCGUAGUAGAAUUCACCGACUAUGCCAUAGUUUGGUGGGAACAAGUGGCUACAAGCAGGAGAAGGUGUGGUGAACCACCUAUAACCACUUGGACUGAGCUCAAGAGACUUAUGAAGAAGCGAUUUGUACCAAGUCACUACCAUAGAGACUUGUACCAAAAACUUCAAACCUUGACGCAAGGUCAACGCUCAGUUGAGGACUACUACAAGGACAUGGAAAUCUCCAUGUUGAGAGCUGAUAUUCAAGAAGAUAGAGAGGCUACAAUGGCAAGGUUUCUCAAUGGUCUGAGGGCUGAAAUAGCCGAUCAACUGGAGCUUCAAUACUAUGUGGAGAUAGAAGAUAUGGUGGAAAAGGCUAUCAAGAUUGAGCAAAGGCUCAAGAGGAGGGGUACAACCAGAAAUUAUAACCCUCAUCCACAAACAUUUACUCGACCAUUCCAGUCUAGAAGGGAAGAGAGAGGUUCGAAUGCUUGAAACCCUCCAAAGCCGAAGCAAGAUCAAGGGUCAAGCUCGCGGCCACCUGUUACCAAAACCGACUCCAAGGUUGUUUCAAAGCCAACAAUUGAAACUUCAAAACCUAGGAAUCGUGACACCAAAUGUUGGAGGUGUCAAGGAGUUGGACAUAUUGCAAGCCAAUGUCCAAACCCAAGGACCAUGCUUGUCCUACCAUAUGGAGACAUUGUCACUGAUGAUGAAGAGAAGGAUUACAAAGACAUGCCUCCCUUGGUUGAAGAGGAAGAUGAAAUAGAGGAAGUUCCAACUCAAGACAAAGUUGGAUUGGUAGCAAGAAGGGCGCUAGCUACUCAAGCUAGUAAAGAUGAGCUUCAACGUGACAACAUCUUUUACACUAGGUGCCAUGUGACCAACAAGGUAUGCAGCUUGGUGAUUGACCCCGGAAGUUGCACUAAUGUUGCUAGUGCAUUGAUGGUGGAGAAACUAAACUUGCCAACUAGUGAGCACCCCCGUUCCUACAAGCUUCUGUGGUUAAACAACAGUGGAGAGGUACGUGUUCAUAAACAAGUUUUGGUUACUUUUCGCAUUGGUAGGUAUGAAGAUGAUGUUAUGUGUGAUGUAUUACCAAUGCAAGCUGCACAUAUACUCUUAGGGCGUCCUUGGCAAUUUGACAAAAGAGUCACUUUUGAUGGUUUCUUGAACAAAUACUCUUUUAUGCAUAAUUGUAAAAAGAUUACACUUGCACCUCUUACACCUCAACAAGUACAUGAGGAUCAAGUUAGUCUACAAAAAGAGUAUGACUUGCAUGCUACCACCAAGAAGGACAACGCCAAAGCUAAGAAAUUAGUGUUGGCCGAUCCUUCUUCAAGCAAGUUGGAUCACUCUCAUUCGGUAUUCGAGCCCACACAGGAGAGAAAACCCAGCAUGCUUGCCAAGGUGAAAGAUGUGAGAAAGGCCGUGCAUUCUAAUCAGGUUUUAUUUAUUUUAUUUGGCAAGGAAUCCUUACUCACUAAUGCUCUUGAUGCUUCUUUGCCUAGUGUUAUUACUAACCUCUUACAGGAGUAUCAAGACGUCUUUCCUGAGGAUAUACCUAAUGGUUUGCCUCCAUUAAGGGGAAUUGAACAUCAAAUUGAUUUCAUUCCUGGCUCUUCCCUUCCAAACAAGGCACCAUAUAGGACCAAUCCUGAGGAAACCAAGGAGCAACAACGACAAGUUGAGGAGUUGCUUAGUAAGGGUUGGAUUCAAGAGAGUCUAAGCCCUUGUGCUGUACCAGUUCUACUUGUUCCGAAGAAAGAUGGAGGAUGGAGAAUGUGCACUGAUUGUAGGGCUAAUGCCAUAACGGUAAAGUACCGCCAUCCCAUACCUCGUUUGGAUGACAUGCUUGAUGAAUUACAUGGUGCUAUCAUUUUUACUAAGAUUGAUUUGAAAAGUGGUUACCAUCAAAUUCGCAUGAAAGAAGGAGAUGAAUGGAAAACUGCAUUUAAAACAAAACAUGGACUUUUUGAGUGGUUGGUCAUGCCUUUUGGGCUAACCAAUGCACCAAGUACUUUUAUGAGACUCAUGAAUCAUGUUUUACGCUCUUUCAUUGGUAAAUUUGUGGUCGUUUACUUUGAUGACAUUUUGAUCUAUAGUAAGACUCUAGAUGAGCAUGUUGUGCAUUUACAAAUGGUCCUCGAUGCACUUCGCAAGGCCAGCCUCUACGCUAACCUUAAGAAGUGUACCUUUUGCACAAAUCAAUUGGUUUUCCUAGGAUAUGUUGUUAGUGAGCAGGAAAUUCAUGUUGAUCAAGAAAAGGUGAAGGCUAUUAGUGAAUGGCCAACCCCUACCAAUGUAAGUGAGGUGAGAAGUUUUCAUGGCUUGGCAAGCUUCUAUAGGCGUUUUGUCAAGGAUUUUAGCACAAUUGCUGCCCCACUUACGUCAAUUGUCAAGAAAGAUGUGCAAUUUCAUUGGGGAGAGGAACAAGCUAAGUCUUUCCAAUUACUUAAACACAAGCUCACACAUGUACCUGUUCUUAGUUUACCUAAUUUUGACAAAGCUUUUGAAGUAGAGUGUGAUGCUUUUGGUAUAGGUAUUGGACCUGUUUUACUCCAAGAGGGUCGCCCAGUUGCCUACUUUAGCGAGAAGUUAAAUGGAGCUGCUCUAAACUACUCAACCUAUGAUAAGGAACUCAUGGCCUUAGUGCGAGCCCUACAAACAUGGCAACAUUACCUUCGCCCUCGUGAGUUUGUCUUGCACACCGAUCAUAAGUCGCUCAAGCAUAUCAAGUCCCAAGACAAGUUGAGUAAGCGACAUGCAAGAUGGAUUACCUUCAUUGACAGUUUUAUCUUUGUGAUCAAAUACAAGACAGGUAAGACGAAUGUAGUGGCUGAUGCACUCUUACGAAGGUAUGCACUUAUCACUACAUUAGAUGCUAAGUUGCUUGGUUUUGAAUUCCUUAAAGAUCUUUAUGCAGCUGACUCAGAUUUUGGUGAGAUUUUUGUCUCCUUGCCACGACACUCUCGUGAGCACUAUUUCAUCUCUCAGGGGUUCUUAUACUACAAGGACAAGCUUUGCAUUCCCAAGAGCUCCAUGCGCACACUCCUAGUAAGAGAAGCUCAUGGAGGAGGACUAAUGGGACACUUUGGCAUUGCCAAGACCUUAAUGAUUCUCCAAGAGCAUUUCUUCUGGCCACGCAUGAGGAGUGACGUAAAACGGCACAUUGAAAGGUGUGUGACUUGUCACCAAGCCAAAUCAAAGGUACACCCUUAUGGUCUCUAUACACCUUUGCCAAUUCCACAUGAACCAUGGGUUGAUCUGUCAAUGGAUUUUGUGCUUGGACUACCUAGGACUAGAAAAGGACAUGAUUCAAUCUAUGUGGUAGUUGACCGCUUCUCCAAAAUGGCCCAUUUUAUUCCUUAUCUUAAAACAGAUGAUGCUAAGCAUGUUGCAGAUUUAUUCUUUCGUGAGAUAGUUAGAUUACAUGGCAUGCCACGCACUAUUGUUUCUGUUAGGGAUGCCAAAUUCCUUAGCUAUUUUUGGAAAACUUUGUGGUGUAAACUAGGUACUAAAUUGCUAUUUUCUACUUCUAGCCACCCACAAACUGAUGGUCAAACCGAAGUGGUUAAUAGGACUUUAUCUACCCUGUUGCGCGCAAUUAUAAAAAAGAACAUUAAAUCUUGGGAAGAUUGCUUACCACAUGUGAAAUUUGCAUAUAAUCGCACUGUUCAUUCUGCUACACAUUAUUCGCCGUUUGAAAUUGUGUAUGGUUUUAACCCUCUCACACCUUUGGAUUUAACUUCUUUACCUGUUCAUGAGAGAGUUAACUUGGAUGGUAAGAACAAAGCUGCAUAUGUACGUGAGUUACACACUAAGGUGCGAGCCAACAUCGAGAAGCAUACACUUCAAUACAUCCAAAGUGCCAACAAGGGGCGCCGCAAGAUGGUCUUUGAGUCUGGCGAUUGGGUAUGGAUACACAUGCGCAAAGAGAGGUUCCCAGUCAAAAGGCGUAGUAAGCUAUUUUCACGGGGAAAUGGUCCAUUCCAAGUCCUGGAGCGUAUAAAUGACAAUGCCUACAAACUUGAACUUCCAGGUGAGUAUGUGGUACAUGCUACUUUUAAUGUAUCUGACUUGAGUCCUUUUUAUGCAGACGAUGAGUUUGAUUUGAGGACAAAUCGCCUUCGAGAGGAGGGGACUAAUGAGGAGGGGUUCAAGGCUGCUCAAACUUCUAGUGCUCAGGUCAUGCAAAUACCCAGUGGUCCAAUUACAAGAGCGUGUGCUAGGAGAAUUCAAGAAUCACUUCAAGCUCUUGUUUGCACGAUUCAAGAACGAGUUGGUGAUGAUUUGAGGACCAUUGAAGGAUUACAUAAUGGAGAAACUACUCUAUACACUUUCCUUCAAAUGGAAGAACCAAGUGAAGACUAGUUCACGGAGCACUAGCUUCCUCAUUACUUAUUCUGUAGAUUCCUCUACUUCAUUUCUAGCUUCCUCUUUCUUCCUUUCAAUGCUAAACAUAUUCUUCCUUUCUUCCUAUUGGCUCUCCUUUGGCUAUGUGGUUGGAUCUUGUAAAUAUGCUGUCAUCUUAUCCUCGUAUACCUUUCUCCUCAUGGAUCCUUGGUCUUUUCCGUCCUUUUUUUUGCAUCCCUGCUAUAUUUCCACUAUCAGCUUUUUCCUUGUCCUUCAUUCUGAGUCCAACUACUAAAGCAUUGCUUCUGUCAGCUUUCUCCAGUUUCUUUCUUUCUAUUGCUUUUGGUGGUUCAUUCCAUCCUUUUAAUAGGGAUAUCAUGAUGUUUCUUGCUCUCAUCCUUGCUCUGUAUUGCUUUUCUCUCUGCAUCACUCCUUCUCUUCCCCCCCUUAUUACAGGAUUUCUCACUGUGUCUUAUUACCCCACAGUUAUAGCAAAAGUCUGGGCAACGUUCAUACCUAAACUCAACCCAUACCGCCUGAUCUUUGAGUUUAAUCUUUGUUCCUUUGAUCAACAGUUGUGUCACAUCAAUUUCUGCCAUUAUUUUCAUCUGACUUUUCUUUUUCCCACCAAUUGCUAGGAUUAUUACAUCUCUUACAGAUUUAAAGAUCUAGCCUAGCUUGAAGCCUACUGCUUUGCUCAUCCAGUGAACUGGAAGAUUAAUUGCACCUAUUUCAAAGCAUGUUAAAGUAUGUUAUAUCUCUUUCACAUCCCUCUAACCAUUCCUUAACAAUUAACACCUGAUUAUCCAUUAUCCAUGGACCACCUCUUAGUAUCCUUCUUCUAUCUUUCUCUUUUUCUAAAUGGAACUGAAACAAGUUGGGGCCCAGCUCUAUUAUCAUCAUCUUCAUAGGGUAGCCCCAAGCAUGGUUGGUGAAAUUCUUAACCGUUGUGAAGUUUGCAAUUUUUUCACCUAUCAAUUUUCCCGCUAAGCUGCCAUUGCAACCCUGUAUGCCUUCUUCUAUGUCUUCACCACUCAGAUCUACACCGUCUAUUUCUUUUUUCGAUAGCUCAAACUUUUGGAAUGUUCUUGCUAGAGAUUCUUUCAUCAUUAAAGAGAGUAUUAGAGUGAGCACAAGCACUACUUCUUGGUCACUGAACUUCCUAGCUGGUUAAACCUGCUAAAGAAAGCAAUCAGAUAAGCAAGUAAGGAAAUUAGAUGUGGAACUAAAGGCCGAUAGUGUACUAUUAAGAACUUCAAAAGCUUGAACAUAAGAUUCAGUGGAGCCGACAGGCCCUAAAAGCAUAAACUUCAGAAAAUUCAAGAGGAAUAAAAGUAAAUGCAGGUAAGGUUUCAACAAGAGUAAAAAUUCCACAUCUUUGUUUAAUGGAUCAUGUUUUGUCUUAGCAUUUACUCCAACAAUUAAUGGUUGUGAUCGAACUACAGCACUAAUCUAACAGGGGUGUGUUUUUUAAUUUUAUGGUGAAAUCUGGGUUGACUCUAAGAUUGUGCAGUGUUAGGAUUUUGAAAAUUUGAACUUUCGAGACUCCUACACUUAGGAGAGGAGCUCUAAAGUUAGAGAUAGAAGCUCUCAAGAAGAGAGAGACUCAGUGUCUUUUUUCCUGAUGAUUUUAUAGGGGUGGCAAUUCCUGACACGAUCCAAAAACACGACACGAACCUAACACGAAAUUAAUGGGUUUGGGUUGAGGUUUUGGGAGUUUGGAUCAGAAUCGAGUCGAACCCGAUGAACCCGAAAAGAAAAUAGGUCAAUUUCGGGUUAACCCGUAGUGACCUGAUAUGACCCGAUGUGACUCGUUUACGAAUUAAAACUAAUUUAAUAAACAUAAAAAUUAUUUUAUCUAACUAAACUAAAUCAUUCUUUUUUUCCAAAGGCAUUAAUUACUUAAUCCUAAAUGAAUUUAUUUAACUUGUGUGAAGUUAAAAUUAUUAUAUUUGGACAAAUAAUAUAUUAUGUUAUUUUUUACUUUUAUGUUGUUUUAAUUUAUUUUAUAUUUGGUUUGGGAUAAAACACUUUUAUGGUGUUUAAUUUAUUUUAGAUUUGGUUUGAAAUUAUUUAUUUAAAUUUUUAUUACUUGAUGAUGUAAUUAAUUUUGUGAAAAAUUGAUUUUAUUAGAAAUUACAGUGAUAAAAUAAUAAAUUAAAAUUAAGUUUCGGGUCAUUUUGGGUCGACCCGCCAACCCGAAAUUUUCGGAUUCGUGUCAGGUACCCUGACCCGUUUCGGGUUAGCGGGUCGGGUUAGCAGGUCAGCAGGUUCUUUGUUAUACUUAGGCCUCAACCCGACCCGCCAACCCGAACCCAAUCCGUUUGCCACCCCUAUGAUUUUAGGUGGUUAUAGAUUUUGAUCUUAGAUAGUUUUUUUUUUGUAAUUUUGUAAUUUAUUUUUGUAUUUAGAUUAUAGAUUUUUUUAAUAGCUAAAAAUAUUAUAUUAAAAAUUUAAGAGCAACUUUUUGUUGAUUUUGAUUAAACAUUAUAACACUCCUAAUAAUCAGAUUUUGCAAAGUUUAAAACAAAUGAGAACAAGACAUGCAUAUAACUAUAUAAAUUAGUCGUGUGCUUAGGUCAAAUGUGAAUUAGGCUCGAAGUCCUAAUAUCUUUGUGAUCCGAGUAUGAACCUCGCAUUGUGUGACCAAAGUACAACAGCAAGAAUAUUUUACAAUAGCUCACUCCAACACGAACAUCCUUUAGCACUCUGCAUACAAUAGUUUCAGCAUUAGAGGUUUUCUAUUGGAACACCCUAUAAUUCCUCUUUUUCCAUAUAUGAUAUACAAUUGUUUCUAGUGCCAGUUUCUUUAAUAUGUUUACAGAGCAUUCCUUCUUCCAAUGGCAACUGAGCCAUUCAACUUCAGUGUUCCACUCAUAAAUCCCUCGAUAUUGCAAGCAACAUUGCUGUAUUCUUGAUCAAAUAUCGCAGCAUACUCAAAGUGAAUAUGCGGCUUGUAUUUGGUCAAGAGUACAGCAAUGCUGCUUGCAAUAUGACAUACUAUUCCAAUGCCAUUUCUGAUAAUGAACUAAUCUGAGCAUGAUACAAUUUAAUUAUGAUAAAGAACCAAGCGGAGCCUUGAGUAGUUCUUUUCUUUCUUCUUUCCCUUUUUAAUUAUUAUUUAUCUUUCUUACAGCCUUUUUUCAUUUAGCUCUAUUACACAAGAUCCUAGUUAAGAAUUCUGAUUAAGAGGUUGUACUUUCGUAUUCUCUAUACCAGUAUUAGAACUAGAUAAGAAUUGGAAUAGUGUUUUAAGGAUAUGUUGAUUCAUUUUAGUACGAUACAAUUUUGCUUCUAAUAAACAACAAGCAUUACUUAUAUUUUUAAUGAGCAUUAUUUUGAACUGGAAAUUUUUUUACAAUUCCUUGAACUCGUUUUUCAAAUGACAUUUUUAUUAUUUUCAAUCACCUUUUUACCUGUUAUACAUCAUGUGGUGAAAAGGUCUAUGAGAUUGUUAUUAACAAUAAUUUUCUAAAUAAUCUUCAAUUUGAAAGCAUAUAGUUUCCAGUCUAAAAAUUCAAUAAUGUUAUUUUCUUUCCAAAAACCAUUGCAGAAUUUAUUCUUUGCUGGGUCAGACACUUCAGGUGGCACGAUAAUUUGGGCUAUGACGGCGCUUAUCAAGAACCCCUACAGCAAUGAAAAAGCACAAACUGAGUGCAUGGAGAGAGGAAAUGAUAGAUGAAGAUGAUCCUCAAAAGCUUCCCUAUCUCACAGCUAUCAUCAAGGAGACUAUGAGAUUGUACACAAUUGUUUCUAAUUUAGUCCCAAGAUACUUAAUGGAAAGUGGCAUCCUUGGCGGAUAUGAAAUUCAGCCCCAGACUAUAGUUUACAUAAAUGGUUGGGCAAUUGGAAAGGGAUACUGAGUAUUGGGAAAAUCUACGAGUUCUUGCCUGAGAGAUUCUUGAAUAGUACUAUAGAUAUGAAAGGGGAGCACUUUUAGUUGCUCCCAUCUGGGGUAGGCAAAAGAUGAUGCCCUAUAUACUCCCUAGGGCUAGCAUCUAUGGAGAUCGCACUUGCUAAUAUUUGAAUUCAUUCAACCAGGAAUUGCCUUCUAGAAUGAAGAAAGAAGACAUUGAUACUCAUUGUUUACGUGGUGCCCUGCGACUUGUGGCAAGAACCAUCUGCCUUCUUAGCAAGGAAAAACAAAUGACAACUUGGGAGAGAGGGGAUAGGCUGGUUGGUUAGGAAGGGAGAGAUUCUACCUGAGAGGUCACGGAUGCAAGCCGUAGCAAUUACACUAAAAAAAAAAAAACAAAUGUCAACAUAGUAGUUGUAAAAAGGGUUACAAACGAAUUGAAUCGAGUCGAAUCGAGUUUUGACCUAAUUGAGUUGAGUCUCGACUUAAUUUUAUCAAGUUCGAACUCGAGCUCAAACUCGAUGACCGCUCAGUGUAAAGCUCUCGAGUCGAGCUCGAGUUUAAAACAAUAAAAAAAUUAUUUUAAUUUAUAAAAAAUUGAUAAAAUAAUAUUUUUCUUAAUAAAUAUAAAAUAUUAUGGAUAUAUAUAUGUAAUUUUACUAUUAAAAUAAUAUAUAUGUAUAAAAUUGAACUGGUGAGUUAACGUGUUGAAUAUUUUUGAACUCAAAUUUGACUUGAUUUGCUCGAACUCGAUUCAAACUUGAUAUUGACCAAACUCGAGUCGAGUUUUGAAUCAAGUUGCUCGCGAUCAACUUGACUCGUGUACACCCUAGUUGUGAAGUUGUGUAAGGUAUGAAUAAUUCAAGAAAGAAAUAUUAACAAUACUCUUACGGAUUUAUUGCACAAUAUUAUUAUAUUCUAAGCAUUCAACUAACAUAUUAAAUACUCUUACGCAGUUUAAAUAUAUUGUAAUGUUAUAAUAUCCAUGAACUAUUGCAGUGCAUCAAAAAAAUUAUUAAGUAUUCUUUGAGAUAUUUAUUAAAAUUUUAGAAUGAUUAGAUAUCAAGAACUAUGUAUAUUUUUAUUAAUGAAAUACAAAAGAUACAACAAUUCAAAAUAUUUAGUUUCUAAUAAAAUUCAUAAAUUUAUCAAUAUAACAAUUAAAUCGCACCAAUAAAAGUGUGGAUAAAAAAAUAAUUCAAAUAUAUUAAAAAGAUAGAAGUUGUUAGAAGAAAGGAAAACCAUAAGAAAAACCCAAUGAGAUUUAUCUUCAAUUAUAUAAAAAAGUUAACAGUGCCUUCAAAUACGAUAGUGAGUGAUUAGAUUAGCAAGAAAGUGAGGAAUGGGCUAUAUAUAUAUAUGCCCCAAAAAUUAUGCCCCAAAUUAAAAUGACCAAGUUUUGGCAACACUUUGCUAAGCUUAGUAUAACCUUGACUGAUAAAUAUCAAAUGUCAUAUUGUAUAUUAAUAUACUCAAAGAAAUUAUGAGAUCUCUAAUUCGACUUUUAACCUUUCCUUUUCUUCCUUCUCUCCUGCAAUAGUUGGAGUUUGUUGAACAAAAGAAAAGUAUUAUAUAUUGUUUGUUUUAUUUAAAGAAUCACCACACCUGUCAAGACAUUUAUGAAAAAUUCUCGUGUUAAGAAUCUAAAUUUUUAUUUUUUACUCACAAUAUUAUUUUUUUCAAAAAAAGUAUAUUUUUUUAGAGAACAAAAAAGUGUGAAAGCUUGAAAAAAAAAAGUGUGAAAGCUUGAGUUUGGGUCAAUUAGAUUGGAGCUAGAAGCCUAACAAACCAAAAGGGCCGAGUGUUGCAAACAAUCUUUAAGCCUGAAGGAUUCUCCUCAAGCUAUGGAAGCAGGUAUUUUUAGUUAAGCACGUCUUUGGGUUUGUAGCAGAGUCCAGGCCAGAAGCCCCAAUUGAAAAGCCUGCUAACAGUAAAGAUGGAGAGGUUAGCACAGGUCGUCUGCCGGAUUUUCAAAUGGAACCACCCGCGGUGCUUUCAAAUACUCCUAUAGGAUACACUGAUUGAUGUAAUCCCUUACAAACAUUAUAGGUAUGUUUAGACAAGUUAACUUAGUUGAUAGUAAUUAGUCAUUCUCUUAUAAAAGAUCAUGUGCUCAAGUUUCACUGUCGAUGUAAGGAAUGUAUUGGUGUACAAUUUAUAAAAAUUCAUGUAAGUGAUCUAUGGUUCCAAAUGUGAGAAUUAUGUUGGUAUGCAAUUCGUAAGAACCUAUAGUCCCAAAUGUGAGAACUAUGUUGAUUGACGAUAUGUAAAAACUCUUACAAGUAACCUAUCGAAUGUGAAAAUUGUAUUGGUGGUUGAUCCGUAAUUGAAGCCGACCAACGGUAAUAAUCAGAGUCAAACCCACCCAAAUUUUUAUUUACCAAGAAAAAAGAAAACAUUAUAGGUGUCUGAUUAUAUUAAUUGGUUUUGGAUUCCAAUUUUGAAAAUUAUUCUUUUUGAUCUUCACAUUUGCUUUCAUAGUUAGAUUUUGAAAUAGGUAACCCAAUAAUAGAUUUUAGUAUUUCUGAUUAAUUAGUCUUUUACAAAAAUUGUAGCAUGAACAGCACCACGCUGUUAUUUCAUUUAAAUCUUGUAGCUCCUCCACCAUCUUGCAGUUGUUUAUUGCUUUGAGCAAUUUGGCUUUCUUUUUUGGUUAAUUUCUCACUUGAGAUAUGGCCAAAUUAUUAGUUUGUCCAAACUACAACAACAGGUCCGUUUGGUUCGUGUGAAUUGCAAAAAAAAAUUUAAAAAAAUCUCAAAUAUUAUUUAAUUUGUAUCAUAAACACAAUUUCCAAUCAUUCUUUUAUUUGACAUACAUUACAUCAUAAAAAAUAUUAUUGUAUUAUUUCAAAUUUUUUUUCCAAAUAAUCUCUUAUCCAAACACAUCUAUGUUAAAUUCAACUAGUAGACGCAAUAAGACGACAUAUUGGCCAUGCAUCUCCUCUUAAAUUACAUACCCCAUCAAUUCUUGAAAAGUUUUGAAAAUAUUAGUUAUGAGAUUAACCAUUCAAUAUUAUAUGAAUCAUAUUCCAUUGCACUCAUAUGAGAAUCAAAGCAAGUACUUCUUUUUUUUUUAAUUUGGUUAAAACAAGAAAGGAAAUGAAAAAGCUAGCACGAAGGAGGAUAGGUUGAGCAAGUAUUAAAAAAGUUAUCUAAAACAAGAAUGAACCUCAGAACGGUUGGCAUGGCAAUUCCCAAAACCCUCAUAUUUAGAGUCCAUUCUUCAUAAAGCUUAUAUUAUAAUUUGAUCUGAUAAAAGUCAUGGAUCCAUCAAUAAUCACCUGCUUGGUAAAAGACCAUUUUGUUUUGUCAAGCAUCUAAACUGACUAAUUUAAAUUGAACAUAAAUGAUCAACAACUAAAAUGAAGAAAAAUAUAAGUUGAGGGACUGAGUAAGGACAUUUGAGGAAAUUUACCUCACUUCCGUGUGGAAAAAUCGUUAAAAAAAAAACCUAUAAAUAUUUCUGUUUCCAAGACUAAGCUAUAAAAACGUAAGUUCGAAGGUCAAUUUAACAUGUUGAAACAAAAGGUUUAUGCAAACUAUAUGAUAUCAAAUCUUUGACUUUUGCUGUACAUGAAGUCAUGAAAGAUACUCGUAUGCAAUUAUUAUGAUUCGAAAUCAUCUCUGACAAGCAUUAGGUCAAGGCUGUAGAAUUUAUUUCUAAACAAAUAGUUUUAUAUAAACCCAGGGACCAUGUGUUGGGAUUCUUAACAAUAAACACAAUAAACAACUCAAGGGCAUUUUUUUUUUUGACCUCCCAUCUUUCCCCGUUACUUUUCCACUCCCUUGCUAUACGGGUGGCAAUUUCCGACACGAUCCGAAAAUACGACACGAAUUUAACACGAAAUUAAUGGAUUUGGGUUAAGGUUUCAAGAGUUCGAAUUAAAAUCGGGUCGAACCUGUUGAACCCGAAAAGAAAACAGAUCGAUUUCGGGUCAAUCCGUGGGUGACCCGAUAUUACCCGAUAUGACUCGUUUACGAAUUAAAAAUAAUUUAAUAAACAUAAAAAUUAUUUUAUCUAACUAAACUAAGUUAUUCUUUUUUUUUCAAAGACAUUAAUUACUUAAUCCUAAAUGAAUUUAUUUAACUUGUGUGAAGUUGAAAUUAUUAUAUUUGGAUAAAUAAUAUAUUAUAUGAUUUUUAGGCCCAGAAUUCGAAUAUGAACCUGACAGCAGAGAUAGUUUUUAAAACCCUCCACUGACCAUUAGACUAAUCCCAGGAGAUUAACUAAAGGGCAUGUGUUGGUUCUUACUUCUAAAUAUUUUGCACGCUUCUCUCUAUGGGUGGUGGUCACAAGUGAGUUCACGAUCAUGACACAUUCGGCUUUAAAAUUCAGCAGUCAACCCUCAACACGAAAGACAUCCAACAAUAUUCUACGGAUUAUUCUUCUUCGAUCAUUAGUUUUAACCCCCAAGGGUCGGUAUUUUGUGGAUUCAGAUCUCCUACGGUUGCAAGGACCGCAUUAUGACGGUCCAAGAUUGGAUUAGAGUGUCACAGCUUGAUAUACGCCGUCUAUUUCAAGAUUCACUAGUUUUGAAAUGGAUGAUUGAGAUCGAGUAGGGCCACUUCGAUUCAAUCUCAAACCAUCAGUUGUAUAGUCCGGUUUCUCUUGCAACUGUAGAGGAGCUAAAUCUGUAUUUUUCAAACAUGAUGUACUAAUUUUCUGGUAAAUUUUCAAAAAUAAGUUCUAGCUAUACAUGAAAAUCAAUUUUAAGAUUUAUUUAGUUUCUUACGGACAAAUAAUACAAUAAUCCUGCAAAAGUUUUGUAAUAUCCACCAACUAAUGGUUAAUAAUGCCUCGGGAAUCAUGGAUACUAAAUUUUAGACUAAUCAAGUACUCAUAUUCACUUACACAAGCUAUUGAAAUAUACCAAUACGCACUAUUUUAAGGGAUAACCCCCAUAGGUUUCUAACAAUUUCAUCUAGCUUCCCUCUAAUUUGAGAAAUUAUAUUGACCUCUCUUGACAUGAUGAGUUACCAAAAACGACCUUCACUUUCUCACUAUUUUACACGGAAAAAAACCUAUAUUCUUAAAAGAGAAAAAAAUCCAAAAAAUUUGUUCAAAAAAUUUUUGUGAUAUUUCAAAACAAUUGUCAAUUGAAAAAACUUAUUUGAGUAGAUGCUUUGAUUGUGGAUUUUAUUGAAAUUAAUUAAUAUAAAAGUGAAUGUAAAAAUCACAGUAUACACAAAGACGUGACUUUUUUUCAGGCUAGUACCCUCCGGGUUUUCGAUUGCUAGAGCAUCUCCUUAUUUUUUCCCUGACAAAAUGUGCCUUAGGAUUAUGAUUGUAGUAACAUAGAUGGAAUUGUUAGUGAUAGUGUGGAUCUAGUGGUAGAAAGAAAAGAAUGUUACAAAGUUUUCUAUUGCUCUUUUUUAUCCCGUCUAGUUGGUAGCCUAUGACAGUGAUAAUGGAGAUGGGCUUGGUAGUAAUUGUUGACGUAGAAUGUAGAAGGGAAAAUCGUUUAAAACGUCUUUCACAUUUUGUAAAAUAACUUUUUUCGUCCCUUACUUUUAAAAAUGUAAUUUUACAUCCCUUACAACUUUGCAUUUGUCAAAUUUGAUCCCUACUUAGGUUUCCGACUAGUUUUUGGUCAGAAUUCACCACGUGCCUUGCACGUGAUCAUAUUUUAAGGACAAAAUUGUCAAAUCAAAUUUGAUAUAAUUCGAUUCAUAAUCCCUCACAUUUCAUAAAAUAAAUUUUUCACCCCUUACAUUUCACAAAAUGAAUUUCUUCAUCCUUCACAUUUUUCAAAAUGAAUUUUUUUCAUCUUUUAUUGAUCGUGUGUGAAUAAUUUUUUUUAAAUGCAUGUAUAUAUCUAUUUGAUUUCACCUGAACAGUACGAAUAGCAUGUGAAAUCAAAUAGAGAUAUAUUAGAUACUAUUCGUACUGUUCAAGUGAAAUCAAAUAGAUAUAUAUAUAUAUAUAUAUAUAUAUAUAUAUGGGUUUAAAAAAAUUGUUAGUUUUUCACUUAUAUUGAUUUUCUUUUACUCAAAAUUUGAAAAUAAAGAAAACAUUUAAUCAUAAAUAUUAUCGAGUGUUUCUAUCGAAUUAAAUUUGGACAGAAAAAAUAAACAAAAGAAAAGUAUGACAAAAAGAAAUAAGUGAUUGACACUUUCAAAUUUUAAGACAAUCACAAGAUAAGUAAUUCAACUAUUGGUCUUAAAAAUGUCGAGUAGAAAUUCAAAUUUAAACUGAAAUUUGUUAUGAUUAUAGAAUUCAAGUUAGCACCCAUUAAUUAGAUGACCUUAUUAUACAACUCAAUAAAAAAAUUAUUACCAAAAGAAAAAGGUCACAAAUAUUGAAUAGAUUCAAAUGGUGAAAUCAUAUAAAUAUAUACAUGGGUUUCAAACAAAAUUAUUAGCUUAAAACCCCUAUAUAUAUCUAUUGAAUAGCAUGUGUCUAACUAUGAUUAGCAUGUUUAGAUGAAAUCUAAUAGAGAUAAAUUACAUGCUAUUCGUAUUGUUCAGGUAAAAUCAAAUAAACAUAUACGUGGGUUUAUAGAAAAAAAGCUAUUCACACACAUGAUCAAUGAGGGAUAAAAAAUUCAUUUUGAAAAAUGUGAGGGAUGAAAAAAUUCAUUUUUUGAAAUGUGAGGAACGAAACAAUUCAUUUUGUAAAAUGUUAGGGAUGAAAAAAUUCAUUUUGUGAACUGUGAGGGACUAUGAAUCAAAUUAUAUAAAAAUUUGAUUUGACAAUUUUGCCCUUAAAAAAUGAUCACAUGCAAGUCACGUAGUGGAUUCCGGCAAAAAACUAGUCAAAAACUUAGGUAGGAACCAAAUUUGGUCAAUAUGAAUUUAUAAGAGACGUAAAAUUAUACUUUUAAAAGUGAGAGACGAAAAAAAAACAUCUUGUAAAAUGUGAGGGACGUUUUGAACGAUUUUCCCUUAAAAAAAUCAAGCAACUUGAAGCUCAACAAAGACUAUUUAAAACCAACUUCUAUGGCCAUUUUCCAGCCACCUCAAGAAAAUCUUCCUCCUGAAGUGAUGGAGAUAGUAUUGAUCAUUGCUUUACUUUCAGCUCUUCCCAUAAUUUUCCUGAUUCUUCUUCAGAAAAACAGCAGGAAAUCAUCAACAAAAUCUCAUCCUCCUCUCCCUGGUCCUCCUGGCAUUCCAAUCAUUGGAAACAUGCAUCAGUUUGAUCCCUCAGCCCCACAUAGCUAUCUCGGGGAGCUUUCCAGAAAGUAUGGCCCUCUCAUGUCCCUCAAGCUCGGAUCCUUGCCAGUACUUGUGGUUUCUUCAGCAAGAAUGGCAGAAGAGGUUAUGAAAAAUCACGACUUAAUUUUCUGUAGCCGACCACCUAUGCUUGGCCAGCGAAAAUUGUCCUACAAUGGCCUGGACAUCGCGUUCGCUCAGUACAAUGAGCAAUGGAGAGAAUUGAGAAAGAUUUGUGUUCUUCAUCUCUUGAGCUCCAAGAGAGUUCAAUCAUUUCGUCCUAUACGCGAAGAUGAGGUCUACCGAAUUAUUCAAAAGAUAUCCCGGGAAUCUGCUUCAUCACAAGUAACUGACUUGACUCACACUUUAUUGUCUCUCACAAGUACAAUGAUUUGCCAAAUUGGAUUUGGAAAAAGGUAUGACGAGGAAGGCCAAGAAAGAAAAAGAUUCCACUUUCUCUUGCAAGAAGCUCAGGCAAUGUUUGUUGCAUUCUAUUUCUCUGAUUAUUUUCCUACAAUUGGUUGGUUGGAUAAAUACACUGGGAUGCUAUCUCGACUGGAGAAAGUUUUCAACAAGCUUGAUUUGUUCUACCAAGAACUCAUUGAUGAGCACCUGGAUCCAAAUAGGCCAACGUCAAUGGAUGGAGACAUUA
Molecule: long non-coding RNA, 130675 nt
Filed under: Coffea arabica (coffee)
Lineage: Eukaryota; Viridiplantae; Streptophyta; Magnoliopsida; Gentianales; Rubiaceae
Description: long non-coding RNA (CARA_LNC004314)
Source: RNAcentral